RNAcentral lists this long non-coding RNA (127512 nucleotides) under Citrus x clementina. RNAcentral describes it as "Citrus clementina (C. clementina) long non-coding RNA (CCLE_LNC000496)". The record is from RNAcentral. Lineage: Eukaryota; Viridiplantae; Streptophyta; Magnoliopsida; Sapindales; Rutaceae.
UUUGAAGUUGUUAUGAUAAAGAAAGGAGAAAAAAGAGCAAGCCGCUGCAAUUGCAACAGUGGAGGAUUUGUAACAAAACUAUUACAGAGAUAAGAUUUAAUUGAUAAAAGAAAGAUUUAAUAGAAAGUAGUUAGAGAAACAACUAAUAAAAAUUAAUCAUAUUUAUUAUGGGUAUAUUAGGAAUAUUUGUGGCCUCACCUCUCAUCUUAUAAUAAAUUUUUAUGUUCCUACAGUAACCCUAAUAUAGUUUAAUAUUAAGGACAACGUAAUGAAAUAAUUGUUAUUCUUAUAUCCAUUAAAGAUAUAUUGUUAUCUUAUAGAUGCGAGAAUGCUCCAAUGCUCAAGUAAAAUUUUUAGUGAAACACAUAAGAAUUCUACGUGUAGAGAGAACUUCGUCAAGGUAUUUAAGAUGUAAUUAAUGCUCUUUGCUAGUGUACCACAUUUAAUAUUUGAAUCAUGACACGUGGCAUUGCAAAUAGUGGCUUUAUUUCAGGUCUUCGUAGGUGCUCCGGACAUAUGUUCGCUCCGGAGCUAGUAUUAGGUCAUCAUGUGCUUCUUUUAGUGAUCCACGUGAUUCCUUUUGAAUAACCAUGUCAAAUGCUCGUUUAUCAAGGACACGUGUCUUGUCAUCAGAACAUAUUAAAAACAUAACAUGCUAACCCAUGUGCAUUUAUGAAAAAUCAAAUGAGAAUAAUAAAUUAAAAAAGAAAAGGAUAAAAGUACAACAGCUAAUUAGUAAUAUUUGAGUUUCGGAUGAUGAAUAUUUAAUUUUAUGGGUGUAAAGAUAGGAAAGAAAAGUAGGUUUAAUGAGGACUAUUUUAGUAUUAAAAGAGUAUUCAAAAUAAAUUUUAUUUUAAAAAUUUUAUUCAAUAAGGUAUGGAGAUCAUUCCAAAUAUAUUUUAGGUACAAACUCGUCCGUUUGACGUAAUACUGUGUCUUAUAAUAAGACUAGCAAUAGUCAAAUUAGCUUAUUAUGAUAAGAUCUGUUAAAUUUAAUAUUUUAAAAAAAUUAUCGUCUCAUCAUAAAACACACUGCUCUACUAUUCGGUAGAGCAUGAGUGGUUGGCACAGACCAUGGAUUGCACAAAUAUUUCUAAAAUUUGAAUCCUCAAACCCUCCUGACAAUGCCACCAGUAGGGAUGGGCCAGAUUUUUCUAAGCUCGGCCCUAAGUCCAUGUUAUCCAUGCAUUUUUAAUUAUUAUUUUAAAUAUUACUGAAUUUGUAAUGAGUUAAUAAUCAAUAAGUUAUUAUAAUCAACAAUAAAUUAAAAAUGACUAUUUAAAAUAAAAUAAUAAAUAAAAAAUAAAGCAAAUAAAAGUUUACAUAUAUAUUUAAUUUCUUAGUAUUAAAUUCUCUAAUUUAAACAUUCUCUUAGUUAAUUAAGAUAUAAGAGAGAGUUUAGUGUCACAAUUUUAAAUUUUUUCAAUUACUAUUGAUUGAAUUAGGGAUUUAAGCUUUCUUUUUUUAAUUAUUUUUUUAUAUUUUGUAUUAAAAAAAUAGAGGACUUAACAUGUCCCGGACUUUUUUUCUUAAAGAAACCCUCAUGUAAAGGACUGGGGCUAAGCCCGCUGGGCCUGGGCCGGACCCUUUGAGGCCCAAGGCUAGCCACCAGUCUCUUUUGUCAAUCAUUGUUAAUGAACUAGCCUAGUUGAAUACUUUUAAAUUGAUGGGUCGUAAUUGCCAAUUUCCAAAUACAACAAAUUUUUAUAGGUGUAUUGGUAGACUGAACGACAGCUAACAACACGUGACAUAAUUAACUUACUUCCAAAGGAAUUUUUUUUAUUUAAAGAUACAGUGGAUGAACAUAGAAAUCUUGUGUCAAGUUUUAAAAUUUGUCAAUAAUGUGUAUACACAUAUGAAAUCUUCCAUUUUUCAUAUGUGUAUACACAUUAUCAUGAUUGAUUGAAACAUAUACAUGAUAAAGAUUAAUGAAUUAAAAAAAAACAGUGCUUUAGGAGAUAACACUCAAGAAUUUUUCCUACUUCAUCCAGUGGGAAUAUCUACCUCCACCUAAUUGUAUUCAAUAGGAGGAGGAAUUGUUGUGUCCCCUCUUGGGACUCAAACCAUUGUGUCUAUUACCACCCGUUUGUGUUUAAAAUUUGGUUGAAUUUAUAGAAUACUAUAAAUGGUAAAAGAUGCAACCAAAUAAUAUUUCGUGACUCUGUCUUUUCAGUUUUAGGAACAAUGGUGGAAUCAUUUUUGCCGCUUGAAAAACUUACGGAAAAAUUAGGAUCCCGUGCUUUCCAAGAACUUUUAGCACUCUACUGUGUCAAAAAUGACGCAGAAAAGCUAAAGGAGACCUUAACCACUGUCAAAAGUGUGGUUUUAGAUGCUGAGGAAAAGCAAGUCCAUAGCCACCAGUUAAGAGAUUGGCUGGAAAAGCUUAAGGAUGCUUGUGAUGAUGCAGAAGGUGUCUUGGAUGAAUUCGAGGUGGAAGAUCUGCGAAGGCAAGUCAUGAAGCAAAGAAGCAUCGGAAGAAAGUUACGUAACUUUUUUGGAAGCUCAAAUCCAGUAGCUUUUCGUUUUAGAAUGUGUCAACAAAUCAAGAAAGUCAGAGAGAGGUUUGAUGAGAUUGCAAACAUGAUGCAUAAGUUUGAUCUCACUGCACGACUUGAUGAUCGUAGUUGGCGAAUUGUGCAUGAAGAGAGGGAAUCUACUCACUCGUUUGUGAGUCCAUCAGAUAUUAUUGGAAGAGAUAAAGAUAGAGAAAAAGUUAUUGAAGCUCUAAUGCAAGCAAGUUCUGGCGAAAGUGAAACUGUGUCUGUUAUUCCUAUUGUGGGAAUUGGAGGUCUGGGCAAAACUGCUCUUGCACAGUUGGUGUUCAAUGACCAAAGGGUAGAAGAGCAUUUUGAGUUGAAAAUCUGGAUAUGUGUUUCUGAAGAUUUUGGUGAGAGACAAAUUAUGACAAAGAUUAUCAAGUCGAUAACUGGUCAAAACCACGGUGACUUGGAUAUAGAGCAAUUGCAACGAAUCUUGCGAGUUUGUUUGACUGGUAAGAGAUAUUUACUUGUUAUGGAUGAUGUAUGGAACGAAGAUCCCAAAGUAUGGGAUAAAUUGAAAAGCUUAUUGUCGGGGGGUGCAAAGGGAAGCAAAAUUCUGGUAACCACACGUAGCAAUAAGGUUGCUUCAAUCAUGGGCACGAGGGGAGGCACUACUGGCUACAACUUACAAGGUCUACCAUUCGAGGAUUGCUUGUCUUUGUUUAUGAAAUGUGCAUUUAAAGAAGAGCGAGAUAAACAUCCAAACCUUGUAAAAAUCGGGGAAGAAAUUGUGAAAAAAUGUGGAGGAAUUCCGCUGGCAGUCAGAACACUAGGAAGUCUAUUAUAUUGCUCAACGGAUGAACACGAUUGGGAAUAUGUGAGGGAUAAUGAGAUAUGGAAGUUAGAACAAAAGGCAAAUGACAUUUUACCUGUUCUGAGGUUCAGUUAUGAUCAACUACCGCCUCGCCUGAAACAAUGUGUUGCUUAUUGUUGUAUCUUUCCAAAGGAUUAUCAAUUUUCAAGUGUUUAUUUGGUUCAAUUUUGGAUGGCUCAAGGACUUCUCCAUCCACUUAAUGAAAAUGAUGAACUAGAUGACAUUGGCAUGCGGUCCUUGAAGCAACUAUGUUCAAGAUCUUUCUUCCACGAUUUGGUACGAGGAUUUGAGAUGUUCACUUUCAAAAUGCACGACCUCAUCCAUGAUCUUGCACAGCUAGUGGCCAAAGGUGAAUUCCUAAUAGUGAACUCUGACUGUCAAUCUAUUCCCAAAAGAGUCCGCCAUUUGUCAUUUGUGGGUGCUAAUGCAUCAAGAAAAGAUUUUUCAAGGUUUUUAUCUGAUUUAGGUCGUGUGAGAACCAUUUUCUUUUCAAUUAAUGAUGAGAAGGUAAGCCAAUCAUUUGUUAGAUCAUGCAUCUCAAAGUCACAGUUCUUGAGAGUGCUAAAUUUAAGUGGCUCUGCUAUUGAGGCUUUGCCAAGAGAGAUAGGUAAUUUGAAGCAUAUGAGAUAUCUUGACCUAUCAAGAAAUUAUAAAAUCAAGAAACUUCCAAAUGCCAUUUGCAAGCUGCAAAGUUUACAAACACUGAAUCUUGAAGAAUGUCUGGAGCUAGAAGAGUUGCCUAAAGACAUAAGGUACCUUGUUAGUCUCAGAGUGUUUGAGGUAACCACAAAGCAGAAGUCUUUGCAGGACAGUGGAAUAGGGUGCUUGGUUUCUCUUCGUUGUUUGAUAAUAUCUCAUUGCAGGAAUUUGGAAUAUUUGUUCGACGAUAUAGAUCAACUAAGGGUCCUUCGAUCAUUAUUAAUUGCUGGUUGUCCCCGUCUAAUCUCAUUGCCGCCUGCUAUGAAAUACCUCAGCUCAUUGGAGACUCUAAUGUUUGUUCAGUGUGAAAGCCUUAGUCUUAAUUUGAGCAUGCAAUUGGAAGGGGAAGGAAGUCAUCAAGCUCGCAAUACCACAAGGCCUCACCUUCGGAAGCUUUUGAUUGGGGAAGUAACACCGUUAUUGGAAUUGCCACAAUGGCUUCUUCAAGGUUCUACUGGAACUUUACAACACCUAUUUAUUGCAAAUUGUCCCAACUUCAUGGCACUACCAGAGUCACUGAGAAAUUUCGAAGCACUUGAGGGUCUUGUCAUCGGGAAUUGUCCAAAAUUGUCAUCGUUGCCUGAGGAUAUGCUUCACCUGAAAACAUUGAGGAUUAGAGGCUGUCCUGCACUGAGUGAUAGAUGCAAACCGCUAACAGGUGAAGAUUGGCACAAGAUUACCCAUGUCGCUCACAUUAAGCUUGAUGACGAGAUAAUUAAAUCAAGUGAUAUUUAGGUAUGGAUUAAUCUCUCCUUUUUUUCCCUCUUUUCAUUCAAGUUUUUACUUUUGAAUUUCUCAUCUACCUAUACCGUUUAUAGUUUAAUGUUUUGUUAUGUUUACCAAAUAGAAACUUGUUGAAUGUUUAGUUAGUUAGUUCAAAUUUGUACUAAUUUCUUUUCUUCUAAUAAAUGAUUAGUUUGUUAAUACAAACUCAAUUACUCAAGCAUAUUAUUUGGAAACCAAACCGUUCUUGGGGUUAUCUGUUUCUAAAUCCAAACGGUUCAGGAAUUUUAAGAACGGAAGUUAUAAAGGGAUUUUCUUAAUUAGCCAGUUAUAUGGAACCUUAUUCGCAUAAAAGAAGAGCUUCUGAAAUUUCAAUUUUUGUUAAUAUUUUAACUCGCGCUGAAGCAUCUAACAAUUUAUCCUCUAUUUUCUCUUCUUUUCUUUUCUUUUUCCCCAAAUAUUGCAGCUUUCUUCGGAGAGGUUCAGCGAAGCUAUAGAGACAAUGAAAUUAUUACUGUAAUGUUGUUUCGGAACAGAGGUUCAACCGUUUUAAUGUUGUGUUUAAAAUUGCAAGUAUUGUAUAUUCAUUACUUAUGAUAAGUACAUCGAGUGAUGUAUAUAUGCGUGCCUGUAUGACCAUGAUUGAUAACCUUAAAUAUAUAUGUGCAUGUGUUGUCAUGACUGAUAACCUUAAAUAUAAUACCAAUAAUGUUUGUAGAAUUUCUGAAAUUCUCAUGAUGCACAAUUUAUGUAAUUUACAGUAUGUUCUUUCUCCUCCUUCGGUAGUCAGUAAUAUAAUUUGCAUUGAUUGCGUUGCUUAGCUCUACAUAAUUUGCAUAUUUUUUUUUCAAAGAAUAUUGAUGUGUUGUGUAAUGGAAUGGUGGUGCCUGUAUUUUGUGCUUUGUGAUUGAUGACUUACAUUUUCCCCAAAAAAAAGGAAACGGAUAGGCUUCCUUUUGAAUGGUGACCUUUUAUGAUAUGAAUCGCAUGUUUCUUGAGGUUUUUUUAAAUUUUUUAUAAGACACUUGAAGAAGGAAAUUCAUGUUCUCUUUCUCAAUAUAAAAUGACUAAUUUGAAGAAUACUUAUUAUAAUAGAACGUAGAACUCGUAUGUAUUUUAGUAUAAAAAUUCUGUACAAUAAAAAGUUUUUUAUGUGAAGUCGAUCGACACUAUCACAUUAUCAUAUUACCAUUCAAUUCUUCAUUUUUAUCUAAUUAAAAUGAUAAAUUAAAGUUGAUACGAGAAUAUUAAAGAAGAUUGGACCUUGGAGGGCAAUGUGAAUUUUGAACCGGCGCCAUUUCAGCUCCACCUACUCUAUAAAUAAAUGAUUAUGAGUGAUAGAACAAGAUCAGCUGAUACAGAGAGAGACUCUCGACUCUUAAUAGUGAGCAAAAAAAUGGUGCGCAACUUCUUUUUGAUUAAAAUUUAAUGAUUUCUUCGUAUUAGGGUGCGUUUGGGAUUGAGGUGCUAUAGCUUUUAAGCUACAGCUGCUGUGAAAAAAAAAUUGUAAUUAUAAACAAAAGUUAAUAAUAUAUAAUAAAUAUAAAUUUUGAUAAAAUUAUUAAAGAUAUAAUAAAUUUUAUAUUAUACAAGUGAAAAAUCAUAUCAAUGUAGCUUAAAAACUACAACAGUUAGUGUUUACCAAACACUUUAAUACCGUAACUUUUAAGCUACAGCUGCCCAACCUCAAUCCCAAAAGCACCCUUAAUCAAAUUAAUCAUUAUUAUAUAUUUAUUUAUUUAUUUAUUUUUCAACUUCAGAAGAAUCUGUUUUGUUGUUCUCCUCCUCAAGUGCCUACUUUUCAGUGUGCAAGGAUGUAUGUUGAGGGCAGCGGAUGAAAUCGCUAAACUGUUGGGGGUAGAGGAGGCGGGAGAGGAGAUGGUUCCCAUUUCCGCCCUUGCUUUCCUCCGCUUGGCUGCAAAAGUUCAUCACAAAUCAACUCCGUUACAUUGUUACUGGUCUUUUGCUUAUUUAUUUUCAAUGUCUUAUUAUGUUUUUAAUUAUGAGUUCAUGAUUUGAGUUGAGUUUUGUUGUUCUCCGCCAGCAUUGUUUUAUUUUCAAUGUCUUAAAUUAAUUAUGAGUUCAAGGGCUGUCAAAUUGGACCAAGUCUCGUGGCAAGAAUUAAUUUUUCACCGUUUCUUUGAGAUUCUACCACCGUAAUUUAAUUUUCACUUGAUCGAUUUCAACAAAAUCUCUCAAAAUUGUUGUCCUGAGCUUGCGGCAGCUUUCAUCACCGGCGAAGGCUGAAGAUUCAAGCAAUAGAGCUGCUCAUGAUGAGGGGAAGGAGAAGAGGACCUAACGAGUUUGCAAGAGCGUGUAUAGAGGAAUAAAGCGGAUGCCAUGGGGGAAAUGGGAAGCUGAAAUUUGAGGCCCUUACAGGGGCGUCCGCUUUUGCCUCGGCACUUUCAACACCACCGAAGAAGCCGCAAGAGAUUAUGCUGAAGCCGCCAAGAGUAUUCGCGGCAACAAGGCCAAGCUCAGCUUUGUUCUGCCGCCGCCGCCAAUAACUCCACCUCCAGCUAAGAAACACUGCAUGUUAUCUCCUGAGUUGACUCUGCCGUGUUUUGAAGAUUACUUUUUUAUUGGUUUAUGCAUUUGAGUUUACAAAGAAAUGGUAUUCUUUGUCCCCAUAUUGUGAACACUUGGGCUUUUAUUGUUGAAAAUUACCUUUUUUGCGCUGCUCUUAUCUAUGAGGUUGUGCUUUCCUUUGGAUGCUCUUUAAUAAACAGCUUUCCUAAUGACAACUGAAGUGAAAAGUCAUUUAUCAAAUGAUUUGGUGAAAUAUCAGGUACUUUCAUCUUGGUUUUUGCAGUUAAUAGGAAUAGGUUGGUGUUGGGAUGUGCUACAUGUAUCAAGUUCUUAUCGCUAGUGGAUGUGCCAUCAUUUACUCUCACUGAAUGUAUUAUUAGUUUAUUUAUUGAACACUCCCAAAUCAGUAAAGAAUCCUCAAUUUUCUCUGUUUCCUUUAGAUCCUAGUAGUGUUUUCGCAUGCAUCAACUAGUGUUUAUGCAUGUGUCGGCAAGUGUUUAGACAAUAAAUUUAAAGGUUACGGUGACAUAAGUUGACAGCAAAGGAAGGAUGUAUGCUGCAUUUGAAGGAAGGUGAAAGUUUUCCAUUUUUGUAAAUGAGUUUAAAGCAGGAUAUGUUUAGUUUCAUGAAAUGCUUUCUUAUUUUUCGAUGACGAAGUAAUGUGAGUCAAUAUUCUCUUUAAAUAAUGUUCCCCAGUUCUUGAACGUUCUGCCAAUCUUUAUUUGUUAUUUGAAUUUAAAGAAACUUUCUAAGUGCAUACAUCCAUAUAAAGUUGAAGAUCUUCUAGAAAAGCUGGCAUCCAUCAAGAUCAAGAAAUUUUACUGCUUAGUACGUGUUAUAUUUAUAGAUUGGCUAUUGAAGAAGUAGUAUUUGUACCGAUGCAGAUGCAGGAACUAUACACAUCUAAAGUUUAUGAGAUAUUUUUGUCUUUUUGACUCAGUUAGAUAACUAUCAGUCAGUUAACCAAUUUAUGUUACUCUUGUUUGGCUAGCCAAUUAACAAUUUAUAUUUGCUGGAUUGUAAAGCCGACAUCUGCAAGCCAUAUGUGAUUUUAUUUGAAGGCAAUUUGCUCUAGACUAUAUGCGGAUUUCUAUCAUGAUUUCUAUAAGCUUGAAGGAGAUUUCCUUUUUUGUUUCUUUAAAUGCCUGUGAGCUUGAAAAUUAUACCCGUACAUGUUGAAACCAUUAGAUACCUGCUAAGAAUCAAGCAUAAUCGUGUCCAGUUGAAACCAUAAGUUGGGUCCUGUUUUAUGAGAAAAUUAUGUGUAAUUUGGGUGCAGUAAACCUAGGUUGAAUACCGGGACACAGUAUAAAAGCGAAACCACAUAUUGAAUCUUGCAUAAAGACCUUAAAGAUGUAAUUUUGAAUUGUACAUGAGAUGUUGUCUGGACCAAAUUUCAGCGGCUUUGGUUAGGAUUCAGAAAAGAGAAUUGUAACCGCAGAGAAUGCUCUGUGGGAUGGUUAUAUCCAGGUAUGUAAUGGCCUUAUUUUGAUUCUGGGCUGUUUGAGUUUUGUGCUGCUGUUGAUACUGGUUUUAGCUAUUUUCUGCUACUGUCUUAUUUGCUUUUUUGUUUUUUAAUACUACUUUUGCUGCUGAAUUUUGCUGGUUUCUGCUGUUUCACUCGCUGAUAGCUGCUGUUUAUUACUAUUGUUUGAUACCUUUUGAUUUGCUCCUUUUUUGCUGCUGAUUUUUGCUGUUUCCUUCCGCUGUUUUUGCUGCUUUUGCUGCUUUUGUUGCUGUAUUUUACUGCUUUUACUGUUGAUUUUUGCUGUUUUGUACUCACUGGUUGCUGUAUGUUUAUUAAUAUUGUUUGCUGCUGUUUUAUUUGCUGUUUUUUUGCUUCUAAUUUUUGCUGUUCUCUGCCAUUAUUUGCUGCUGCUGUUGUUUUACUCGCCAGUUGAUGCUGUUUUGUGGUUCGCCUCCUCAAGUGCCUGCAUUUUUCAACGUGCAAGCUUAUAUAUUGAGACUGGCGGAUGAAAUCUCUAAACUGUUAUAACAUCCGAGGCUCCCCUAGAGAAGGAUUUGGUCUUAAUUUGGGGAAGGGGGUUUUUCUGGUUUGUACACAAGUGUAUGCAUUCCUUCAAUCACGUAGCUUUGUGCCCAUGAUUAAGCAUAAAUAAUCAUAUAGACCCGUUUUGUGAUGAUAAUGACAAUUUUAUGAUUCAGACACGUUGUUAGGAACACUGUAUUGGUUUUUCUUUCGCUGUUUGUACCCAUGAUUAAGCAUGUAAUGGCUUUUAAUAAAAAAUAAUAAUAAGAAAUAGUGCUAUAUCAAGAUUAUAAUUUAAACAAAAAAAAAAGAACUUUAUAAUAAGGAUGAGGAUUCAUUUCCAGUUAGAUGAGAUAUAAGAUAUAACAUAGGAAAAAGCCACCUACAUUCUCAAGAUAUAUUUAAAUGGUUAUAUAGAUCCUUUUAGUUUCAUAAAUAAUCAUAUAGACCCGUUUUGUUUAAUAUUAAAAUAAUUAUAUCUUUUAAUUACAACAACCCAAUAAUUGAUUUUGAAUAAAUUUUUUAUAAUAAAUAUAAAGUGGAACUGAAAUAAUAUUACAUAUAAAAUAAGUUAAAAUUUAUAAAUUAUUUUGAAUAAUAAUAUUAAAAUGAUUUUACCCAACCCUCACAUUAAUUUAUAAAAUUUAUAUUAUUUUUCUUACUAUUUUUUUUAAUUACAUCUACAUCGUAUAAAUCUUAAAGUAAAUCUUUAGUUUAAUAGAAUUUAGUAUUAAUAAAAAACCAUUGGGAUAGACUAAUAAUAGCUUAAUAUUAAAAAUAAUUUUCAUUAUAUAUGUUAUUUUAUUAAAUAUAGUUGUUGUAAUAUUUUAUUUGUAUCAUAUGCUAUUUAUUUAUUAUUUUUAUCUUAUUACUAUAUUUAUAUUUAUUUGUAUUGUUAUAAUCAAAGAAUAUUAUCGUCGAAAAGGGAUUUAUGUGAUUAUUUAUGAAACCAAAAGGGUCUACGUAAUCAUUUAAGUAAACCUUAAAAGCGUGAGUGGCUUUUUGCCAUAUAGCAUAUGAUCCGAUAGCCAAGGAAUCAAUUAUGUAUUUCUUGUUUAUGAAAAAAUGAAUAAUCCUUUAACGAGGGUUAUCAUCAAUUGCAAGUUUCUAGUUUGGUUGCUUGGUUCGAGGACUAUGAAUAUUACAUUAUCAUAAUUAGGGGAAAGAAUAUAUGCUUUAGUCUUUAGCUGGUCUACUUUUUUCUUUUUGAUUAACCUCUUGCGGGGAAAGAAUAUUGUAUACACAGCACACUAUAAUACUCUAAUUACCAAUUCUUUUUGUUAUAUUAAAGUUCAUAGUGAUUAAUUUGUCCUUCUUCAACGCAAAACAAUCCCAUUUCAGCACAUCUACAUUCUACAAGGGCCCUCAUUUCUUUUUGCUCCAGCCAAUUGAUAGCAGAAUCAUCGCAGACACCUUGAGCUCCGUCGAAUCAUCAUAGACAAUUGGUGAUUGGUGGGAGCAUUACAAGAAAGGUACGACUCCUUCAAACUGAUAGAUUUGUUUAUAUGAUUCAGCGAUAGUUUUAUAUAUGGUUAAGUUAUAGCAAUAAUGAAGAGAUAAUCAUGUACAUCAUCAGUUAGACGAAUGCACAUACUAAUUUAUUCCUUUACUUGCCAGAAUCAUACAUGUAAAAUGAGAUAACUUUUAAGGUUUAAAACUUUGCAAUUCAUUUAAAAUCUAGUGGGCUAUUAAUUGGUAAAAUCACUCAGUGGUAGUACAAGAGGUUUGUGAAUUGUGAUUCCACCAGUUUAUGUGGGUGGAGCGAGAAUUAUUUUUUUAAUAAAUAAUUAAUAAAAAGUAAUAAUAAUAUUAAUAAAAAGACAUAAAUUUCAAGGUUUAACACUUUACAAUUCAUUAGAAUGUAGAGAAAUAUAUUGCUUAAAAUUUUUUUAUCUAAUUAAUUUACAGGCGGGGAUAUAUAUAUAUAUAUAUAUAGUGAGGCUAUUUGCACAAUCUUGGGCUUUGAACACAUAUUAGGAUGAUGAUAUUUGAACCAACUAAAAUACACUCUGCAUUCAUUUCUCAAUAAAAAAAUUUAUUACAAGAUUUUCUUAAUUAAAUUUUUAUUUUUGCCAAAUAUUAUGUUCGUUUCUCUCCCAAAAGUUUUUUUUCCACCAUUUUUUCUCUUUUCUCUCUCUCUCCUCUCCCCAGAUGUCUUCCAGUCCUUUGUGAUUCUUAUAUUUUGAAGCUUCCGUUGGAGUAAAAUCUCUUUAAAAUUUUCUUAUAAAAAAAAGGCCUUUUAAAAUUUGGCUUAAUCUUAUAUGUAUAUGAUCUCGAUGAAACUUUAGUAAAUGAGUUUCUACUAGAGAUGGCAAAAUUCUCCAUGGGUUUGGGGCCCCAUAGAAUUCCACCCCAAAUUAGGUGAAUUUUGAAUACUUUUUGGGGAAUGCCAUGGGGAAUGAGGGAAAAAUAAUCCCAAAAUUCUUAAUGGGGUGAAGUUUGGUUUUGUACUCUCUACCCCAUCCCCACCCCAAUCCCCAUUAUAUAUAAAUAUUUUUUAAUUUUUAUUUAAUAAUUUUUGUUUCAUCAGUUACAAUGUAUGUUAAUAAUUUUUUUUUUAUUUUUACUUGACAUAAAUGAGCUAUAACUAAAAGAAAACCUUACAAUAUAAUUUUUAUUCAAUCUAAAACAUUGUUAUGUGUUCUCUUCUGUCUUAAGAUACUGCUCUCUUCAAACAUUUUUCAAUUUUGAUAUCAUUUCAAGAUAUUAUUUCAAACAUUUGGAGAUUUUUUUAAAAUAAUUUAAAUACUUUAUAAUAUGGUAAUGAUUUUCUUUUUAACUGAUAUUGUUUUCUCUUCAGUAUCAGUUACAAUGUAUGUUAAUAAAUUUUCUUUUUAUUUUUACUUGACAUAAAUGGGAUAUAACUAAAAGAAAACCCUACAAUAUAAUUUUUAUUCAACCUAAAACAUUGUUAUGUUUUCUCUUUUGUCUUAAGAUACUGCUCUCUUCAAACAUUUUUCAAUUUUGAUAUCAUUUUAAGAUAUUAUUUCAAACAUUUGGAGAUUUUUUAAAAUAAUUUAAAUAUUUUAUAAUAUGGUAAUAAUUUUAUUUAAGCCUUUAGUUUUUAAUUUAUUGAAAUCAUGUAUUUAUGUCUACUAUAAAAUAAAUAAAUGGGGAACGGGGUGGGGAUGAGGAAAUCAUUCCCCACGUGGGGAUUCACAAUGUCCACCCCACUAAAUUUAUUGGGGAAUGGGGUGAGGAAUGGAGACAAAAUUUUUAAUGGGGUGGGGAAUGUGGUAGGCCUCCUCACCCCCACCCCACCCCACUCCAUUGCCAUCCCUAGUUUCCACUAGAAAUGAAAAGAUCACAAAACAAAUAUCAAAAGAUCACCAACUUAAUUAUAUUGGUAGUAAUUAAUAUAAAUAAAAGACUUAUUAUUUCUGCUUGAAGUUGAUAUGAUAAAAAAAAAAAAGAGUAAGCCACUGCAAUUGCAACAAUGGAGGAUUUGUUAAUAAGACUAUUGCAGAGAUAAGUUUUAAUUGAUAAAGAAGAUUUAAUAGAAAGUAGUGAGAAAAACAACUUAUAAAAAUUAAUGAUAUUUAUUAUGGGUAUAUUAUGAAUAUUUGUGGCCUCGUCCAUCUUAUUAUGAUAAUUUUUUUAUUACUACCAUAACCCUAGUAUAGUUUACUGUUAAGGGCAACGUCAUGAAAAUUUUGUUACUCUUAUACUUAUUGAAGAUACAUUAUUAUUUUGGACAUGCGAGAAUCCAAUGUCCAAGUAAAAUAUUUAGUAGAAUCUAUGAGAACUCUAAGGGUAGGGAGAAUUUUGUCAAGGUAUUUCAGUUGUAUUUAAUGCUCUUUGCUAGUGUAAACUAUUAUGCCACGUGUAAUUUUUUAUCAUGACACGUGGCAUUGUAAAUAAUGACUCUUAUUCCAGGUCUUCGUAGGUACUCCGGAGGUACGUUCGCUCUAAAGUUAGUAUUAGGUUAUCAUGUGCUUCUUUUAAUGAUAAUGCAGAAAAAUAAAAGAUUAAUAGAUAAGAGAAAUUAGGUUUUUGAAUUAUGAAAAUUUUAUUAAAAAAUUCUAAAUGAACAAAACUAUGGUUUUGUGCCCUUUUUUUAUACUAAACCUUAAUAUCACAAAUUUACUAAAAUAACCAAAUCUAAAAUAUUAUUUUAUAAUAAAAUUCUAAUAAUCCAAAUAAGGAGAACAAAAAAAAUUGUGUCCAAAUUCGAUAUUUAAAUAUAAAAUGAAAAUCCUAAAAGUAAUAGGAAAAAUAACUUAAAACUGUGAAAUAACUAGGGCAAAAUAACAUGUGCAGUUUUGGUUUGAUUUGUCUUAUCGUAAGUUUCGAAAGGGUAUAUUAUAUACCUACAAUGAAUACUUGUAUUCCAAGUUAUGACCUUCGAAAAGUACCUUGCUUACCCUACACAACCAUCUUACAUCAAUCCCCCUCACUUGGAAAAGAACUCAUCCUCGAGUUAGGCUAGUACAACUACUCAUCAUUUGGAUGAUAUACAAACAAAUCAGCCAUGUCAAAAGUGUGGGAGAUAUUCUAAUUGUAUGGCAGCUAGAGCAUAUAAGAUUAUCGUUAAUCUUUUUAGCCACACAAAAUGGACUAUACUUCCACUUCUCUAAUUUCGUGCAAAUGCCAGGAAAAUGAGUAUGUUACAGAUGUGCCAUCACCAAAUCACCUUCCUAAAACACUUUCUUGCGUUUGUGCUUGUCUGCAUCAGCCUUGUACUCAACAUUGACAGUCUUUAAAUGACCUCACACAUCAACAUGAAUCUGCAGAGUCUUUUCUGUCACAUUAUCCACUGCUUUACUACCUCUAGCUACUGUUGGUAUAGUAGUUAGAUCAUAGACAUGACUUGGGGAACAAGUGUAGACAACCUCAAAAGCAGCCUUGCUAGCAGAUCAUUCGUCGUGCUAUUGUAAGAAAACUCAACUUAAGGCAACACGAUUUCCCAGUUUUGUUGUUUAUCGCCAUAAACAUAGCACAACAUAUUAGCCAAAGUUUGAUUGACCACUUUUGUUUGUACAUCUCUGUGGGGAUGGGAAGCACUACUAAACUACAACUAUGUCCCGAACAUAUCUCACAGAUAAAGCUAAGACUUGCUAAUGAACUUUGCAUCCAUGUCAGAAGUAAUAGUCUUUGGAAUACCAUGCAAAUGCAUCACUUUUUGAAAGAAAAUAUGUGCCACAAAAAAAGCAUCUUUAGUCUUCUUGCAAUUAAUAAAAUGCGUUAUCUUUGACAAUCUGUCAACAAUAACUAGUAUAGAGUCUCAACCAAUUCUUGUACAAGGCAACCUCAACAUAAAGUUCAUGGAUAAAUCUAACCAAAUAUUCUCUGAAACAUGUAAUGUGUGUUUAAUCUCCUAUUCUGCAAUUGUCCCUUGCCUUCUUGACAAAUCUGACACCUCUGCACAAUCCUGUGAACAUGUUUAUUCAAUUGCAACCAAUAAUAUCACUUUUCGACAAGCACUUUAUGCAGCUCAUGGAUAAUGUGCUCCCUCAAAGAACUACAAGGCACACACAAUUCUUUAUCAUUAAACAAAUAUCCAUCUUGAAUGAGAAAAGUCUUUCAUAUUUUAAUGAUUGAUGUACCAAUCCCAAAUAUGCGAAACAGUAACUUCAUUGACGAGUGUUGCUAGUAAAGUUGCUCGCCUACUUAGAGCAUUCACAACUUUAUUCUGCUACUUAGAUUUGUGUUUCAAAACAAAAAGAAACUUAUACUUAUAGCUCAUCCAUCUCGCAUGCAUCUGGCUCAUAUUUUUUUGGCUGUUAAAGUACUUUAAUGCUUGAUGGUUAGUGUAAAGCACGAACUCCUUUUGAAUAAAGUAAUGCUCAAAUGACUUCAAUAUUUUACAGACUACAAAAAUUCAUGGUCAUACAUAGAUCACUUCUAUUGUGCUUCAUUCAACUUCUCACUCAAAUAAUUAAUUGUUUAGCCUUUCUGAGAAAGGACAGUAGAGGUUGCAAAAAAACCCGCUCGGCCCGGAUAUGGACCGGAUUCGGCUCAUACGGUCCGGGUUUUACUCGGCCCACAUUAAUGAAGAAACCGGUCCCGGAUUUUGAAAAUCAAUACCCGGAUAAUUUUGGACACGGAUUCGGGCAUAACCAUAAAAACCCAGAACCCGGAUCAGUGCCCGGUUAAAAUUUUUUAAUUUUAAAAAAUAAAAUAAUAUAUAUAUAUAUAUAUAUAUAUAUAUAUAUAUAUAAUAAUAAUAAUAAUAAUAAUAAUAAUAAUAAUAAUAAUAUAUGUAUAAUAAGCGUAUUCGUAUAUCCCCCAGAGAUGAUGAUAAGAGUGUAAUAAGUGUGAUGUGAUAUAAAAUAGGUAAUGAGUUGUAAAGUAGAUUCCUUAGUGAUAAGGAUCAAUAAUGCAAAUAAUGUGUAAUAGUGGAUCCUUUGAGCUUAUAAAAGGGAACCCUUUGGUUUAUGUCUAGGCAUCGAGUCUUGGAGUGCAAUCUUGUAUUUGUAAAUCUCUCAUUCCUCUUAAUAGAAGUAAUCUUCGAUUGUUGGUUAUAAUUAAAUUGGUAUCAGAGCCAAAUUUCCCAAAAGGAAACCCCUGGGUGUGCAACAAUAUUAUGCUCUGUGGUUGCCGAAAUACUUCGGAUCCUCCACAUCAGAAAGUUGUUGGAUAGCUACCUGUCCAAAAAAAAAAAAUUUCCAUUCUAAAACACUACAGAGUGAAUUCUGUAAGGUGUGGCGCCCUCUUGAAAAGACUAGGAUUGUUGUAUGUUUAGGGCUUAUGGAUCUGAAGCUGAUUAGGCCCUUUAAGUCUCAUUGGGCCAGCCCAUCAUUUUAUGUCAGCAAGCAUUCAGAACAAAUGAGUGGGAAAAAACGAUUGGUGAUAGACUACAAGAAGCUGAAUGAUUGCUUGCAAGACAUAAGGUACCCCAUUCCACGGAGGAAACACCUUUUAAAGCGCAUAGCUGGAGCAAAGGUAUUUUCAAAGUUUGACAUGAAGUCAGGCUUUUGGCAGAUUGGAAUCAAGGAAGAAGACAGACAUAAAACAACAUUUGUGGUCCCCCAUGGGCAUUAUGAAUGGAACGUGAUGCCUUUCGGUCUAAAGAAUGCACCGUCAGAAUUCUAGAAUAGAAUGGAUGAGGUGUAUAAAUCCAUCUCAGGAUUCUGCCUUAUCUAUAUUGACGAUGCCCUUAUCUUCAACAACAGUGAAAAAAAACAUGUUAAAUAUCUAUCUCAAUUCAAAGCCCUAACCUAUAAGCAUGGGUUAGCUCUGUCAGAAUAAAAAAUGAAGAUAGGUUUUAAUGAGGUAGGAUUUUUUGGGACUACACAUCAAACAGGGAUACAUCAUUCUUCAGCCACACAUGGCUGAGAAAAUAUCCCAAUUCCCAGACCGGCCGUCAACAAGAAAGCAGAUCCAGCAAUUUCUCGGGAUAAUCAACUAUGCAAUAGACCAUGUGCAGAACCUGUCAAAGAUGACGAGUUAGAUAUCCAAGCACUUAAAGAAAUGUGCCCCACAGUGGUCGGAAGAAGCGACAAAAGCCGUGAUAGACUUAAAGGAAAAGUGCCAGUCACUUCCACCAUUAAAGAUACCUGACAAUGGACAACUCAUCUUGCAGACAAAUGCUAGUGACUAUUAUUGGGGAGCACUGCUGAUAGAAGAAUCCGAGGGAAAUAGGAAAGUAUGUGGCUAUAAAUCUGGCCAGUUCAAUGAUGCUCAGAGUCACUGCCCUUUAUCAAAGAAAGAGGUCUUAGCAGUCGUCAAAGGGAUUAAGAAAUUCUAAUUCUUUCUUUCAUUAACCCCCUUUGUAAUUGAAACAGAUUACAAGUACCUCCAAGGAUUACUAAGGAGAAAAGAAGGAGAAAUCCCAGAUCCACAACUUGCAAGGUGGUCUGAGUCUCUCUUGAGAUUCAAAUUCGAAGUAAGACACAUCAAAGGAGAAUCCAACACUGUUGCGGAUUUCCUUUCCAGACCAAUCAACAUGAUCAAAAGAAGAAGCCUUCCAAAGAGGUGGGAAAAAGGCAGCUUUAGUGCUCAUGAGACUAGAGCACACUUUCUCAAAAAUCUCAACAGUUUCAUUGCGUGGCUUCCUUAGGAAGUACAAGAAGAAAUCUUUGAGAAAGUUAUCAAUCACAGGAGAGAUCCAGAAGAUCAAGCUCUAACAUGGCGGGUAUGGCAGCUCAUGGCCAUGCAAGAACAUAGACUUGCUCACAACAAGAAAUGUCAAAGAGCUUUUAAUCCACAUCAUAAUCCUCACUAGAUGCAUGAAACAAUUUUCAAAAUAGGUUGUACAUUCCAUUAUGUAAUAGAUGAGAACUCCAACUGGGGACAUUAUGUUAUUUGUGACAUAACCCCUCAGGCUUAUUACAUAACCUACUGGUAUUGGCUGAACAUCUACCCUGUGGCAAUACUGUUCGAGCCAAAUCUUAUUCACACCAGUCGGAGAUACGAAAAGGGAAGGUGGUUUGACCGGAUGUUUGCCCCAAUCUUUGAAGAUAUCUUCACAUUCAAAUUGAUUAAUGGAUAUCACAUCACUUAUACUACAAUAGUGAUUGUGAAGCUAACAGAUAUCUGGGGAAGAUACAAAUAGCCUAUGGUACAGGUAGUACAACAUGACCACUCCCAAGAAGACAUCGACUCCAUAUGGACAGGCUGCUGGACUGCAAGAAAAGCUCUCGCAGAAGUAUAUGGGACUAUUCCCAUGUAUAUUACGCACAGUCCUAUUUCCCCACAAGUCUGUAGUACUCUAGAUCUUUACUACAGGGAAGAGAUCAGAAACCUCAAACUUCAUAACGACGAAGAACAAGCAGCAGACAUACAACAAAGGUACAACGACUACUUUAUCAGGCAUGGCAGGCCAAUAGAAGUCAAUUAUCUGGAUACUCCAGAUAUUGACAGAUGGAGGAACGAGUGUGAAGAAAUGGCUGAUUUGCUAGACCUUCAAGAAUGACACCAACAAGAACUUAACCCAUAAUCAGAUAAUGUAGUCGAACCGGAUUGGCAGCAACUGGCAGUUGACAUGGAAGCAGCAUCCAAAGAAAGGUGGAAUCGUAGGUCAAGAAUGAGUACGCUGACAAGUGGUAACUUUGGGUUGUAGCGGAAGCUUAGCGGACCCUGCAGUAGAAGCAGUGGUGAUAAUAAUAUAUGUAUAAUAAGCGUAUUUGUAUAUCCCUCAGAGAUGAGGAUAAGAGUGUAAUAAGUGUGAUGUGAUAUAAAGUAAGUAAUGAGUUGUAAAGUAGAUUCCUUAGUGAUAAGGAUCAAUAAUACAAAUAAUGUGUAAUAGUGGAUCCCUUGAGCCUAUAAAAGGGAACCCUUGGUUUAUGUCUAUGCAUCGAGUCUUGGAGUGCAAUCUUGUAUUUGUAAAUCUCUGAUUCCUUUUAAUAGAAGUAACCUUCGAUUGUUGGUUAUAAUUAAAUUGGUAUCAGAGCCAAAUUUCCCAAAAGGAAACCCCUGGGUGUGCAACAAUAUUAUGCUAUGUGGUUGCCGAAAUACUUCGGAUCCUCCACAUCAAAAAGUUAUUGGAUACUGAGUUACCUGUCCAAAAAAAAAAACACUUAUUUUAUUAUAACCAACAAUCGAAGGUUACUUCUAUUAAGAAGAAUGAGAGAUUUACAAAUACAAGAUUGCACUCCAAGACUCGAUUCCUAGACAUAAACCAAAUGUUCCCUUUUAUAGGCUCAAGGGAUCCAUUAUUACACACUAUUUUCAUUAUUGAUCCUUAUCACUAAAGAAUCUACUUUACAACUCAUUACUUACUUUAUAUCACAUCACACUUAUUACACUCUUAUCCUCAUCUCUAAGGGAUAUACAAAUACACUUAUUAUACAUAUAUUAUUAUCACCACUGCUUCCACUGUAGGGUCCACUAAGCUUCCGCUACAACCCAGAGUUACCACUUGUCGGCGUACUCAUUCUUGACCUACGGUUCCACUUUUCUUCGGAUCCUGCUUCCAUGUCAACUGUCAGUUGCUGCCAAUCUGGUUCGACUACAUUAUCUGGUUGUGGGUUAAGUUCUGGUUGGGGUCAUUCUUAAAGAUCUAGCCAACCAGCCAUUUCUUCAAGGUCGUUCCUCCAUCUAUCAAUAUCUGGAGUAUAAUUGACUUCUCUUGGCCUGUCAUGCCUGAUAAGGAAGUCGUUGUACCUCUGCUGUAUGUCUGCUGCUUGUUCUUCGUCGUGAUGAAGCUUGAGGUUUCUGAUCUCUUCCCUGUAGUAAAGAUCUGGAGUACUACAGACUUGUGGGGAAAUAGAACUGUGAGUAAUAUACAUGAGAAUAGUCCCAUAUACUUCUGCGAGAGCUUUUCUUACAGUCCAGUAGCCUGUCCACAUGGAGUCGAUGUCUUCUUGGGAGUGAUCAUACUGUACUAUAUAUACUAUAGGCUGUUUGUAUCUUCCCCAGAUAUCCGUUAGCUUCACAAUCACUAUUGUAGUAUGAGUGAUGUGAUAUCCUUUAAUCAAUUUGAGUGUCAGGAUAUCUUCAAAGAUUGGGGCGAACAUCCAGUCAAACCACCUUCUCUUUUCGUAUCUCCGACUGGUGUGAAUAAGAUUUGGCUCGAACAAUAUUGCCACAGGAUAGAUGUUUAGCCAAUACCAGGUUAUGUAAUUGGCCUGAGGGGUUAUGUCACAAAUAAUAUAAUGUCCCCAGUUGGAGUUCUCAUCAAUUACAUAACGGAAUGUAUAACUUUUUUUGAAGACUAUUUCGUGCAUCUAGUCAGGAUUAUGAUGUGGAUCAAAAGCUCUUUGACAUUUCUUGUUGUGAGCAGGUCUAUGUUCUUGCAUGACCAUGAGCUGCCAUACCCGCCAUGUUAGAGCUUGAUCUUCUGGAUCUCUCCUGUAAUUGAUGACUUUCUCAAAGAUUUCUUUUUGUACUUUUGAAGAAAGCCACGCAAUGAAAGUGUUGAGAUCUUUGAGAAAGUGUGCUCUAGUCUCAUGAGCACUAGAGCUGCAUUCUUCCCACCUCUUUGGAAGGCUUUUUCUUUUGAUCAUGUUGAUUGGUCUGGAAAGGAAAUCUGCAACAGUGUUGGAUUUUCCUUUGAUGUGUCUUACUUCGAAUUUGAAUCUCGAGAGAGACUCAGACCACCUUGCAAGCUGUGGAUAUGGGAUUUCUCAUUCUUUUCUUCUUAGUAAUCCCUAGAGGUACUUGUAAUCUGUUUCAAUUACAAAAGGGGUUAAUGAAAGAAAGAAUUGGAACUUCUUAAUCCCUUUGAUGACUACUAAGACCUCUUUCUUUGAUGAAGGGUAGUGACUCUGAGCAUUAUUGAACUGGCCAGAUUUAUAGCCACAUACUUUCCUGUUUAUGUCGGAUUCUUCUAUCAGCAGUUCUCCCCAAUAAUGGUCACUAGCAUCUAUCUGUAAGAUGAGCUGUCCAUUGUCAGGUAUCUUUAAUGGUGGAAGUGACUGGCACUUUUGCUUUAAGUCCAUCACGGCUUUUGUCACUUCUUUCGACCACUGUGGGGCACCUUUCUUUAAGUGCUUGGCUAUCUGACUCGUCAUCUUUGACAGGUUCUGCACAUAGUCUGUUGCAUAGUUGAUUAUCCCGAGAAAUUGCUGGAUCUGUUUUCUUGUUGAUAACUGGUCUGGGAAUUGGGAUAUUUUCUUAGCAAUGUGUGGCUAAGGAAUGAUGUAUCCCUGUUUGAUGUGUAGUCCCAAAAAAUCUACCUCAUUAAGACCUAUCUUCAUUUUUUAUUCUGACAGAGCUAACUUAUGCUUAUAGGUUAGGGCUUUGAAUUGAGAUAGAUGUUUAACAUGUUCUUCUUCUAUGUUGCUGAAGAUAAGGGGAUCGUCAAUAUAGAUAAGGCAGAAUCCUGAGAUGAAUUUAUACACUUCUUUAAUUCUAUUCUGGAAUUCUGACGAUGCAUUCUUUAGACCGAAAGGCAUCACGUUCCAUUCAUAAUGCCCAUGGGGGACCACAAAUGAUGUUUUAUAUCUGUCUUCUUCCUUGAUUCCAAUCUGCCAAAAGCCUGACUUCAUGUUAAACUUUGAAAAUACAUUUGCUCUAGCUAUGCGCUUCAAAAUGUGUUUCCUCCGUGAAAUGGGGUACCUUAUGUCUUGCAAGCAAUCAUUUAGCUUCCUGUAGUCUAUCACCAAUCACUUUUUCCCACGCAUUUGUUCUGAAUGCUUGUUGACAUAAAAUGCUGGGUUGGGCCAAUGAGACUUAGAGGGCCUAAUCAGCUUCAGAUCCAUAAGGGCUUGGAUAUCUGUUUUGCAUAGUUCUUCAUUAUAGGCAUGCCUGUAUGAGAGGCUGUCUGGUGAGGCAUGAUCCAUCCAUAUUUGUAAGGUAGAGACACAAAAUGUUGUUCUCUAGCCCAGAACUGAUUAGGAACUUCUGCACAACAUUCUAAGAGCUCUUUGAUCUGGAUUUCAUAUUUAUGGAUAGGGUAAUUUUUUAUCUUUCUACCCUCUCCAAAAUAGAGUAUUUUUCGACCCAAGGAACUUGGAAAACAUGAGUGUUACCAUCCAUAGGAUUAUGGACCGUGUAAGAGAAUCAUUCUGGAAAGAAUGCAAAAGGGGCAACAAGACUUAAAAAGUCUGUUCCCAAUAAGAUAUCUUCUCUAAAAUAAUCAAAGGCAAAAAAUCCAUGCCUAAUCAUGAAGGGUUGGAUCUCUAUUGGUCGUGUGAUCUUUUUGCUGUAGAAGUCCCUGCUGCUUGCUGAUCCAAAAGAAACUCUUGUAAGAAUAUAAAAUUCUUUAGGAACACAAGCCUCUUUGAUGAACGAGCACAUUGCUCCAGUAUCAAUUAGAGCAGUAAGUGCUACCUGGGUAUCUUCUGUUGGUUUGAGGAUGAUUUUAAUGUGUGGUCUGAAGAGAGAUGUUGGUUGCAUAGCUAGAUCUACUUGUAAAGGUUCUUUGACUACCAGUACAGAGUCUUCUUCUUCCGAACUGCUUUAGUUACUGGUAGUGGUCUCUUCUCCGCCAAUGUCUGAAAGUGGGUUUCCAUUUAAGGUAUAGACAGCUCCAAGCAGACUAUCUGACCAAGUGUAGAUUUCGUCAUCAAAAUCUUCCUGCUGAAUCAUUUGGAGGAGUUUUACUGGAAGUCGCUUCUUGGAUUUGCAUUGCUUUGCAUAGUGACCUUUCUUGCCACAGAUGAAACACCUGCCAGAGCCCUUAUUCUAUUUUUGCCUUUUAAUGAAGCGGUACUUCUUUCCUUUGUAGGGUUUCCAGGGCCUUUUCUCUUUUCUCUGUUUGCCAGUACUGCAAGAACACAUUUUAUCUGUAUGUUGGCAACCAAAUUUAUUUGGUUCCUCAUUGCAAAAUUUCUGCAAAGAUGAUUUUUCAAUGUGCUUCAUGUGCUUCCUUAGAUCUUGUGAUCUGCAAUGGCUCUGGAUUAAUUCCAUCGCCAUCUGAUAGGGUUGGGCUAUGCUGAGCACUGAUAAAUCAACAAUUGCAUCAGCUUUUAGAUUUGCCUCCAUCAUUUCUGCAACUGGUCCUGGCAUGUUCAGCACGAACGUUCUGUGGAUGGUGUUCGAGUUUUUGUGAAAGGUAUAGUAUAGCCUUUCCUGUUCUAGGUAGUAUUCUUCCAUCUUUCUGACAUCACAGUACUUGUUUUGGAGAAAUUGCUUUUCUGCAACCUCUUCUUCUCUUGUGAAUUGCCCUAAGAAAUCUAAGGAUAGAUUUUCUAGAAGGCUUCCAUAAGGGUAAUCCAUGUUCAGUAUGUGCUGUCUUUCUUCUCUUAUGAGUUUUCUUCCCCACUAUCUUCUCAACGAGCUUAUGAAUCCUGCUACAAGCCUCAUAGCAGCUGCUCUCCUGCUUAGCUGAGGGGCUCUUUGACAUUCGCCUUCGUACCAAGCCACCAUUUUCUCAAAAUAAGCCAAUCUUUUUUUUGGCUUCAUUCCGUCAAUGUUCCAGAACAUUUUCCCAGUUGUUGAGUGCCCAAGUUGUACUCUGGUGUCUCAUUCUUCUCCUUAUGACACUUCUUCCAUAGUUGGUACUUGUUCAGCUGGAUUGGAAGAUUCUACUCCAGAUGCUGCUGGUUGAGCAGUAAAUUCUGGGGCAGUAAACUGCGUUGUUCCUGACGGAUUCUGGGUUGGUACUUGUCUGCUAGGAUCAGAAGUUUGACCAUGUUCAUGUGUUGAGGCAGUAAAUCUUACUCUAGUAUCCGUGUAGAACGGCGUUGCAGGAUUGGUUCUUUGCAUAAGAAUAGGUAUAAAAGGGAACUGGUUUUCUGAAGUAUCAUAUGAAGAGAUACUUAUUUCUUUUUCAUGAUCCCCUUUCUUCUUCCCAUCAUGUGCCCUUUUGGGGCCAUGGGUAUUGGGGAGGAGGAGCAUAGCUUCUCCAAAAGGCUUUCUGACAGUUGCCAGAUGUAUUUUCUUCCCAAAUAUGACAUGGCUUUGUAGACUUGCUUUUCCAGUGCCUAGAUACCUUCUUGGUAUAGCACUCUUUUGUUUUCUCUAUUUCAUCUUUAUUUGCAGCACCUGUCAUCACUAUCAUAUUAACAGGUCUGCUAUUUUCAUGGAGUUGUGAAAACUGCUGGGUAGUUAUCUUGUGAGUUUUUCUAGUCUUUUUUAGCUGUUUUCUUAUGGCAGCUAAGUCAACAAGUAUUUGCUGUUGGGUGACCAUGAUGUCUCCUAGCGCCUGAUUUUGCUCCACAGUAUUGAUGUUUGACCAGUUGAGUGCUUUUUCAAUUGGACCAAACUCAGUUGGGUUGCUCUUCUGUAUUACCCACUUAGUUGAGUAUACACCACCAGGAAUAUCCCUGACAAAUUCAUUAUCAAGGUCUGGGGUACUGAUCAUGGUUACUGGACUCAUGAUUCUGCAAGAGGUUGUUCUCUUUGGAUGUGUGUGCACAAGGAGGGAUGUUUUCCUUUAAGUUGACAUUUUUCACAUGGGUAGAAGGCUUUAGUCUCUGUUGGGAAAGAGACUGAUACCCUUCCUUCUUGCAACCUGCUAAUCUUUGGAGCCUCAUGGAUCUACUGAGGCCUGUUGUUUCUUUUGUACUCAUUGAUCCAUUGUGGUGGAAAAAUGAGUUGAUUUUGCCUAUAAGUCCUGGGCUGAAAGACUCUGCCAUCACCAGCAAGGAAUCUGGUAAUAGGUUUUCCAGAGCUGCUCAUAGAGAACAUAUGGGUUUGGACUUUAUAGGUCAUGGAGUGGUGAAUUGCCAAGGCAGAUUCAUCAGGUUUUAUGGUUAAUCCAUUUACCUGGAUUAAUACCUUAAUGACAUCUGUGAGGAAAGGCUUGUGUAUAUCAAGGGUGAAGUUUGGUUCAACUUGGAGAACAACAUGACUUUGGUUGAGUCCUGCUUCAACAACAGUAAUCAAGGCUUUCUCAAAAGUUUGCCAUCUAGUAUCUAGAAUGGCAAUGAAACAUGUGAUGUCUUUCCAGCUAAGAACAAUAGUUGUAUUCCUAUAUGGAUGGCUCCAAGGUGCAGUCCCUUGUAUCCCUGCAUCUUGUACCUUGUAACCUCAUUGGUAGAGAUUAUAGGUAGGUACGUUUCUUUUGAACUAGAGGAGAUGGACUGGACAAUGAUUUCUGAGGAUUUGUAGAUGGUUUUUAGUUUGGGCUGUCUAAUGGGGAUUAUGGCUCUAAGAUGGUUUAGAGUAUGGCUAAUAUGGUAAUAUCUAUAAGGAUCUAACGGAUCAAGUCUAAAGGACUGAACCGCUCUCUCACUGCUUUCAUCCUCUUGGGUUUUAUAAUUGAAGUUUAUGGAGGGUGAGCUAUCAGUUGGGACUCUGAUGGCCGAGGUGGAUGGUUGGUCAGAAAUUGGUUGGUUUCCUGUCUAUUACUGUUUUGGUUUUCCAUAGCUAAAAGAAAUCAAAGAGUUUUCUUUGGGGUUAUAAGCCCUAAACACAUGGUAAUCCUAGCCUUUUCAAGAGGGCGCCACACCUUACAGAAUUCACUCUGUAGUGUUUUAGAAUGGAAUUUUUUUUUUUUUUUGGAUAGGUAGCUCAGUAUCCAACAAUUUUCUAAUGUGGAGGAUCUAAAGUAUUUCGGCAACCACAGAGCAUAAUAUUGUUGCACACCCAGGGGUUUCCUUUUAGGAAAUUUGACUCUGAUACCAAUUUAAUUAUAACCAACAAUUGAAGGUUACUUCUAUUAAGAGGAAUGAGAGAUUUACAAAUACAAGAUUGCACUCCAAGACUCGAUGCUUAGACAUAAACCAAGGGUUCCCUUUUAUAGGCUCAAGGGAUCCACUAUUACACACUAUUUGCAUUAUUGAUCCUUAUCACUAAGAAAUCUACUUUACAACUCAUUACCUACUUUAUAUCACAUCACACUUAUUACACUCUUAUGCUCAUCUCUGAGGGAUAUACGAAUACGUUUAUUAUACAUUUAUUAUGUGCUGUUAAGGCAAGACUCAACCAAGGUCAUCUUGUUCUCCAAGUUGAACCAUACUUCACCCUUGAUAUACACAAGCCAUCCAUCACAGAUGCCAUUAAGGUAUUAAUCUAGGUAAAUAGAUUAACCAUAAAACCUGAUGAAUCUGCCUUGGCAAUUCACCACUCCAUGACCUAUAAAGUCCAAACCCAUAUGUUCUCUAUGAGCAGCUCUGGAAAACCUAUUACCAGAUUCCUUGCUGGUGAUGGCAGAGUCUUUCAGCCCAGGACUUAUAGGCAAAAUCAACUCAUUUUUCCACUACAACAGAUCAAUGAGUAUGAAAGAAACAACAGGCCUCAGACGAAAUAAGUCCUGGGCUGAAAGACUCUGUCAUCAGUAACAAGGAAUCAUAUGUAUAUGUAUAUCACAUUACAUUUACAAACCCUAAAUCUCUCAUAAACUUGCACUCACAAAGCUGCCGCUCCCACGCCUUCAACACUCUAAGUCAACUCCCUCAUCUUCAACUCUCCAAGCCAAGUAGCCAACCCCCAGCAGCAACAACCCUCACCCCUCCUCUUCAAACACACAAAGAAACCUUAAAUCUCAAUCCAAGAAUAAAUUAAUAGAAAUUAUUUCUUAUUCUUAUUCUUCCUUUUUUUCUCUCUCUUUUCCCACUUCUUAGAUCUUCCCUGUAACUCACCGUGCACAACACCUCCACAUCACAUCCAUGUUUGUGCAGCAACUGUCUUGUUAGUUUGUUCUUAGUUGUUUGAUAUUUUGAAAUUUUCAUAUAUUAUAUUGAUAAUUGAUAUUUUAUUUGUCAAUUGUAAUUAUUAUGCUACUUAAUUUAAGUUUUUGAUGGAGAAUGAAAUGAAUGAAUUUAGGAAGAGAUUGAAUGAAAUGAAUGAAUUUUAUUUAUUUAAAUUUUACAAAGUAGGUUGAAAUAAUUAAGAUGUUGUAACAAUUUAUUACAAGAUUUUUCCCCUUUUAAUUCAAUUUAUGCGGGCAGAGGAAACCUGAAUAAAAAACCCGUGCCCAGAUAGUGCUGGGCUACGCCCUGCUCGCAUAUGAAAAAUCCAGGCAUGGUCUGGGUCCGGACAACUAUGUGUAUCAUGCGGGCCGGUCCCGGGCAGCCCCAAACCCGGACCCGACCUGGACUUUUGCCAACCCUAAAAGAUAGUCCUUAUACCCUUACUAGAAGCAUUACACUCAACUUUAAAUAACUUGUUAAAGUUUGAUACGGUCACCACAAGAGCAGUAUACAACUUCUCCUUUAAUAAAAAAAAAAAACUCGCCUCUUGCUCUUCCCCUUAUUUGAACUUUCUUUCUUCAAGCACUUUGUAAUUGGUGCAGCUUUGGUGUUAAAAAUGUGAAUGAAUCUCCUAUAAGAUAUCACCAGCCCAUAAAAACUCCUAACUUUACCCAUGGUUUUAGGUAUAGGCCAUCCUAUAAUAGCUUGUAUCUUCGACUCAAUAGCUCUAAGUCAUUUUAUACCAACUAUGAAUCCUAAAAACUCCACAUUAAUUUGAAGAAAGCUACAUUUGUUCUGGUUAAUGUAAAGUUUAUUCUUCCACAAGAACUCUAUAAGGAUUCUCACAUAUGUGUCCUAACAUUAAUAGAAUAAAUCAAAUAUUAUUAAAAUAUAUCACAAUAAAUUUACAGGAAAAAUGUUUGAAAAUUCUUGGCGCAUUCGAUAACUUGAAUUGCAUCACGAACUACUUAUACAAUCCUUCUUUUAUUUUCAGCAUUAUUUUUUGUUCAUCUCCAAGCCUAAUCCUUAUCUGAUGAUACAUGUUGCGUAAAUUUAUCUUUGAGAAAAUCCAGGCAUCAUCUAACUAAUCUAGUAAAUCUUAAAACACUGAAAUAGAAAAUCUAUACUUUAUAGUAAUCUGGUUGAUCUGCUUGCUAUUCACAUACAUGCGCCAGCUCCCAUAGAACCAACAAAGUCGGUACAACAUAUGGACUCAUACUUUCAUAAAUGAAUCUUUUUUGCAACAACUUAUUAACCCGUGCUUGUAAGAUUGCGUGCUUGUGAGGACUCAUAUGAUAGUGAGGCAAGUUAGGUAUACUUGUACCAAAAACUAGGUCCAUAUGAUGGUAUAUAUCUCAUAAAGGCGAUAAGCCAUUUGACAUUUCAGAGGGUGUGAUAUUAGUAAACUCGGUUAAUAAAGGUUGCACUUUGUCAUGAAUAGUCUUUACCUUAAAUUCUUCCUCUUUUUUCCAACUUCUGGUAACUAUCACAAUCAUCCUCCAAAGGACUCUUUACAAUGGCUAGAAAGUUCUUCUCUUCAGCCUUAGAAUUCUUCUUCUAGUUCUUUUAAAGGUCCUUAACAAACCUUUUUGCUAUUUUACUAAAAUUCAUAUAUAUUAUCCCUUCUUCUAUGAAUUACAUCAACAUUAAACUGCCAAGGUCUACCAAGUAAAAGAUAACAAGCAUCUACAUCCACCAUGUCACACCACAUCAUUUUUUAUAAAUCUUCCCAAUAAAGAAUAAAACACGACAAACCUCUAUUACUUGUGUUUCUGUCUUUUUCUUUAUCUAACUUAUGUUGUUAAGUACUAGAUGUUUUUCUGUUAAAAGUUCUAUCAUGUCAACCAGUGCCUUUAAACUAUGUUCUCGCUAUUGUCACUAUCGAUUAUCAUUUCGUACACGUUAUCACUAAUGGUGCCAUGUUCCUAAAAAUCUUAUUACGUUGGUUAUAUUUAUCAAGCUUCGUUGCUAAUAAAAUCUUAUGCACAAUAUAAUUCAACAUCUCUCCUUCAUCUAUACUUAACUCUUACUGUUUCUUUGUCAUCUCUAUUCUUAAUAGUGUUUGUCUCUAUCUUGUUGGCUUUAGCUUUUACCAAAUUCAAAACUUUACUAUGACAUUCAUUUGAUCGAUGCCCUGGUGCCCUAUAUCUCAAACACCUGUUUAGCAUAGGCUUUGCAUAUAGAUCAUUCUGAGACUAUUGUUGGUACUGCUACUGUUAGGAUGGAUACUACUGUUUAGGUAGCUGCUACCUUGUUUGUUACUGUUGUGGUGGUUGUUGUGAUUGACUACUUCCAGCCAUGACUUUUGCUUGUUCUCAACCCCACCAUUAAUCGACUUAUUUUGCAGACCAUGGACUUAAUGAUGCUGAGUUUCAAAAACAGCAAACUGUUUUCAUUCUUCUUAUUUCUUUGCCCUUGCGACCAUCAUGCCUAUAUUCUAGAGUGGCUUUAUGAUCUCAUCUUGAAGCUUUUAUUCCAAUCCGCGAAUAUACUUUGCAAUUGUUCUAAAUAUCGACUCAUUUAUAUUAUUUUUGGCAUUUGUACUAUGCUGGCAAGAAAUACUCUUCCAUUAUCCUCUGCAUUUUAGCCCACGAUAUGAUCAUUAGCUUUCUUGCAAUUCUUAUUCAAUUCUCUAUAUGUUGCUACCAAGCGAAUGCCAACCCACUUCUAUUAAGCGAUCUGCAUAUACAUGAAGAAAUUCUAUACUUAUGUUUUCCAAUCUAAAAAUUCUUCAAUAUGCAUCCACCAUAGAAAUCUAGAGGAUCUACAUUGAUCUUAUAAUCUGAAUUCUUUCCGCACCUUCUUUCAUAAUCGACAAACUCGUCUUCCUCCGAAGCGCUUACUACGGCCUCAUGAAUGCACGGGUAUUCAUCUUACAAGACCUAAAUAUUGAGGCAUUACACUGCAAUUGGUGCCCUAAGGCAUUAUUUCAUGAUUAUAUCCUUGCGGUAUCUUCCCAUGGUUAGAAUUUUGAGAUUGUUCUUCACUCUUGACUCCUUAAAGUAUUUCUUUGCUAUUAUCUCUAAGAUGUUGAUCUCUCUUCCUACUUAUAUCGUCAAUAGAAAGCCCAAGACCUUUAAUUGCUACCUUUAUCACCUUUNNNNNNNNNNNNNNNNNNNNNNNNNNNNNNNNNNNNNNNNNNNNNNNNNNNNNNNNNNNNNNNNNNNNNNNNNNNNNNNNNNNNNNNNNNNNNNNNNNNNNNNNNNNNNNNNNNNNNNNNCUUUGAUAAGUUACAUUAUAUGCCCAAAACGAACACCUGUAGUUCAAGUUAUAACCUUCAAUGUGUAUCCAGCUCAUCCUAAGCAACCAUCCUACAUCGUUAAUAACAUUUGAGUUUGAGAUGUUGAAUAUUUAAUCUUAUAGGAGUAAAGAUAGGAAAGAAAAGUAGGCUUAAUUCAUGCUAUUUUAGUAUUAAAUGACAAUUUAAAAUAAAUUAUGUUUUAAAAUUUUAUUACAUAAAGGUAUGGAAAUUGUUCAAAAUAUGUUUUAAGCAUAAACUCCUCCGUUUGAAGUAAUAGUGUCUGACUAGAAAUAGUUAAAUCAACUUAUUACGAUGAGACCCAUCAAAUUUAAUAUUUAAAAAACUUGUCAUCUCAUCAUAGAACACACAACUCUCCAUUUACUAGAGUAUGAGUGGUUGGCAGACACCAUGGCUUACACAAAUAUUUCUAAUAUUUGAAUCCUCAAACCCUUCUAACAAUGCCACCAGUGUCUUUUGUAAGUCAUUGAUAACGGACUAGCCCAGUUGAAUACUUUUCAAUUUAUGGGUCAUAAUCGCCAAUUUCUAGAUAGAACAAAUAUGUACAUGCAUACUAGUAGAUUGAAUGACAACUGACAGCAUAUGAUAUAAUUAACUUAUUUCCGGAAGAAUUAAAAAACAAAAAAAAAACAGUGGAUGAAACAUAAGACUCUUAUGUCAAGAGUUCGAAUUCGUCAAUCAUGUACAGGCAGAUCAACCUUAAGAUAAGUGGGGUUCACAAGAAAAUAGUUUUAAAAAAAUAAAGAGAAAAUUAUUUUAGUUAUUAAUUACUUUCUGUUAAGUCUAUUAAAAUAUCUUGUUAUAUUUAUAUAAAUAGUAAACUCAUCAUAAAUCUAUUAAAUUUAAACUUUCACUUUGAGAAAUAUAAAAGCGCACACUUUAAUUUUAAAAAAUAAAAUCCUACAGUAACUCAUAUUGGUGGUUUUAUUAGUAUUUAAAUUAGUCGUAUUAAAUUUAUUAGGACUAACCUUUAUAAAUUCAUUAACCCAUAAAAUUUUAGUUUUCACAUCUCGUCAUUAUAUAAUUCAGUCCCCGAAAAUUUAUUUUACUGCAUUAAUGUCAAUGGUCCUUCAACUUCCUUAAAAUUGAUGUUCAGCUAUAUUGACACAUUCACUAUUACCACUUUUUUCAGAACUCAUAUGCACUAUUAUAAUUAGAAAUUAAUUUAGCUACUAACAAAUUAAGUCUAUCAACAGAUUUCUAAACCUCACUAAUAAUUCAAAGAUAUUUAUUCCACGAGAAGGUUUUUGGUAUUUAUUCAAUAUUUGCCACAUGUGUAUGAACAUUAUCAUAAUUAGUUGAAACAUACACUUGAUAAGAUGCGAAUGUAAAAGGAACAAUAUUAUUCUAGGAGCUAUCCCUCAAGAAUUUUUCUUACUCCGUGCCACAUGAGUGAAGGAAAUGUCUACCUCAACCUAAUUAUAUAUUAUUGGACAAGGAGUUGUUGAGUUCCCACUAGGGAUUCGUUGGUCCAUUUACCACCACCUUGUAUUUAAAAAUUUUGGUUGAAUUUAUUCAACAGCAACAAGAAUAAUAUAAAUGGAAAAAAAAUACAUUCAAAUAAUAUUCCAUGACUCUGUUUCUUCAAUUUCAGGAACAAUGGUGGAAUCAUUUUUGGCGCUUGAAAAACUUAUGGAAAAAUUAGGGUCUCGUGCUUUCGAAGAACUUUUAUUGUUCUAUUGUGUCAAAAAUGACGCAGAAAAGCUAAAGGAAACCCUAACCGUUGUCAAAUGUGUGGUUUUGGAUGCCGAGGAAAAGCAAGUCCAUAAUCACCAGUUAAGAGAUUGGCUGGAAAAGCUUAAGGAUGCCUAUUAUGAUGCAGAAGAUUUGCUGGAUGACUUCGAGGUGCAAGCUCUACGAAGGCAGGUCAUGAAGCAAAGAAGCAUUGGAAGGAAUUUGCGUAACUUUUUUGGGAGCUCAAAUCCGAUAGCUUUUCGAUGUAGAAUGGGUCAUCAAAUCAAGAAAAUCAGAGAGAGGUUUAAUGAGAUUGCAAACAUGAUGCAUAAGUUUAAUCUCACUCUAGGACUUGAUGAUCGUAAAGGGCAAACUGACAAAAGAGGGAACCUUCUCACUCGUUUGUACGUCCAUCANNNNNNNNNNNNNNNNNNNNNNNNNNNNNNNNNNNNNNNNNNNNNNNNNNNNNNNNNNNNNNNNNNNNNNNNNNNNNNNNNNNNNNNNNNNNNNNNNNNNNNNNNNNNNNNNNNNNNNNNNNNNNNNNNNNNNNNNNNNNNNNNNNNNNNNNNNNNNNNNNNNNNNNNNNNNNNNNNNNNNNNNNNNNNNNNNNNNNNNNNNNNNNNNNNNNNNNNNNNNNNNNNNNNNNNNNNNNNNNNNNNNNNNNNNNNNNNNNNNNNNNNNNNNNNNNNNNNNNNNNNNNNNNNNNNNNNNNNNNNNNNNNNUUGAAUGGUAAGAAAUACUGCUUGUUAUGGAUGAUGUAUGAAACGAAGAUCCCAAAGUAUGGGAUGAAUUGAAAAGUUUAUUGUGGGGAGGUGCUAAGGGAAGCAAAAUUCUGGUAACCACACGUAGCAACAAGGUUCCUUCAAUAAUGGGCACGACAAGAGGUAUUACUGAUUACAACUUACAAGAGCUGCCAUACAAGGACUGCUUGUCCUUGUUUAUGAAAUAUGCAUUUGGAGAAAGGCAAAAGAAACAUCCAAACCUCAUAAAAAUCGGGGAAAAAAUUGUGGAAAAAUGUAGAGGAAAUCCUCUGGCAGUGAGAACACUAGGAAGUCUAUUAUAUGGCACAACAGAUGAACAUUAUUGGGAGUAUGUGAGGGAUAAUGACAUAUGGAAGUUAAAGCAAACGGCAAAUGACAUUUUACCAGCUCUGCGGUUAAGCUACGAUCAAUUAUCGCCUCACCUGAGACAAUGUUUUGCUUACUGUUCUAUCUUUCCCAGGGAUUAUGAAUUUACAAGUAUUUUUUUUAUUCAAUUUUGGAUGGCACAUGGUCUUCUUCAAUCCCCCAAUGAGAAUGAAGAACCAGAAAAUAUUGGUAUGCAAUACUUGAAGGAAUUACUGUCAAGAUCUUUCUUCAAAGAUGUUAGGACCUUGCCGAAUGCUUCAAGCUUCUUUGCAAGAGAAUCAAAGCAUGCAAUCAAUAAAAGAAUAUAACCUUAAGAUCAAUCUAUGAAACUACAAUCACCAAGAAUAAGAAAGAUAAUGGCAAGAAGAUGUAACGUGGUUUGGCCACAAAAAGCCUACAUCCACGGAUGAAACAGUACUUGAUAAGUGCAUAUUUUCCAUAUAUUUUGCUAUUAAUUUCUCUAUCUUUUUCUUGUUUUGGUCUUAAAUAUUCUAGUUAUUUUAGUUAAUUUUUAAUUUAGUAAAUUAUAUUUUAUUAUGUUAAUUUUUAUAUUUUGUUAUUUUAGGUGCAUUUUGGGAAUAAAGAGGAAUUAAAUCAGAAUAUUCAAGUAAGGAGAGCUUAAGGAAGAAACUAAUUAGAAAUUUAAGGAAAGUAAUGGGAGUUAAAAUGGAAGAAAAUCAAAGCAGCCAAGGCCUAAUUGAAGUUCAUACGUGAAGAUGAGAAGAAUUAGCAUUGGAAAUAAUUUAAUUAAUAAGGCAAACACAUUCUUGUGAUGGGCUUUGGCCAAAUUGUUAUUGGCUUAUUAAUUAAAUAAGUCACGUGCAUGGCAUUGAAUUAUGGAAAGCAAAGUGAAACAAAAAAAGGAAAAUGGGCUUGCACGUGAAUCCAAAGAAAAGUAGCGGCUUGACUUUUGUCUUUAAUCCUUUUCAUGUGAGGAUUUAAGGCACAAUAUAAAAGAGGGCAGAUGCAAGGAGAAGAAAAAAAAAAAGCCAACAGCCGCUGGAUGGACAAUAUAAAAGAGGGCAGAUCCAAUUCGGCAGCCAAGAGGAUUUGAGGAACUAGCAGCCGGAAGAAGGAAAAGCAAGGGAGAAACCGAAAAGGAAUUGAAGAAAAGGGCAGCCGCUUGAAUUAAUCUCCAUGAUUGGUUUUGUCAAUUCUCUUAUUCCCAAUUCAAUUAUGUUAGGCUAAAUUUUUAUUUGGUUGAGGGUGAAUUCAAAACCCUAAACAUGCUAUGCAAUUAAAUUUAAAUUCUAUCAUUCAAUUUAUUUAAUUGAGAUUGUUUAUGUUCUUCUAUAAUUAAUGUUCACGUGCAUCUCUUGUAGCUUGAUCCUUGAAAUCUGAUCUUUUCUUUAAGUCUUUGGAUUCAAGAUCAUUCUUGACAUCCUUCAAUGUGAGAGUCUGUCUUCCAUAGAGCAAGGUAUCCACGAAAUGUUCAUAGGAGUCAGGCAAAGAGCUCAACAAAAUAGGAGCUCUAUCUUCAUCUUCAAGCAUGACAUUAACGUUUUCAAGAUCGAGUAUCAAUUUAUUGAACUCAUCAAGGUGGUCUUUCAUGGCUGUCCCUUCCUUCAUUCAAAACGUGUAGAGCUUCCUCUUCAUGUAUAAUCUUUUAGCCAAAGAUUUCUUCAAGAAGAGUUCUUCCAGUUUAGCCUAUAAACCAGAGGCUGUCCUCUCUUUGGCUACUUCUCUCAGCACUUCAUCAGACAAGUGUAGAAUGAUAGUGCUGUGAGCUUUGUUGUUUAUUGUUCUUGAGUCUCCACUAAAACUUGAAGAUCCUUCUUCCUUUUCCCUUUUGGACUUUGAUUCUUCUUCAUCAUCAAGGGCACUAUCCAAGCCCUGUUGAAUCAGAAUGGCUCUCAUCUUAAGACUCCACAGGUAGAAGUCAUUCUCACCAUUAAAUUUUUCAAGAUCGAAUCUUGUGCUACCCAUUAUGCCAGAUCAAGAACAGAGUGUCCUUCUGGCUCUGAUACCAAUUUGUUAGGACCUUGCCGAAUGCUUCAAGCUUUUUUUCAAGAGAAUCAAAUCAUGCAAUCAAUAAAAGAAUCUAACCUUAAGAUCAAUUUAUGAAACCACAAUCACCAAGAACAAGAAAGAUAAUGGCAAGAAGAUGUAACGUGGUUCGGCCACAAAAAGCCUACAUCCACAGAUAAAACAAUACUGCUCUAAGCUUUUAUUAGAAUGAAAAUGGAUGACAACAGGUUAUGAGAUUACAGAGAUAUUAACUCAUCAUAUAAGCUCUAUAUCUUACUCAAAGAAUCUCUCACACGUUCGUUUUGAAGAAUAUCCUUUUGCUGCCCUUUUAUAACACCUCAGCUAUGAAAGAGAAACGUCAACUGUUAUUCUUAACUAACAGUUUUAACAGCCAAAAGAACUCAUGCCAGCUCAGCAUGCCACCUCAUUCAUGUUAACAGAAUAUAACUACUUUCUGGCUUCAUAAAAGAUUUUACUAAUGAUCAGAUGCUUGAAGGAUUUGAGUUAUUCACUUUCAAAAUGCACAACCUCAUCCAUGAUCUUGCACUGCUAGUGGCCAAAGGUGAAUUCCUAAUGCUGAACUCUGAUUGUCAAUCUAUUCCCAAAAGAGUCCGUCAUUUGUCAUUUGUUAGUGCUAGUGCAUCAAGAAAUGAUUUUUCAAGCCUUUUAUCUGAUUUACGUCGUGUAAGAACCAUUUUGUUUUCAAUUAAUGAUGAGAAUACAAGCGAAUCAUUUUUCACGUCAUGCAUCUCAAAGUCGCAGUUCCUGAGAGUGUUAGAUUUAAAUGACUCGACUAUUGAGGUUUUGCCAAGAGAGAUAGGUAAUUUGAAGCACAUGAGAUAUCUUGAUCUAUCAAGAUAUUGUCAAAUCAAGAAACUUCCAAACUCCAUUUGUGAGCUACAGAGUUUACAAACACUUAUACUUCGCGGAUGUUUGAAGUUAGAAGAGUUGCCUAAGGAUAUAAGGUACCUUGUUAGUCUUAGAAUGUUUGUGGUAACCACAAAACAGAAGUCUUUGCAAGAGAGUGGAAUAGCGUGCUUGAGUUCUCUUCGCAGUUUGAUAAUUUCUCAUUGCUGGAAUUUAGAAUAUUUGUUCGAGCAUAUAGGUCAACUAAGUGGCCUUCGAUCAUUAAUUUUAGUUGAUUGUCCUAGUCUAAUCUCAUUGCCAUCAGCAGUGAAGUGCCUCAGCUCAUCAGAGACUCUGAUUUUGAUUGACUGUAAAAGCCUUAAUCUUAAUCUGAACAUAGAAAUGGAAGGGGAAGGAAGUCAUCAUGAUCGUGAUAAUACAAGGACUCACCUCCAGAAGCUUUUCGUUUCGGGACUAAAACAGUUAUUGGAUUUGCCUCAAUGGCUUCUUCAAGGUUCUACUAAAACUUUACAGUUCUUGGGUAUUGAGGAUUGUCCCAACUUCAUGGCACUACAAGGGUCUCUGAAAGAUCUCGAAGCUCUUGAAACUCUUCUCAUUUCUGCUUGUCGAAAAUUGUCAUCGUUGCCGGAGGAUAUACAUCACCUCACUACUUUGAAAACAUUGUCCAUUAAAGAAUGCCCUGCGCUCUGGGAAAGAUGCAAACCGCUAACAGGUGAAGAUUGGUCCAAGAUUGCACGUAUCCCUCGGAUUAUGCUUGAUGACGAGAUGACUAAAUCAAGUGAUAAUUAGGUAUGGAUUGCUUUGUAAUUUUUAAUUUCUCAUUCAGCUAUACCGUUUAUAGUUUACUGUUCUGUUAUGUUUACUAAACAAAAACUCAUUGAAUGUUUAGUUAGUUAGUUCAAAUUUGUACUAAAUAAUUUCUAAUAUAUGAUUAGUUUGUUAAUACAAACUCAAACAUAUUAUUUGGAAACAAAACCGUACUUGGGGUUAUACAUGUUUCAAAAUCCAAACGGUUCAGGAUUUUUGAAAAAGGAAAUUAUAAUGAGAUAUUUUCUUAAUUACGCAGUUAUCUUCAUAUGGAACCUUAUUCACAUAAAAGGAGAGCUUCUGAAAUUUCAAUCUUUGUUAAUAUUUUAACUCGCGCCGAAAUAUCUAACAAUUUGUCCUCUAUUUUCUCUUCUUUUCUUUUCUCUUCUUUUUCCCCAAAUAUUUCAGCUUUCUUCGGAGAGGCUCAGCCAAGCUGCAGAGACAGUGAAAUUAUUACUGCAACAUUGUUCAGAACAGAGGUUCAACGGUUUUAUUGUUGUGUUUAAAAUUAUUGAUGAUAAGUACGUUGAGUGAUGUAUAUAUGUGUGCCGGUGUGAUCAUUACUAAUAACCUUAAUCGUAUGUUUUUAAUAACAAUGAUGUUCCAGAAUUUCUCAAAUUCUCAUAGCGCACAAUUCGUGUUUAUGCUCGGUUUCUUUCUCCUCCCUCAGUAGUCAGUAAUAUAAUUUGCAUUGACUGCAGUUUUUAGAUCUACACAAUCUGCUGAUUUUUUUGAAGGAUAUUGAUGUGUUUUGUAAUGGAAUGAUGUUGUUUGCAUCUUGUGCUUUGUGAUUGAUGCCUUAUAUUUUCCCAAGGAAAAAAAAAAGAAAAAGAAAAAGCAAAUAGGCUUCUUGAUUUUAUCUAUUCAUUUUUGAAUGGUUGCAUAUUAAUCAGUAGAAGUUGGCACACUAAUUAGAUAUUGCAUUUUGGCCUUGAAGAAGAAAGUUUAUUUUUUUUGCAAUGCUUCUUUCUCUGUAUAAAAUGACUAAUUGAAAGAAUAUUUACUAUAAUAGAACCUGGAAUUUCUAUGUAUUUUAGGAGGAAAAUUUAUUAUACUACCACAUCAUCAUAUUACCAUUCAAUGAGUACAUGUUCUUCAUUUUCUUCUAUCGAGUUUAAUUAAGAACUUUAUCCCAUGGACUGCAUUAUUUACUGUCUACAAUCUGCAUUGAUUGACUGCAUUUUGAGGUUCUUUACAAUUUGUAGAUUAUUUUAAGAACAAUUAGCUACUGCCGUGUUCUGAUGUAAUGUCGGUGUCUAGUAUGCUUUUACCCAAGAUUGAACUAAUUAGAGAGAUGCUGGUACAUUAAAUUAUCCAUUUUUAUUAAUUUAUUAAUAUUGUAUUAAUGUAUUAUAUCAAAAUAUAAGAUACUUAAACUUUUAAAUACUAGAAUCUUGGAACUUGGAAGGCAAUUUGAAUUUUGAAACGGCACCGUUUCAGCUCAACCCACUAUAUGUGUGUGUAUAUUAACAUAUUUAUGACGUACAGAUAAUUUGAUUGGUCGAUUAAUAUAUGUAGUUAGAAAAUUCUAAUCAUUCUGUUAGGUUACAUCACAGUUAUUUCAGAGAUUAAAGGGUUUCUGAAAGCUAUUUUUGUUACUAAUUUCUUGGUUAAGGUUCAAGCAGAAAGAACGGUAAAUGAACCUUAGUUCCCCACCUUUUUUUUUUUUUUUUAUUGCUAAAAAUUCCCCAGGUUAUUGAGUCUAUGUUAAAGUCCCUUGUGUACUUCAUCCGAGUCAAAAUUAACUAUCACAUUUGCGCAAUCUUGGCAUAAUAUUCAAAGCAGCUGAGCAGUUUAUGCAGCUAUUUACUUUUCAUCUUAUUCACUUCUACAGUCACGCAGGUUUUAUUUAUCUAUUUAUUUCUUUUAUCUAAUAAAGGAUGGAUAAAGUUUAAAUCAAUUUUAAUUUUCAGCUCACGAUUCGAACUCAGAAGAGCAGCAAUUAGCUUGAAAAAUAAAAAUCACUCGGCUAAAUGCCUGGGGCAAUUGUCACAUAGGUUGAAUUAAUGAAAAGAUGCAAUAAAUUUAUUAACAACACAAGGUUGAAUUAAUACGUCACACUCUCUCUUUCAUUAUUAAUCAGCCUAGAGGAAAAAAAAUAAAAUGACAUCUCACAGUCCUGUCUAGUCAAUGGAACCCAAUUUUUUGAGACGAGCAUUGCAUCUUCUUGAACCACCCAACAUCGUCCCUGCCGUCGUGUUUGGUGAAAAAUCAACCUUUAUUUUCUCACACGAGGCUUUGAGACGAUAUCUGGUGUCUGCAGUCUCCGCAAUUGCGUCAACUUCGAUCGUAAAGUUCACAGCUCCGAUUGACGUCCAUUCUUCAACAAUGGCAUCCGCAACAGAGGAAUUGAUGCUCGCCGAGGCAACAUCAACAGUCGCAUUAAUCAGCGUCGUGUGCUCGUGCUCAAAAUACUUAGGAUAUAAAGUAACCAUGGAGGAUAUAUUUUGCUCCAUGUACGAAAGUGAAACGUUAACAUCUCCCAUAGCCAGGGACUGAACAUAACACCCAUACAGGCGCCUGCAACUCUCAGGAUUUCCAACAGAGAAUAUAACGCUCCAAUUGGCUGUUAUACGACUAGAAUUAUUCGAGAUGUUCAACUUGAAUGGAUGUACACUCAAUGAAUCAACUCUGAACAUUAAAGGUCCGCCAGAGUAUUCUUUUCCAAUAAAGAUAUGGAGACUAAACCAGAUUGCCAAACAUAAUCCGAAGAAAGAGCAGCAAGCUAGUAUGCAAGAACAGAAAAGCUUACAGCAACUAGUAGCAAAGUCCUCGUCCAUUGUCGAAGAUUGUCCUUCUGCACGUUGAUUCCACGUAAUGACGAGAAUUAACAGAUUCAAAAACUCACCUUUGGAGACUGAAAUAUUAUUGUUAACUAGAAUCAGCUACUAAGGGCUACAAAAGAAAUCUAUUUAUAUUAUUAGCAAUUAUCCUGAAACAUUUAGGAAAAGGGAAAAAAAUUUCCUACUAACAAUAAGGAAACUGCAACUAAUCUAAAUUGCGAUAAGGAAAGCUAGUCCUAAUCUGUGUCAAUAUAUCUAUAGAGAGAGAGAACAAAAGUGGACGAAGGUUUAUUAAGAUUGUUGAGGAUUUAAUUUGAACAAAUUGAAUGUUGAUUGUUCAAAUUUUAAACAAAUUUGCGAUACUGAAUCUGAGUUUUGAAGAACAUCAAUUAUACAAUUAAAGUGUGUUUGGAACAUGGGAUUAUAGGGUAUUAAAACAUUAUUCACAUUAUCUUAAUACCAAUACCAUUGGAAAGAAAAUGGAUUAAAGGGGGUGUGCUAGUGUGGCAACUGCCGCAUUAGUGUGUUUUUUUUAAAUAAUAAUAAAUAAAUAUAACUUUUUAAUUCAACGUAAUAUUAUACAAUAUUAAUUUUUAUUUUCUUUUAUUUUUACAUUAUAAUUGUUAAUAUAAACUAAUAAAUUCAUAAUUUUAUUAUUCAUAUUUUAAUUUUUAUUAUAUUAAGAAUAUAACUAAAAUAAUAUAUUAUUUAAUUAUAUAAUAAUUAAUAUAUAAAAUUGAUUAAUAUUUAAUAAGUUAAUAUAACUAAUAAAAGUACUUAAAUAAUAGAAAAAUAAAAAUAUAACAUAAUAUUACAUUAUGAAUAAAUUUAAAUAAUAUUAAUUUAAAAUUAAUACCAAUAUAAAUAAUAAUAUAAAAUAUUAUUACAUGUACUAUGGGAUUCUUACUUGGAUUAUUUAGCACAAUUCAUUUUAUUGGUGAAUAUGUUACAACUAUUGAAUCACUUUAUUAUUUUGUGAUUAUCUUGUGGUAUAUAUAAACACUUUUAUUCUAUCAUCCUAAGAUAACUUUUAAACUAAUCUUGUAGGUUUUAACCAAUUUAAUUAUUAUUUAGAAAUUAUGUUCUUAAAUUAUUUACUUCGAUCUUUAUUUCACAAGUUAUAUAUUAAAAAAUACUCAAAAAUAAAUAUUAUGCUGCCGAAAAUGUAAGGCUAUAAGCUUUGAUCUUUAUGAAAAAUUUCUAAAAUUUAAGACUUCUAUAUUUAGUAUUUCUCUACAUACUAAUAAAUAUUAUUUUCUAAAUAUAUAAUUUAAAUUAAUCACAAAAAAAUUAAUACAAUACAAUGUAGCACCAAACGUUGUACAACAUUAUUAUAAUAUAGUGCUAAUGUAAUACAAUAUAAUACAAUAUACUUGUAUUAAAAUAAUACAAUACAAUAUAAUACAAUACAGUGUGCCAAAUGCACCCUUAAUACAAAAUUGAUCCAUUUCUUUAGAAUCGUUCAAAAUCUUUCAUAUUAACCCUGGUCUAAUUAAAUUCUUGGAACCGAUGACAAGCCUUUGAUGUUUUUAGUCCACUUAAUAUAUAUCUUAUAAAGAUUUUAUAAUUUAUUAAUGGGAAACUAUCAAUUUGUCAUUUAAGUUUUUCAGAUGAUAUAUCAAUUUGAUAAAUUUGUAAGAUAACACAUUAUAAAAAAAAAAAAACUCUUAUAAUUUCUUAUACCUUUAACAUUUUUGAAAAAAUAAAUACUUGUUUUGGAAAAGGUAGAUAAACCACAUUAGUUUUACUUGUUUAACCAAAAUACAAGUGAGUUAGUUCAUAAAACAAAAAAUUUAAAUCGCUUAAUUACAACAAAAGAACAUGAGAUUAAAAUUUUUAGGAAAAUAAAAAAAUAUCUUCAUUAAAUUAAUAUUUAUUAAUUAAAAAAUUUAUAAUUUUUGAUUAAUUAAUAUUCAUUUAUUUAAUAUAUUUUUUGUGGAUGGUUCUUGAGUAAUACCCAAAUAUUUUUAUCAUAAGUGCUAAGGUGGUACACACGCCCAUUGAAUGAACAAUUUCAUGAUUAAUUAAAUUAUCUUUUAUUCCAUUUGAUUAUCUAAUGAAUGAAUAUCACUUUAUUUAGUAUUGUAAUGGUUAAGAUAUUGCUUGAGAAGUAUAAUUGUUCAACUAAGUCAUAAGAUGGGCAUGACAGUUCUUAAGCAACUUUAUUUAAUUAGCCACCCAAAUUUAAAUCUUGAAAGAGGUUAACAACGAAAAAUUAAAAUAAAAAAGUCAUGAAAAUGAGCCAUUGGAGAGCUUGAUGCAUUACUUUUAAAAAAAAAAAAUUCCGCCUUUGUAAUAACCUAAAUUGUCUCAUAUUUUGUUAGCUUUUUUCAUAUAGUAACGAUAUUGGUUACAAUGUAGGGAUAUAUAUGAAGUUUGUACUUCAAAUGAUGUAAAAUGAUAUGACACUUGAUUUGUUAUUUAUUCAUUGGUUUUAUCAAAUUUGAUUAGUACAAAAAAUCAACUAUUAACAAUAAUGAUUCAUAAAAAAUAAAAUAAAAUCAUUAUUAAUGAAAGAACAAAUUCAAUUAAAAUUUUUAAUUCAAAAAAAUUAAAAUACAAAAUGUAAUUUACGCUUACCACUUACCUCCACAACACGCGUGAGUCACGUGAAGUGUAAACAAAAACCAACUUUCCCAAAAUAAAAGCUCGAACAAUUAGUUUCAACGGCUAUAUCUUUGACGCCCUAAUCCGAACUCAUAACGGCUAUUUGCUGGUGCUUAAACUUUAGGCACCGAUUGCAUGAAUUUUUCUUCAUUAAUAAACUUGUUGAUACAGCGCCCGAAUACACUACUUCAAAGAGAUUUCACAGCGAUUAUAUCGUUGAGCCAAAUUUUAGAAUCAACAAAUUAAACUUAAUGUGCACUUAAGAGAAUACGCACCUGGUUUCCUAAUUCCAUUCGAAUUAGAUAUCUAAUGACUAUAAUUCCCCCAAUAUCCUACUUCACAUACGACAACGCAACACCACUUGAUUUCCAAGUAACUGAGAGAGUUUCCAAAUUCUGCUUUUUUAUCUCUUCAUUCAUUCUUUCCAAUCAAAUUUACCCACCAAAAGUCUUCCUAAUUCCAUCUCUAAUUCUUUCAUUUUAAAUCUUGCUUUCUGAUUUCGUGGACAAAACAACAAAUAUGGCUCAAAUUAGAGAUCAACAAGAGCUGUUGGAUUAUGCCUCUUCAAAAAGAUGACACAAUACCCUCUUCUCCAUGAAGAUGGGUGAUGGUAUUCCCAUAAGAAAUUGCGAUCUUUAUGUCUCUAACGAGCCGCCUAUAAUUUGGAGUUUGUACGGAGGAGACCAGUUACUUGAGAAUCAAGCUUUCUACUUUUUCACUAGGAUGAAGAAACUAUCCCCAAAGACUUCAAGAUUUACAUAAAGAUUGGUUCUGGUGUGUGGCAGGGAAAGGAUGGAGCCAAGCCUGUUCUUUCGUGUGGCUCUGUUGAUAAGAUUUUAGGGUUCAAGAAGAGGAUCUUGUAUCAAGGUAGUAAAAACCCUAGAGAAGACAGAGGAUGGAUCAUACAUGAAUUUACUAUUAAUCCAGCUUUGUUGGAGCAGCAAUAUUCGCAUAAAGCCUUCAACUUUGCUCUCUACCGCAUCAAAAAGAAUGAAUCUGAACGGCAAGCAAAUGACUUUGAUCAGCCAUAUUAAUCAGGAUGAUGAGUGCUUUCAAAAUAAGCACCUAAGAGCUUAACAAGCAGCAGUUCUGGUUCAACAUAACCCACUCACCAUGUUUAGGCUUUGCCAGUAGUGGAAUAUGAAGGGGAAUUCUGAUCUCACUAUUCCUUUCUUUAUUUUGAUCCGAUUUUAGGAAGCAUUAAAUUGAUUGCUGGUGUAUGUAAACAGUUUUUUUUUUUUUUAAAGGAAUGUUUUGUCAGCCUAGUGGUCCAACCUGCUUGAAUCUAAAUUAGUUGAGACACAAUGCAGUUUUUGAAUAGCAGAUGGUUUAAUAUUCUAAAAAUAAAUAAAUAAUUGCAUCCUCUCUUCCAUAUUGCAAAUAAAACUAUGGUUAGGAAAGAGCUCCUUCUGUUUCUAUAUGUGUUCCUUAAAAGGCGUUGCUUAAAGUUAAGAACUUGAAACUAGGCAUCUUCAUGUUUAACCCAAACAAAUUGUUUCUAAGAUCACCCAUUGCUUUUAUUCAAAAAAAAAAUAUAAGGUCUAAUCAAAUUAAUUAGGUCUUGGUUUUUUUUUUUUUAAAAAAGCAAUUUCACAGCUGAGAUUGCAUUAAAGAAGUCAUUAGGAAUCCAAAUUUUACAAGGAAAACAGAAGGUCUAUACAAUUAGAACGGGCUUAUUAUAUAAUAAUUAAUUUUUGUUGCAGAAACAAUAAGCUUUCGCAUAAUCCAGACUACAAACAAAUCUCAUUAGCUAGCACGAGAAUAUAUCCUAUCUUUUGAAAGGAAUUAAUAUUAAUAUUAAUAUUCAUCAACAAAAACUGGCUCCUGGAGAAAUUAAUAUUAAUAUUCAUCAACUAGACAGCAGUUAGUAAUAAUAUUCAUUAACCAAUGGUUGAUAAACUUAUUAUUUGCUUGUCAUUUCUUACUUCAAGUACCAUAAAACUUCAAUAAAUUAAUAGGUCUUGACUUAGGACCAACAUGUGAUUAAUUGAUAAGAUAAUACGUUAUUAAAAAAUUAAGCAACAUUAAUAAGAUAAUUCAUAAUUUAUAUGAUUUUGGAUUCAGUUCAAUUUAUAUGCUAAUAGGCCAACAAAUAGAUGUUGAAGAUUCUGUAUUUUUUAAACAAAAAUUUAGGCAAUAAAUCAGUAUAAUACAACAUUCGAAGAACCGCAACUGUGAUUUAGUAAAAUCCAAUUGUUAUUUCAUCCAAUUAAGAAAGAAUUAUAAACUGCAAAGAGUGCAGUAAACCCUCCAAACUAAUCAGUGUUUGAGCUGUAAUCUUAAAUGAUUAUAUGCACAGAAUAAUUUAGAGAACAAAAGGAGAAAGUAAAUGAGAUUCUGAUUAAAAUUAAUGUUCAUGAUUAUAUUCAGGCAGCACAAAGGUCGUCCAUAAGAGAAGGUUAGAGCAAUCAGUGGCUGGUGGAAUGUAUGGUGAUGCUGAUCCAGAGAUUGCAGAGCAUGACUGAAGAGCAUAAUAAACUUGGUGGUUUAGCUAGUAGCUUGGCAAACGAGUUAUGAAUUAGUUAUGCUGACUAGGGAAAUUGGUUAUGACAGAUUCAGUGGCUAUUAGCGGCGUUUGUAUGAAGAUUCUAGAUAAAUCUCGUAAACAGAUUCUUAUAUGUAACCAUCAAAGUAUAAAUACAGUUGCUUGGAUUCAUUCUUGUACUAUGCGGUAAAAGAAUGGAUUCAGAAUCUAUUCCCUUUCAUUUUCUCAAUAACCAAACAUAGGAUAAUCAGGAGGAAUUGCAGCAACUCCUCAAUCCUUAGUAUUUCUUCUGGAAUCCAAUGAACAACAACGAUUACCUAGGAGCAGCUUGCGAAUUUGUGGCACCAAUUCAGACAUGGUAUCAGAGGCAGCUCCUGCUUCAAAUCAAAAGAAUACCUCUUGUAACUUUGUAAUACCAAUAAAACUCGAUCAAAGCAACUUUGUUGUUUGGAGAACACAAGUGCUUACUUCAAUCAAAUGGAAUGGUACAGAAGGAUUCAUCACUGGAGCAAAUGACCGUCGCGAUCAGUAUCUUGUUCAAGAUGCAGAUGCUAAUAGCCCCUCCAAUGCGGGAUCUGAAUCAAGAAUUGAUAAUCCUGCUUUCUCAGCUUCGAUCGGGACAGAUCAACUUCUUCUCAGCUGAAUGAUGUCUUCAAUUCAAGAGAAUUUGCUCUCUUCUGUCAUUCAUUGUGUUUCAUCUCAAGAGUUGCGGGAUUCCUUGACACGUGUGUUUGUUUCUCAAACUUAAGCUCGUACGAAUCCAACACCUAUGGCUGCUUCUCAUCAUCUUACAAGAAAUUCAGGCAUUGUUAUUGACAGUGCUUCUCAAUACUGGAGCAUUGUUGGAGCUCUGCAAUUGCAUUAUAGUUAGUGGGCCAAAGAUUGCAUUUCCUGUCAUCAAUUGAGGCAGUUUCUUUCUAAUCCUUCUGCUGAUCAUUGGCAAGCCUGCAAGAGGUUAUUAAGCUAUCUCAAAGGCACCAUUCACUUUGGCUAAGAGUUCUAUCACAAUGGUAAUAUGCAGCUAAAUUGUUUCACAGAUGUGGAUUGGGUUUGUGAUAGAGAUGGCAGAAAAUCUGUUGUUGGGUAUGUUGCGUUAUAAGGUCCUAAUUUGGUCUCUUAGUCAUGUAAGAAAUAACAUGUUCUUUCUAGAUCCAGCAAUGAAUCUGAGUAUGGGGCUUUAGCCUUAACUACAUCAGAACUUUUAUGGAUCCAGGCUUUACUCUUGAAUUGCGGGUCAAAUCAGAUGUUAUGCUUCUCAUGCGGUGUGAUAAUCAAGGGGCCAUUGCUCUGGCUAACAAUCCAGUAUAUCAUACCAAGACUAAACAUGUUUCACUGGAUAGUCAUUUUACCAUAGAAAAGGCUUCAGCUAAGCACCUUGAUAUUUGUUUUGCUCCUAGUGAUGAUCAAACAGCAGUCAUUUGAACAAAAGCACUCAGUUAAGGUCAAUUUCAUUAGAUGCAGGCUAAAGGUUCUUCCUGGACGAUUUAGCUUGACAGGGGAUGUUGGAAUAUAUGGUGAUGCUGACACAGAGAUUACAGAGCGUGAUUGAAGAGCAUGAUAAGCUUGGUGGUUUAGCUAGUAAGUUAGAAAAUCUGUUAUGGUGACUUGGCAAGUUGGUUAUAACAGAUUCAGUAGCUAUUAGCUGUGUGUGUAUGAAGAUUCUAGAUAAAUCUAGUAAACAGAUUCUUAUAUGCAACCGUCCAAGUAUAAAUACAAUUGCUUGGAUUCAUUCUUGUACCAUACAGUUAAUGAAUAUAAAUUCAGAAAUUUUCCUUCAUUUUCUCGGUAACCAAACAUAGCUUUAGCUUAAUUCAAACAGUGGCUAUGGUAAACUUGUAAUAGAUAACACUUCAAAACAUUGAGAGCCUAUUAACAAGCUUUCCCAAUUGACUUGAACAAAAAACAAAGAUAUUGCAUGGGAAAUAUAGGCAAAGUGACAGAAAAUGCAUGGACAAAACUCACCGUUCGAGAAUGAUCCAAAUUCUGGUAUUUUUGGUUUAGUAACGUGGCAUCGGAUGGACCACCCCGCUUAGUGUAGCGACUACUGCUUAGCAAGCUACUUUAUUGUUUAAAUCUAACUUUUUGCAAAGUAUCCACGUAAAGCUUUAUUGUUUAAAUAUAACUCUUUGCAAAAUAUACAUGUAAAAUUAUUUAUUUUCUCUUAGUUCCUAAAUUAAAUUGAAUCUCGUCUUUACUUUUGUGCAAAGCAUGCGCUGGAUUUUAUUUUUUUAGUUAAUGUAGAAAUUUUUUUCUCCUUUCAAAUGAAAACCCAUGAAGCAGAAUGAAUUGAAACUAAAAAUUAGAAAAUAAUUCAUUGAAACUUGAGAAUACUUUUGUACAAAUAUUUCUUGAUAUUAAAGGCUUGCGCAAUAGUAAUGUAUAUGUACAUAAUUGCACAAACUGAAUUAGAAAAAAAAAGAUAUUGAUAAUUAUAAUUUUAUUACCUAAGCCAUAUUGUUAUGGAUAGUAGCUAUUGGACGGUAAGAAUGUACAUGCACCAAUAAAACUUGUCUUAAAAAAAAAUCUUCAUUUAUCAAUAAAUUAAUAAAUUAUUCAUUAAUUGAGAUAUAAUUAAUUUUGGUAAAAUAAAACUUUUUCAUAGUACCGACAAUAUUAUUUUAUAAAGAUUAUAAAACAUAUUCGACUAUUUUUAAAAAUCACAAAACUUUUAAAAAUAAACUUUAUCAAAUAUUUAGUUGAUGUUCUUCACAUCUGAUUAUUCCUAUGACACGGUUAACAACAAUUAUUAAGAAUCUCAUCUUGAAAAUUGUUAUGAAAUGAAAUCAAAAUGUUUUUUUCUUUUCUAAAAUGAACAAAAAAAUCAACUUUGUUUCUAUUUUAAUGACGAAUAUGUUGUACUAACAAAACAAAAGAACUAACUUUUAUGUGAAUUGAAAAAGCUUUAAAUGGGAAAUAAAUACGUACUAUAUCCAAAAAAUCUUUAUUAAAUAUACUUAUUUCCUAAUAAACUAUAAAACUUGAUCCCUUUAUUUGUUUUGACUUAUAAUGACAUGAAUGUCAAAUAAAUAUGUUUGAAAUAUUUUUUAUUUAUGAAAAUAAAAAGAUGUCAUUUAUAAUAGGAUAUUAAAACAAGAAAAACAAACAUGUCAUUUUGACAUCUGUAUUUGGACUCAUUUGGACUAUAACCAAAUUCAGACAUAUCUAGAUUUUAGACAUUAAAAAAAAAAGGCUAUAAGAAAAGAAAAUUAGUGUUGCUAUCGUCACUGCCUCACUCACUUGUCGUUGCUAUCAGUCACUAGGCACCCAUUGAAUGCGCCAACGUGAAUCAGUGUAUUUGUAUCAAACCCCCUCUAUACAAAAUUUCUGAAUCCCCCGCUACGUCUCAUAGUUUAGUAAUCAGAUGACCUACGUCUAAUAGUUUAGUAAUCAGAUGACCUGUCAUUUAGAAUGAAUCCUUGAUAGUUCUACUGUUUGUAAUGCUGUUGCUUUUGCUUUGGACUGCAAGACUAAUCGGACUGCAAGGUUAAUCGGGUGAUUAGGCAUUAUCUUCAUUCGUAUUCGGGGUUAUUAAUAUCCAAUUGAUAAAGAAUACCACAACACGCUUAGUUUGGUUUUUGUGUCACUACUUGCGUUAGAUAUUGGUAGUCACUGGCUGCAGAUGUACAGGUACCCAUUCUUUUCCCUGACAUAAUUCAUGUGACAUGAAAUUGCUUGUAGAACUGGAAGAUAUUAGAUUUUUUUUCCCUUUUUUGCUAAAGAAAAGUAUUACUUUCGUUGGGAAAUGUGCCUACCACUCUGGAUCUCCUUUGUAGUACAUUCUUGAGAGGAAAAACUAGCCAUGAAGAUGUAAAAGAUAGCACAAAUUGGCUUUUCAAAGCCUAUUAUGGGAACCGGAUGUUUAUGGGUUAUUGUUGUGUGGCUUUCGAGGUAAUUGUAGCUUUCGGUGUUAUUAUACAUAUCAGCAUUUGCAAAUGUUAUCAGUACUUUUUACCUGAUCCAACCUUUUCAACCCUGCAGGUUCUUUACCUAAUCCUAUUUCUUAUUGCGGAGAAGCAGUGUGAAAGUUUGGUGGAUGUAGGUUCUCAUUUUCUUACUAUUAGAUUGUUCUGCGUAUGGAAAGAUUUCCCUUGUUUCUCGGUUUUCAAACAAUAUCUUCUUUCUGGCUGUGGUGACUGGUGAGUGCUGCACGACAGGGCUCGCCUCUUUCCUUCCUCGUUGCUUUGAGUUUAUUUGGAUGGGCAAUCAAGCAAAUGAUCAACGUCAUACAGGUAACUUGCACUCCAUAUGAUGGAAAUGUUUGUUUAUCCUGAUACUUUUUGACAAUAAAUAAAUUUCUUGAUGUCCAAAAAUUAAGGAAACUUUUGUAUCUGUAAAGUUGACAUUUUACAAUGGCAUUAUGGAUUCUGAAGUUGAUCAGUUUUAGACUCACAUGCUAUUAUAUGCUUGAAUAUUAAAACUCAAACCUUAUCUAUCUUAAAUGGAUUGUCGUGGAUAUGCCUGAGAUGAACAUUUUCUUCCUCUUCACCUCAUCAUCUUUGUCAUGGUAGUUAUAAUUGAUUGAGGAGUGUUAAAACGCAUUGUGAUGAAUGAAUGCACUAGCUAUUGUCAAUGCCCCACCAAAAAGGGCAAAGGAAAAUGAAGAAAGAAGACAAAAGAGGAAGAAGAAAAAAAUUGAGAGGAAAAGAUGUCAAGGGUAGGCACCGGAUGUUUGAAAAAGAAAAAGAUAAAUUCAAAGCUCAAAAUUUCAAAGUUUGAAAACUUGAAAUUUGCAGCUGUAUUACUUGAAGAUUAAAGCCACAUUUUUUACUUUCUUGGCCAUCAUUUUGCUAUAAAUAGAAGUGCAAAUGAAGAGCUGAAGCAUUUCAUCGAGAGAGAAGCAUUUCCUUCCUUUAGAGUUGAGAGUAUUUUAAGAGUUUUAACAAACUCUUGAGUGAUUAGUGAUUUGAGAAUUUUGGGUGUAUUGGGAUUUUGGGUAGUGAGACAAAAUACCAUAAUACUUGUAACUCAUUUUCCCUAGUAAAAUAUUUUCCUUCUGUUUUCGCCCGUGGACGUAGGCUAAACGCCGAAUCACGUAAUUUCUAGUGUCUUCUAUUGUGCUUGUUCUUUAUUUUCUUCCAAUUUUAUUUUAGCUGCGAUGCUACUUCACCCACCAAUUUCCUGACAGUGGUAUCAGAGCUAUUGGUUAUAUUUUUAGAGUCGGGGGUACUGUUCACGUAUAUGGUAUUGUUCACGUAAGGGGUACUAUUCACGUAUACAGUACUGUUCACAGAUACGGUACUAUUCACGUGAAACGGUGGGAGCGAUCCAAGAAUUUUACGGUGCAAAGCAGGGAAUAAUGUUUUGAGUAAAGCAACUGUGCGAUUUUGUAUAUGUUUAGGAAAGUUCAGUAACAAAGGCGAUAAGAGCUUAAGGAGUCUGGGUUUUAUGUGGGAUCAUUGUGACCCCUCCAGUCUUUCCUGGGAACGUUCCUGGUGUGCAUUCUCACACACACUCACAACUAUUCAAGGUGGUGCACUAGCUUGUGUGCGGUAGUUAUCAACAAAAUGGCAGCAAAGUAUGAAAUUGAGAAGUUUAACGGAAAUAAUUUUUCGUUUUAGAAAAUGAAGAUGAAAGUUGUAUUGAGGAAAAAUAAUUGCUUGGCAGCAAUUGGAGAAAGACCCAUGGAGAUAACUGAUGACAAGUGGAACGGGGUAGACGACAAUGUCAUUUCUGAUCUACACUUGGCACUUAGGGAUGGAGUAUUAUCCAGUGUGGCAGAGAAAAAUACAGCGAAGGAAAUUUGGGAUACUCUCACAAAAUUGUACGAGGCCAAGUCACUACACAACAAAAUCUUCUUGAAAAUGAAACUCUAUACUCUUUGAAUGGCAGAAUCUACAAUGGUGACCGACCACAUUAACACCUUGAAGACUCUAUUUUCACAACUCACAAUGUUGGGUCAUAAUAUAGAGGAAAAUGAACGUGCAGAGCUUCUACUUCAAAGUCUACCAGAUUCAUAUGAUCAGUUCAUCAACAACCUGACGAACAACAGACAAGCAAGUUCGCAGCAAGCAGAGGUGCUAUCGGUGACGAGAGGGAGAUUAAUGGAACGUGGCCCCAGUAGGAGGCAAAAUCAUGGUAGAUUAAAAUCUAGAAGUAAGAAGAAUGUUAAAUGCUACAACUGUGGUAAGAAAGGGCACGUCAAGAAAGAGUGUUGGAGUAACCAGAAGAGAAGAGAGGGCAAAGAACUUGAGUCAUCAAAUGCUCAGGGGUGUGUAGCAAGUAACUCAGAUGAUGGCGAAAUUCUCUACAGCGAGGCAACAACUAUCUCAGAAGGCAGAAAACGACUAUCUGAUAUCUGGCUUAUAGACUCAGGAGCUACCUGGCACAUGACCUCUCGGAGAGAAUGGUUCCAUACAUAUAAACCUAUCUCAAGAGGAUCUGUAUAUAUGGGUAAUGAUCAUGCCUUGGAGAUCGCUAGUAUUGGUACUAUCAAAAUAAAAAUAUUUGAUGGUACAAUUCACACAAUUGAGGAGGUACAACAUGUCAACGGCCUGAAGAACAAUCUAUUGUCUUUGGGAUAAAUGGAUAGUCAUGGGUACAAAACUCAUGUGGAGAAUGAAAUAAUGAAGAUCGUUAAAGGCGCGCUUGUAUUGAUGAAGGCAGAAAAGAUUGAUGCUAAUUUAUUCAUGCUUAAAGGAGAACCACUACAGGAGGCUGAUGCGUGUAUCACGUCAAAUGGAGAAGAAUCAACGAUGAUGUGGCAUCUCAAACUUGGAAUUUGCAGCUGUAUUGCUUGAAGAUUAAAGCCACCUUUUUGACUUUCUUGGCCAUCAUUUUGCUAUAAAUAGAAGUACAAAUGAAGAGCUGAAGCAUUCCAUCGAGAGAGAAGCAUAUCCUUCCUUUAGAGUUGAGAGUAUUUUAAGAGUUUUAACAAACUCUUGAGUGAUUAGUGAUUAGAGAGUUUUGGGUGUAUUGGGAUUUUGGAUAGUGAGACAAAAUACCACAAUACUUGUAACUCCUUUUCACUAGUAAAAUAUUUUUCUUCUGUUUUCGCCCGUGAACGUAGGCUAAAAGCCGAACCACGUAAUUUUUGGUGUCCUCUAUUGUGCUUGUUUUUUAUUUUCUUCCAAUUUUAUUUUAGCUGCGGUCCUGUUGCACCCACCAAUUUCCUAAAAGCUAUGUCAUUAAGACUGCAUUUAUUAGGUUGGUGCCACAAAUAUUAGGCAAGAUAUUCACAAUAGUGCUACUGAAGCUUUAUAUGGAAUAAGGAGACCAAACCUCUAUAUGAUAAAGUGUUGUAUGAAUACCAAAUGAAUUGUAAGAGGAUAUGGUUAAUUUAGAUUGCAAUUUAAGAAAGCUUGAGUUCUAAGAGCACAGAAAUGGGAUCAGUCUUGCUCAAGUGUAAACUCCGUCAGUUAGGAAGCUGUCCAUCAAAUGCAAAUAUUUAUGUGAUUGAGAGAAAUUUUGGACUUUUGAUGAAAACAAAAUCCUGCAUGCAUUUGCUUGCCCCCAAGGAGCUGAAAGUUCUCAAAUUGUUUGUAGACGUAAUAGUUCUCCUGAUCUCAUUUGGCUUGCUAAUCUUUUUUGCUCGAAAAUUUGCCCAUUGUGUGGUCUUGACGGUGGGUGAAAUUGAUUUGUGGUUUCAGAUGAAGAAUCUGUUCGUGGUUCUCCUGCUCGAGUGCCUACUUUUCAGUGUGCAAGCAUAUAUGUUGAGACCGGCAGAUGAAAUCACUAAACUUUUACAGUUGAUCUGAGGCUCCUCUAAAGAAGGAUUGGGAUUUUGGAAUUAAUUUGGGGAAAGGGUUUUUUUCUGGUAUAUGAGUGUAAGCAUUCCUUCAAUCACGUAGCUUUGUGCCAUUAACAUAAUGGCAAUUCUACAAUGGGGAUAAUGAUAAUUUUGUGAUUGGGAACUCUUUACUGGUUUUUCUUUCGCCAUUUGUGUCUAUGAUUAAGGUUGUUUAAAGUGUUAUGGGUUUUAAUCUACAACCAUUGCGAAAUGGACUCACUAGCUGGCAAAUAAUAAAACAUAGUGCUGUCAAAUUUUGUAAGGAUUAUGCAUACACACUCUUUCGUCUUCAAUGCCCUGAAACUGGGUAACUACAUGUAUGAUUUUCAUUCAGAAAAACUGGCGAGAACUAAUGACUUUGCAGAUUAAAAAAUAAGUAGGAUUUUCAGAUUAUGUAGCAUUGUUAUGUAAUGCCUUGUGGUUUUUUUAAGGUUAAAGUUGGUUUGGAAAUUAAUUAAAAGACGAUAUUCAUUCUAUCAUGACGAGUUUUUAACAAGAGGAAAGGUUCCUUUCAUAAUUUACUAAUUUAUACAACCUUUAAUAUUAAAACAAAAUUUUAUAUAUUAAGGAUGAUGAUUCUUGCUCACUUAGUAAGAUAUGUACAUAACAUAGGUUUGUUAAGCAAGGAAUCAAUUAUGUAUUUCUUGUAUCUGAAAAAAUGAAUCAUCCUUUAACGAGGGUUAUCAUCAAUUGCAGGUUUCUAGUUUGGUUGCUUGGUUUGAGGACUAUGAAUAUUACAUUGUCAUAACUAAAGGAAAGAAUAUUGUAUACACAGCACACUAUAAUUACCAAUUCUUUAUCUUAUAAUAUAAGUUCAUAGUGAUUAAUUUGACCGUCUUCAGCCAAAAAAAAAAAAAAGUCCCAUUUCAGCACAAAUACAAGAGCCCUCAUUUUUCUUUGCUCCGGCCAUUUUAUAGCAGUGUCAUCACAGACACCUCAAGCUCUACCGAAUCAUCAUAGACAAUUCGUGAUUGGUGGGAGCAUUACAAGAAAGGUACGACAACUUCAAACUGAUAGAUUUGUUUAUAUGAUUUAGCUAUAGUUUUAACUUUUAACAAUAAACAAGAGACAAUCAUGUACAUCGUUAGUUACAUAAAUGUAGAUACUAAUUUAUUCCUGUACUUGCCAGAUCCAUACAUAUAAAAAUGAGAUAAAUUUUAAGGUUUAAAAAAUUUCAAUUCAUCAAAAAUCUAGUGCCAUAUUAAGCGGUAAAAUCACUUAGAGUUAAUACAAGAGGUUUAUGAUUCCCCAACCCGUUUAUAUGUAGGGGUGGGGAAGGUAUUAGGUAAUAAAGAAUUAGUAAAAAUUAAUAAACAUAUUAUAAAAAGAAAUAAAUUUCAAGAGGGAACGUAAAAGAUUGUAUGUAACUUAUCGUUAGUGGAAUGGAAUUUUUUUGGAGAGGCUAUAUUUGGCUUGGAACAUAUGUUAGAACAAGGUUAUUUGAACCCACCACACUCUCCAAAAUCCACUUCUCAAUAAAAAAAUUUGGGUUAUUUCCACCUAACCCCCAAAUCUUUCAACAUUUUCCACCUUGCACCCAAACUUUUCAACAUUUUCCACUGGACACCCAAUUCCGUUAAUUUGACCGUUAUUUUUAACGGAACUAUUUGAAAGUUAAUGAAAUGUCUGAAAUACCCCUUAUCUUGAAUUAGAAAAGAAUUAAAUGAGAUAAAAUAUUUAUUCAAUAAUUAAUAUUUACAUUAAAAAUUCUUAAUAAAAAAUAAUUAAUAAUAAUUUCAUUAAUUAAUUUAUAAAAUAAAUUUAAUUUAUUAUUAUUAAAUAAUAUUUAGGGAAUAAAUUUCCAAAUUUGCCCUUUGACCGUUAGAGUAAAUAGUCAAAUUAACGGAUUUGGGUGUGGAUUGAGUAUUGUUGAAACAUUUGGGUGCACAGUGGAAUAUGUUGAAACAAUUGGGGGCAGGACGGAAUUAACCCAAAAAAUUUCAUUACAAAAUUUUUCUUAAUUAAAUUACUAUUUUAACCAAAUAUUAUGUUAAUUUAUCUCCCUAAAGCUUUUAUUUUUUUCACCCCUUUUUCUCUUUUCCUCUCCGUCUCCCCAAUUUUUUUUCUAGUCCUGUGUGGUUCUUAUACUUUAAGGCUUCUAUUGGAGUAAAAUCUCUAUUGAAAUUGCUUAUCCAAAUUUUUUUUUUUAAUUUGCCUUUCCUUUACCCUCGAGUCACUAUUAGAUGUAUAUGCUCGUGAUGAAACUUUAGUAAUUGGAUUUCUAUUAAAUAUUUUAAUUUAAAAAAAAUGAGAAGAUCACUAUAAAAAUAUCAAAAGAUCACCAACUUAAUUAUAGCAAUAAUUAAAGGAAUUAAAAGACUUACUAUUUCUGUUUGAAGUUAUUAUUAUAAAGAAAGAAAGGGAAAAAAAGAGUCGCUGCAAUUGCAUCAAUUGAGGACAUGUUAAGAAAAGUAUCAUAGAAAGUAGUGAGAGAAACAACUAAUGAAAAUUAAUGAUACUUAUUGAGGGUAUAUUGGGAAUAUUUGUGGUUUUUUGAAUGAAAAAAUAAAAUUUUAAGUUGUGAUAAUGUGUUUAUUAUAUAAAUGGGUUUAUUCAGCAUUACAAUGGGUUUAAAUGGCUUUAUCCUUCAUAUUAUAAUAAAAUUUUAUAUUACUAUAAUAGCCGUAAUAUAGAGGACAAUGUAAUGAAAAUAUUGUUACUCUUAUACCUAUUAGAGAAACAAUAUAAUCUUGUACAGACAAGAACACUCCAGUGCUCAAGUGUAAAAGUUUUAGUAAAACGUAUAAGAACUGUUAAGUGUAAACAGAAUUUCGUCAAGGUGCUGUAAUAGAAUCUAAUGCUCUUUGGUAGUGUAAACUAUGUGUGGCGCGUGUAGUAUUUCAAUCUUCACAAGUGGCAUUGUAAAUAGUGGCUCUUAUUUCAGUUCCUCGUAGGCACUCUAGAGACAAUUGAGCUUCGAAGCUAGUAUUUGGUCAUCACGUGUUUCUUUUAAUGAAACAUGUGGUUCAUUUUAUCCUUAUACAAGAGCAUUUUGUGCGGAAUAACCAUGUCAAAUGCUCAUUUAUCAAGGACACGUGUCGUGUUCUCAGAACAUAGUAAAAAUAUGAUACGCUAACCCAUGUACAUUUAUGGAAAAUCAAAUGAAAACAAAGAACUAAAAAAAAAGUUCAAAGGCUAAUUAAUAAUGUUUGAGUUUGAGAUGAUUAAUAUUUAAUUUUAUGGUUGUAAAGAUAAGAAUAAAAGUAGGUCUAGUGAGGACUAUACUCAUAUUAUAACACUAUUUAAAGUAAACUUUGUUAUAAAAGAUUUUAUUCAAUUAGGUACAGAGACCGUUCAAACUAUAUUUUAGUAUGUCUCAUAAUAGGACUAAAAUUGGUCAAAUCAACCUAUUUCGAUAAGAUCCAUCGAAAUUAAUAUUUAAAAGAUUUAUCAUCUCAUUAUACAAUACACAACUUUGCCAUCUAGUAGAGAAUGAUUGGUUGGCACACCAUAGUUUACAUAGAUAUUUCUAAUAUUUGAAUCAUUUAUUAGGAAAUUUUAAUCCUACCAAGAUCUUGUAAGUAAACAUAUCAAAUAAAUAGUAAAUAGAUAAUAUAUAGAAAAUAAAACCAAUCAUACAACACAAUAAUUUACCGGAGAAAAAAUCCUAUAUUGGAGAAAAACCACGGCCGCCAAAGAUGACGAAAGAAAAAUCCACUAUGUAAAGAUCAUUACAAUCACUCUAGUAUUUUCCUCACAUACAAAACCCCAAUAACAAAUAAUCUCUUAUUCUAGAAACUGUCUACUUGUAUAGAACUGAUUAUUGUGUUAUGCAAACAAGUGAAUCUAACCUUCUUAUAUAUUGUGAUUGUUUCAUAUAAGAGAAGUAUUUAUUUCCUUAUAUAAUUUGUAUUCCUCCUUUAAUAAGUUCUUUGGAAUUACUUAUUCCUUAAACAUGAACCCCCCAAACAAAACAAUUACUAAAUAAAAAAAUUCUAGUAAAUAUUCUAAUUUAGGAUUUACAAAUCCUCAUUGAAAAAGGAGAUAUGUUUCUUAAAAAUCUCCACUUUGGCGAGUUUUUUAAUUAAAUGAAAAAAUAUGAUCCGCCAUACAUCUAUGCAACCAUGUCGUCUCCACCUUCUUUAGUCUACCAAAACCACACUGACAUUGGACUAAUAAGAAUCACUCCACUAUGAGUAAAAUCUUGUCCUCUAUCCAGCAGCCAUAAUUUUCUACAUCGAGAAUCAUCAUACUUCACAUUAUCCAGAGUACCAUGUUUGUCAUAUGUCAAUCACAUUUAUGAAAUUACCCACUCUCAUGUUUGGCUUCUUUGAGAGUCCUCAAUGAUCAACAUAAAAAGUCCACCACAUACCUUUCAUAAAUACUAAACUACAUGUUGUGUGCACAUCUUGUGGACCCAUUAGUAAUAACACAUCCUCUUCCACGACACACCAAUAGAUGACAUAAUUAGCAUCUCCUUCUAUUAAUUUACAGCUACUUUCCAAAUUUGCUAUAUUCUAACAAUCUCUUUUAAGAUGUUUUGAUUACCUACACUCCUCCAGGGGUUUCUACUAGUGGAAUAGGCCUAGCAUUGCUCUUUGCUUUACUUGUAUAGACAGAUUGAAUCAAUAUGUUAUUGACUUGACCUUCCCAAAAGCCAAAAUUAAUUAUUCGUCAAACUUUUCUGUUUCUAUCUUCAUAGGUUUUGAAAACCUCCUUGUUGACGUAUUUGCUCUACAUUGCAGCCUUAGCUCUAUUAUCACCUGCUAAGAAAUAAUUAAACUCACCUAAGAUUUGCAAGAAAAAAUAUGAAAUAAAUAGUAAAUAGAAAAUAGGUGGAGAAUAAAGCUAAUAAAAUAAUACAAAAAUUUACAUGAAAAAUUUCUAUAUUGGAGAAAAAUUAUAAUAGCUAAGGACAAUAAGAGAAAAAUUUAUUAUGUAAAAAUUAUUAUAAUUACUCUAGGGUUUUUCUCACACCUAAAACACCAAAAGCACCUAAUUUUAAUAGAACUACUUAUAUUAUUUCAUAUAGAAAUUGUAUUCCUUUCCUUAUAUGAUUUGUAUUCCUCCUUGAAUAAGUUAAGUUCUAAAGAGAAAAUUACUUAUUUCUUAAAUAUGAAUUAUCUUCAAUAAGAAAACUGAAAAGUGUAAAAAAUUCCUAAUUUAAGACUUAAAAAUCUUCUUUGAAAAAAGAGACAUCUCCCAAUAUCCUCAAAUCCUCCUUACAAUGCCACCAAUCUCUUUUGUGACUAGCCCAGUUGAAACUUUUAAUGGAUGGGCUGUAAUUGCCAAUAUCCAAAUAAAACAAAUUUCCAUAGGUAUAUUGGUAGAUUGAAUGACAACUAACAACACAUGAUUUGAUUAACUUACUUCCAAAAAAAAAGAAAAAAAAAAGAUAGAAUGGAUGAACAUAAGACUCUUUUACCAACUCAUGGAAUUCAUCAAUAAGGCCUUGGCUGAUCCACCUCAUGACUAGUAGAGUUCAAACCCCCGCUAAAUAGUAAAAAAAAUAUUUGGAUUAUUAAUUACUCUUUCUUAAGUCUAUUUAAACUUAACUUUGAGAAUUAUGAACGUCUACACUUUAAUUAAAACAAUACAAGCCCACCCGUUUGUAUUUAAAAUUUUGUUUGAAUUUAUUCACGAGCAACAAGAAUAGUAUAAAUGGAAAAAAAACCAUCAAAUAAUAUCCCAUGACUCUGUUUCUUCAAUUUCAGGAGCAAUGGUGGAAUCAUAUUUUUCGAUUGAAAAACUUUUGGAAAAAUUAGGGGGCUUUGCUUAUGAAGAACUUUUAUUGUUCUGCGGUGUCAAAAAUGACUUAGAAAAGCUAAAGGAGACCUUAACCAUUGUCAAAAGUGUGGUUUUGGAUGCCGAGAAAACGCAAGUCCAGAAUGACCGGUUAAGCGUUUGGCUGGGAAAUCUUAAGGAUGCUUGUUAUGAUGCAGAAGAUGUGUUGGAUGAAUUUGAGGUGGAAGAUCUACGAAGGCAAGUCAUGAAGCAAAGAAGCAUCGGAAGAAAGUUUCGUAACUUUUUUGGAAGCUCAAAUCCGAUAGCUUUUCGUUUUAGAAUGUGCCAACAAAUCAAGAAAGUCAGAGAGAGGUUUGAUGAGAUUGCAAACAUGAUGCAUAAGUUUGAUCUCACUGCACGACUUGAUGAUCGUAGUUGGCGAAUUGUGCAUGAAGAGAGGGAACCUACUCACUCGUUUGUGCGUCCAUCAGAUAUUAUUGGAAGAGAUAAAGAUAGAGAAAAGAUUAUUGAACUAUUGAUGCAAACAAGUGAUGGCGAAAGUGAAACUGUGUCUGUGGUUCCUAUUGUGGGACUUGGAGGUUUGGGCAAGACUUCACUUGCAAAAUUGGUGUACAAUAAUCAAAUGGUAGAAGAGCAUUUUGAGUUGAAAAUCUGGAUAUGUGUUUCUGAGGAUUUUGAUGAGAGACAAAUUAUGAAUAAAGCAUGUUUAUGGUUUGUCUUAAUUCAUGGUUAGAUGUUCUACUGUAUUUUUUGUUUGGAUCUGCAAUAAGAGGGUGAUUUAUUAUAACCAUGUUUCCCUCUUGAUUUAGUUUAUCGUAAUAAAAAUUUUGUAAGCCAAAAUUAGCAUCGGAUUAUUGUAAAUCACUGGAAAAUUGCGGAAACUUGCUGGAACCUGCAGCAACGAACCAGCACACGCAGCAGCGAGCGGCCACCAGCACACGCUGCUGCACGAGCAGCACGCGGCCAGAAGCACAUGCUGCCAGCAGCGCGCGCUGCACGCGAAGCGGCCAGCAGCCACGCUGCAAGCAGCUCGCGCUGCACAUGCAGCAACUGCAGCGCGCGUUGCAACGCUGCAAGCAGCGCUACCUGCAGCGCGCGAGCAGCAGCUGCAGCGCCUGAGCAGCAGCGCGAACGUGGGCUGGAGGCGCGGAGCGUUUUGGUUGACGUCUUUCCGGCGUUGAUGACGGCUGUCCGGUGUGGAAACAGUGAACAGCGGCUGGAUUUUUUGGAGAUGGCGGCUGGGGAAGAGAGGAAGAAAAAUAUGGAUUUAGGGUUACAUGGUUUUUAUCAUGGAGGUCCCUAUGGUUCCAUAAUUUUUCAUUUGGGCAGAAAGUUUUUUAAUUUUUUACAUUUAUAUCCAAAAACAGUUUUGAGUUUAAUGAAUCCUAAUUUUAGGCCCAAUUUCAAUUGGGCUUAAUGGAUUAAAAAUGCAUAGACAAAAUUAAAUACAUUAAAUUUAUUUUUGGUCCAAAAGUUUUAUUUUAAAAAAAAAAUAAAAUAAAAUAAAACUAUUUAUUUAUUUAUUUCCUUUCAAAAUUAAAAUUAGACCAAUUAUAAAUUUAAAAGCCCAAUUUCCCCUAGUCCAUUAACAAAAACAAGCUUAUGGAAGAUGGACAUUGACAAGAAGCCCAAUGAAGAUUAGGCUUAGGGUUAAUGUAUUUUUCAUUAUUAGGAAAGCCAUGAAUUAAGAUUAUUUAAUUAUUUUUCUAUAUGUUAUGUUUUGGAUGAUAACAUGCCAUGAUAACAUGUCAUAUAGAAUAGGUAGUGCCACUCUAUGCAUAAUGAUACAUGUUAUUCAUUAAAUAAUGAAUUUCAUUAUAUUGUUUGAAAUUUGCAUAUGCUUAAUAAUAUUUGAUAUCAUCUAGAUAAUAUUAUAGGAAGCAUGCAAUUAACAAUAUGUAUGUUUUAAAAAGGAAAAAUCAAUUUUAAAAUAUUGAGUGGGAGAGGGAAAAUUCAAGAUAAUUUUUCCCACGGGCUCCAUUGUUAGUUCAAUAAUAAAAUUAUAUAUAUACCUCGACUUCAUGAUACGGUGAUGCUCCCUACGGAGGGUAUAUAUAUUGGAUAUUUUAUUUGAUGAACUUCUUCAAAGAUAAAAUUGAAAUAUUUUUUCAAUCGAUUGUUCGCCCCAACGGUGACUAUUGAUAUGAAAAAUACGUAGAUUGAAACAAUGGUUAUACACUCAACUAAAGUUUGUUAUUAACCUUUCCAACGAAGCUCUAUUAACAAAUUUAGGCCCAAAGGGAUAACGAUAAUUAUUUAUCAUGUCUCUACAUGAAAGUAAAUAAUCUAAUGGAUAAUUGGGUCUAGUAAGUGUAGACAUGACUUCCCCAACGGAUAGCUUGUCAAAACGGUACUAGAUUAUCGUUACAAUAAAUUAAAAUGCAUUUAUGAUUUUUUGCAUUUUUGUCAUUUAUUGUGAAUAUUGUUUCAAAGUAUUUAUGCAUGUCUAUUUUGUUUUUUCAGAAAAUGUCUUCCAUCAACCCAUUAUUAAUUAUCCUUGGUAAAAAUGAACUCACUGGUGAAAAUUAUUUAGAUUGGAAACGCAAUCUAUUUAAUAUUCUCACUGCUAAGGGAAGCAAAUAUGUUUUGACUCAGCCUUGCCCUCAUGAACCAUCGUUAUACGAUUAUAGAAAUCAGAGGGAGCCUUAUGAGAAAUGGUGCGAAGCUAACAAAAUGGCUAAGCGCUAUAUAUUGGCUUCGAUUUCUGUGGAACUGCAUAAGAAACAUCGGAGCAUGGAAACAGCCACUGAAAUAAUGGCUAGUCUUCAUCAGAUGUUUGGGCAAAAUACCCAUUUUGCCAGAGAAGCAGCAUAGAAACGUAUUACGGAUACUAAGAUGGAAGAGGGCACAAAAGUUCGUGAUCAUGUCCUCAAAAUGAUGGACUAUUUGAAUGAGGUAGAGAUUCAUGGUGUUCAAAUCAAUGAUAAAUCAAAGAUUAACAUGGUGAUUGAAUCUUUACCUGAUACAUUCAAAGAGUUUAAGGUCAGUUAUAUCUUAAACAAUAAAGUUAUGACCUUAAUUGAAUUAAUGCACGAACUACAUGCUAUAGAAGAAUUCUAUCAUAGCAGAAAACUUCCUAAAAAAGGAUUCUCUUCAAGGCUUAAGUCGAAAGACAAGAAUGAGCAAGCAAGAGUUGGGAUCGGCAAACUGUCCACUAAAAGAAGUGGCAAGCCAAAAGGCAAGUGUUACAAAUGUGGACAGAAGGGUCACUGGAAGAAAGAUUGUCCUAAGAUUAUUAAAAUCAGGUAUAGGAAAUCUUUAAGCUUCCUAAUUAGUUCAGAUUUCUAUUGCAUCAUACAAUAAUGAAUUCUGAGAUAACUAAUCUUAUUUGUAAUUCAUUUAUUUGGUUUUCAGGAAACCAAGAGAUUAAGUGAAGAAAGCAUCAAACAGCAGUUGAAGACAUGCUAGUUUAUAUCAAUUGAAAGACUAGAUCAAUUUUAUAAGACUUUAGUUUUGAUAUUUGUCUUUAUAUUAGAGGAAUUUAAUUUCGGUGGCUUGUUUUAAUAAACAGGAGUACACUGUUAUUUUUUGGAUCCUCUAUUUAUUAUUUAUUUUGGUUAUUUAUAAAGACAAUUUAUAUCAUAGAAGUCCAUUGAUCUAUUCAAAGUAAGAUAUAAUGAUAAAACGUAUAUGCAUUUAUCUAAGAAAAGAAAUGUUUCUUCUAACCAAAAAUCACCUCUGAUAUUUAUGCCUAAGUCAUAUAAACUAUAAUAAGAUUUUAAGAAAAUGAUCAAUGAUAGACUUGUUGGCCUAUUAAGAUUGAUCAUUGUAACUCUAUAAAUCUUAUUUAGAAAAGUAAUAUGACAAGGAUGCUCUUUUUGAGCUAAAAAGCAUAACUAUGUAUUUGAUGAUUUAGCGCAUACAAAUGUAUACGGACUAAUCAGUUUACAUGUUAUAAGGGAUUAUGAGUAUUCUAUCAAUCUUGUUGAUGAAUAUUCAUUUUAUUUAUGUUUGUCUAAAUGCGUCAUGAUUCCAUUGCUUUUGAAAUUCAAAAGAGUACGUGGAUAAGACAGAAGCAAUUAGACAGGAACAUAAAAGAACUUCGAUAUGAUCGAAACAAAGAAUAUCUCUAUGGAGAAUUCAAGCACUAUUUGGUUGUCAAUGAACACUAUAAUACAAUAGUGUAAUUAAAUGAAGAAACAAGAUUCUUUUGGAUAAGACAAGAUAUAUACUAAGUGGUUUAUCAUUUACCUUUUUUGAUUCCAGAUACUAGUAUUUAAAACUACAAAGUUUAUUGAACUUAGUUUCAUCUAUCUCGGUGUCUACUACUCCAAGAAAUUAUGAAAAAGUCACAAACAUGGUUUGAGACACAUUCGUAUUUGGAGUUUACUAGUAUUUCUACUAGAAUCAGAGAUAGACAAGAUGGAUUCGUGUUCAGAAGCUUGCAUGUUUUAGGUAUCUUAAAGGAAUAAGGGAAAGUCUGAAUUAUAGUCCUCAAGAUAGGAAUGUAUUUAUAGAAAUAUUCUUUACUUUCUUUGAGGAAGACUCUAUAAUGACUUAUAACCUAAGAGUAAGGUAAAACUAGAGAAAUAAAAGAGAUCAGGUUGAUGCUCAGCUUUCAACACCUGUUAUAGAACAGGAAGAACAGCAACAACCAGCUGAUCAGCACAGGAUUAUCCUUGAACAACCAUCACUUUUAGAACCUUGUUGUAGUGGGAGGGUAACUAGGUUACCUGCGAGAUACAUAUUUUUGGGAGAAACCUAUAUGGUUAUCUCAGAUGAACAUGUACAAAAUCCCACUAGUUACAACGAAGCUCUAAUAGAUAGAGAUGUUAAAUUUUGGAAAAAUGCCAUGAAUCAAGAAAUGGAAUCUGUGUAUUCCAAUAAAGUCUGGGAACUUGUAGAGGCACCAAAUGGGGUAAAACCUAUAGGCUGCAAGUGGAUCUACAAGAGAAAAAGAGGAGUAGACGGAAGGGUGGAAACAUUUAAAGCAAGAUUAGUAGCCGAAGGGUUUACUUAGAAAGAAGGGAUCGAUUAUGAGGAAACAUUUUUCUACGGUUGCUAUGCUUAAAUCCAUCAGGAUUCUGCUCUCCAUUGCUGCAGUGCUAGAUUAUGAAAUUUGGCAAAUGGAUGUCAAGACUGCCUUUCUUAACGGGCAUCUGGAAGAAAACAUCUACAUGCAGCAACCAGAUGGAUUUAUACAAAAAGGCCAAGAACACAUGGUAUGUAAGUUGCAGAGAUCCAUUUAUGGAUUAAAGCAAGCAUCCCGGUCAUGGAACAUCAGAUUUGAUCAAGCGAUUAAAUCACUUGGAUUCAUUCAGAACAUUGAUGAACCAUGUGUGUACAAGAAAAUUCAGGAAAAAUUUGUAGCCUUCCUAGUUCUUUGUGUAGACAAUAUUCUCCUUAUUGGAAAUGAUAUAGGAGUAUUGACUACAAUAAAGAUUUGGUUAGCAAAAUAAUUUGAUAUGAAAGACCUGGGGGAGGCAAGUUAUAUUCUUGGUAUCAAGUUACUACGAGACCGGAAGAAUAAAACUUUAGCCUUGUCUCAAGCGAUCUAUAUCGAUAAGAUAUUGGCUAGAUUUAGCAUGGAAAAUUCCAAGACUGGUUUAUUACCAUUCAGACAUGGAAUUACAUUCUCUAAGGAUCAAUCACCUAAAACAUCUGAAGAGAUAGAGAGAAAGAGACGAGUUCCCUAUGCAGACGCUGUGGGAAGUCUCGUGUAUGCCAUGCUUUGCACUAGGCCAGACAUCUGUUUUGCGGUAGGGAUGGUUAGCAGAUAUCAAUUUAAUCCUGGACCUCAAUACUGGACUGUAGUCAAGCAUAUUAUAAAGUAUCUGAAAAGAACUAAAAAUUAUAUGCUUGUGUAUUCUGGUGAUGAACUCAUUCCAGUGGGUUAUACUGAUUCUGACUUUAUGUCAGAUAAGGAUUCCAGAAAAUCAACUUCCGGCUAUGUGUUUACAUUGGGAAGUGGAGCUAUUAGUUGGAUGAGUGUGAAACAAUCUUGUAUCACAGACUCAACAACUAAAGCUGAAUAUGUGGCUACAUCUGAAGCUGCAAAAGAAGCUAUAUGGUUCCGCAAGUUCCUACGAAAUCUUGAGGUGGUACCUGUUGUAACUGCACCCCUUAAACUAUUUAUGUGAUAAUGGUGGUGCGGUAGCUCAAUCUAAGGAACUAAAGAACCACAAGAAACAAAACAUAUUGAAAGGAAGUAUCAUCUUAUAAGGGAAUAGUGUAGAAAGGUUAUAUGACAAUAUCCCAAAUGGCAUUAGAUGCUAAAUGGCAGAUCUUAUUACAAUGGCCAUUAGUGGGAAACCUUUAUAACCUGCACUUAGAGCCCUAGAGCAUGUGCAAUAUGCCAGAUAUGCUUUGAGAGCUAGUGGGAGAUUGUUGGGAAAAUAUGCUCUUUAAAAGCAUAUGUGUUUAUUUAAUUGUAAUAAACAAUUUUUCUGAUUAAUAAAAUAAAUGAGGUAUUUUAUUCAAAUAUCUUAAUUGCAUUAAUAUUUGUAUUAAAGUCCAUUUAAUCAUAUUAUAUGUAUUUAUGUGAUCACUAUGUGGAUUCACAGAAGACAUAAAUACAAGUUAUCUUAUGAUUAAAUAAAUUUAGUUCGCAGUUGAUAAAUAAAGUUGGGCACUUUAUUUAGGUAUAGACUGUAAUAAAUUCAUUGAAUGAUUUGUCUUAAUCAUGUAUGAAUUUAUUGAUGUAGUACGACUACAUUGAACAGGAUCACAUAUGAGAUUUAAUUAACUUUGUAAUAACUGUCAGACUUAUUAAAUCUCAUAGGCGUUGAUUUUACUGUAAUCUUAAUCUUGAGUUAAUUAUGAUUUCAUGAUUGUAAUUGUUAUUCCAUUUGAGUUACCAAUGGGCACGACACAGCCUUGUGGUCAAGAUUACCCGGUAUCUUGGUGGGAGCAAUUAUGAGUAUUGGAGUUAUGUAUUAACAAUAUAGAAUUUGUACAACACAUCUCUUGAUGGGUUUUCGGCACUUGAUCAUAGAACUCUCUGGCCAGAGUGUGUCAACAUAUUUAGUAUGUUGAAAAUGAUCAUUAGAGAAAACCAGUAAGGAUCAAGGAAUAAGAUGUUAUUAAAUUGAUUGGACAGUUGAGAUAUCAAUUUAAUUAACGAUGUGGUACAAAGGAUUGUGCAGUAAAGAAAUCAAUGUGGCUUGGGACGAAUUAUUAUUCGAGCAUACAAUUAUGGAAGUCAGUUCUAAUCUUUUAGUGGAGUAGAUUUGAAAUUAAAUAAUUGGACUAGUUUAAUUACAGGCCUAAUUAUUGUAGCCACUAUUGUAUGUUCCCAAAUGAUCCCCGGGUUAGCUCAUUUAAUUGACUGCACCACUACUGGACUAAUAAGUAAGAUAACUAGCUAUUUUGGUCAAAAGCCUAAAUAUAUCAUUUAGUGGGAGGCUCCAUUUAAUUAGCUUUUGUAUAAGGGGCCUUAUGUUAUUUUACAAGGUGGGUCCCCUAUUGAAAAAGAAAAUAACGUGAGUUUUAUUUAGGGUAUUAUUUGGAGCCUAGGGUUUUCACUAAAGGGUGAUAUAAAAGGCUUAUUUUUCCCUAAAGAAAAAUAUGGAAGCCACUAUAUACAGAUCAGAGAAAAAGAUUUUUCUCUCUAUUGUUGAGAGAAAAAUUUUCUCGUGCUAGUUGUUUUGAUAGUGAUAAAGGCGCCCACAUGUCAAGUGCAGAUCGAACCUGAGUCAUAACUUGGAAGAUCAUUGGAGACUGUUCGUGAUCUAACAAGCGUGGUGGUGACGGAUCGUGAUCUAACAGGAGUGGUGGUGGCGGAUCGUGAUCUAGGAGCCUAAAACACUUCAGCGGAAAAAGCCAACUCAGAUUUUCAAGGUACGAUUUCUAGAAUACAAAUUCUUAUAUAUUAUAUGAGAGCGAUCUUCAAAAGGUUUUAUAAAAAUUAAAAAACUGGAUUUUCCCCAACAGAAGGAAGUCAUCAUGAUCGCAAAAACACAAGGCCUCACCUUCGGAGGGUUGUCAUCGGGGAAAUAACACAGUUCUUAGAACUGCCACAAUGGCUUCUUCAAUGUUGUACUGAUACUUUACAGAGCUUGAUAAUUGUUGAUUGUCCCAACUUCAUGGCACUACCAGGGUCUCUAAAAGAUCUCGAAGCUCUUGAAACUCUUGUCACUGCACGAUGUCCAAAAUUGUCAUCGUUGCCGGAGGAUAUGCAUCACGUCACUACUCUGAAAUCAUUGGCCAUUGCAGAAUGUCCUGCGCUGAGUGAACGAUGCAAACCGCCAACAGGUGAAGAUUGGCCCAAGAUUGCACAUAUCCCUGAGAUUUUACUUGACGAUAAGAUGAUUAAAUCAAGCGAUUAUUAGGUAUGGAGCUCUCUUCUUUUUUAAUUUCCUCUUUUCAUGCAGCUUUCUAAUUUUUAAUUUCUCAUACAGCUAUACCGUUUAUAGUUUAAUGUUUUGUUAUGUUUACCAAACGAAAACUUGACUUUGAACGUUAGUUAGUUCAAUCAAAUUUGUACUAAUUUAUUUUCUUCUAAUACAUAAUUAGUUUGUCAGUACGAAACACAAAAAUAAUAUUUCGGAAACCGCAUUGUUCUAGGGGUCAGAUCUGUUUCUAAAUUCAAACAGUUCAGGAUUUUUCAAAAUGGAACUUAUAAUGAGAUUUUUUUUUUUUAAUUAUCUAGUUAUCUUCAUAUGGAAUUUCAAUCUUUGUUAAUACUUUAACUUGCGCCGAAACAUCUAACUAUUCUUCCUCUUAUCCUUUUUUUUUCCCAAAUAUUGCAGCUUUCUUGGGAGAGGUUCAACCAAACUGUAGGGACAGUGAAAAUAUUACUCUUAACGUUGUUCAGAACAGAGGUUCAACGGUUUUAAUGUUGUGUUUUAAAGUUACAAGUAUUAUAUAUUCGUUACGUGUGGUUAUGUAAUUUGCUGAUAUAUAAGUACAUUGAGUGAGGUAUAUGUGUGUGCCUGUGUGGUCAUUACUGAAUUUCUCAGUAAUAUAAUUUGCAUUGACUGCAGAUUUGUGUAAUGGGAACGGUGGUGUCUGUAUUUUUUGCUUUGUGAUUGACGACUUACAUUUGCCCAGGAAGAAAUGAAAACAAAUCGGCUUCUUGAAAUUAACCAUUUAUUCUUUCGAAUGGUAACCUUUUUGUGACAUGAUUCGCAUAUUAAUCAAAAGCAGUUGGCAAACUAAUCAGAUAUUGCAUCGUGAUUCGUGGCCUUGAAGUGAAAUGCGUGAGCAUGUUUGUGGAGGUUUUUGUUUUUGUUUUUUUUUUCCUCCAUAUAAAAUGACUAAUUCGAAAGAAUAUGUAUUGUAAUAGAACCUAGAACUUCUAUGUACUUUAGGAUGAAAAUUCUGUACGAUAGAAAAUAUUAAAACGAAAAUUAAAGUUGAUAUGAGAAAAUUAAAGAAGCUUGCAACUUGGAACUGCAAUCUAGCUCGACCUACUAUAUAUAUAUAUAUAUAUAUAUAUAUAUAUAUAUAUGUUAUUAAUUAAUUGAUCAGGUAAGAUAGGGAGAGACUCGCAGACUCUUUACAAGGAGCAAAAAUGGUAUGAAACUCUGUUUUGAUUAAAAUUCAAUGACUUUCUUCGUAUUAAUCAAAUUAAUUGAUUAAUUAUUUUGGUAAAAAGAAUUUGCGAAAAGUCAUUUUAUCAAAUGAUUUGGUGAAAUUUCAAGUACUUUCAUCUUGGUUUUUGCAGUUAAUAGGAAAUAGUUUGGUCUUGGGAUGUGGUAUAUGUAUCAACUUCUUAUUGCUGGUGAACAUUACUGGUUUAGUGUGCGAUCGUUUACUAUCACUGCAUGCAUUAUCAGUUUAUUUUAUUGAACUAUCCCAAAUCAGUAACGAAUCCUCAAUUCCCUCUGUUUUCUUUGGAUCCUAGUAGUGUUUGGCAUGCAUCAACUAGUGUUCAUGCAUGUGUCGGUUCAUCAUAGACAACUUCAGCACACAUACAACAGCCCUCAUUUCUUCUUAUAUUGUCGGUUCGAUAUCAUUUUGAAAAAUCAUAUCAAAACUGCUUUUGGAGUUCUAAUCCAGUGCAGUUACACCUAUAUUGUACUUUUGAUCUGCAACCUUGAGUCACUGUCAUUUUGCUGUUAGUAUUUCGAUUAGCAACUUGUACAGUGGUAUUUGAACUGCAUGGUAUGUCAACUUUCACUCUAUGUGUCUUAGAAACUCUGUAUAUCACUAAUUUCCUAGCACAGGCCUUGUUGACAGUCAAAGAUUUGAGGCAUAUUUCUGUAUUGAAGGCUUUUCUGUCGUCAAUUUGAUGAUGAGCGCAUGUAUUAUCCCCAAUAUUUUGAGCAGGAACUUGUAACUAGUAAUAACCAGUACCUAAGAUGUUGCAUUUGAUUGACUUCUCUUUCUCGUUUAGUUUCAGCCGUUGGAGUUGUUUCAGACAUGGUAACUGAUACGUAAUUUCUCUCUUUCCACCCCACAAUGUAUCAUUAGUCAUCAUUCGUUCUGGUUGGCGCGGAUACGCAUACUAAUUUGGAUUAUUGUCUGUGCCUUUGUCUUUUGUCAAUAAUCUUUUGCAUUUCAGGAUUAGUACAUCUUGUGUACUGGUAUACUCUCUCAACUAUACAUGUAAGACUUUGUUAUGUUUUCUUGACCCGUAAUCUAAUGCUAUAAGAUGACGGCAUAAUUGAGCUAUUUUGCAUCUCCAUGCAGGCCUGAUUUGGUUUUUGUGUCACUACCUGCAUUAGAUAUUGGUAGUCAAUGGCUGCAGAUGUACAGGUGCCGUUUCGUUUCCCUGACAUAAUCUCAUGUAACAUGAAAUUGCUUGUGAAACUGGAAGAUACUUGAUUCUUUUUUUUUUUCAUUUUUGCUAAAGAAAAGUGUUACUUGCGUUGGGAAAUAUGCCUACCACUCUGGAUCUCCGUUGCAGUACAUUCUUGAGAGGAAAAUCUAGCCAUAAAAUGUAAAAGACAACACAAAUUGGCCUUUCAAAGCCUAUUAUGGGAACCGGAUGUUUAUGGGUUAUAGUUGUGUGGCAUGUGAGGUAAUUGUAGCUUUCCGUGUUAUUAUCCAUAUCAGGAUUUGCAAAUGUUAUCAGUGCUUUUUACCUGAUCCAACUGUUUCAACCCUGCAGCUUCUUUACCUAAUCAUAUUUCUUAUUGCGGAGACGCAGAGUGAAAGUUUGGUGGAUGUAGGUUCUCAUUUUCUUACUAUUAGAUUGUUCUGCAUAUAGAAAGAUUUCCCCUGUUUCUGGCUUUGCAAACAAUCUCUUCUUUCAGGUUGUGGUGGGUGCUGUGCGACAGGGCUCGCCUCUUUCCUUCCUAGUUGCAUUGAGUUUAUUCGGUUGGGCAAUCAAGCAAACGAUCAAUGUCAUAAAGGUAACUUGCACUCCAUAUUAUCGUAAUGUUCGUUUAUUCUGAUACUUCUUCACAAUAAGUAAAUUUCUUGAUGUCUACAAAUUAAGGAGACUUUUGUAUGGGUAAAGUUGACAUUUUACAAUGGCAUUCUGGAUCCUGAAAUCGGUCAGUUUGAGAUUCACAUGCUGUGAUAUGCUCUACUGUUAAAACUCAAACCUUUUCUGUAUCUUAAAUGGAUUGUCGUGGAUAUGCCUGGGAUGAUCAUUUUCUUCCUCUUCACUUCAUCAUCUUUGUCAUAGUAGUUAUAAUUGAUUGAGGAGUGUGAAAACGCAUUGUGAUGAAUGAAUGCACAAGCUAUGUGAUUAAGACUGCAUUUAUUAGGUUGGUGACGGCAAAUAUCAGGCAGGAUAUUCACAAUAGUGCUACUGAAGCUUAAUAUGGAAUAAGGAGACCAAACCUCUAUAUGAUAAGAGUUGUAUGAAUACCAAAUGAAUUGUAAGAGGAUAUGGUUAAUUUAGAUUGUAAUUUAAGAAAGCUUGAGUUCUAAGAGCACAGAAAUGGGAUCAGUCUUGCUCAAGUGUGAACUCCAUCAGUUAGGAAGUUGUCCAUCAAAUGGAAAUAUUUAUGUGAUUCAGAGAAAUUAUGGACUUUUGAUGAAAACAAAAAUCCUGUAUGCAUUUGCUUGCUCCCAAUCCUGUAUGCAUUUGCUUGCCCCGAAGGAGCUGAAAGUUCUCAAAUUGUUUGUAGACGUCAUAGUUCUCCUGAUGUCAUUUGGCUUGGUAAUCUUUUUUGCUCGAAAAUUUGCCCAUUGUGUGGUCUUGACGGUGGGUGAAAUUGAUUUGUGGUUUCAGAUGAAGACAUCAGCAGAUGUGUGUGCGCUAUAUCACAUCGAGAAAAAGCAAAGGCCUUAAAGAGUUCAUCAACAUUUUCCAUUUCAGAAGAAUCUGUUUGUGGUUCUCCUGCUCAAGUGCCUACUUUUCGGGGUGCAGCAUAUAUGUUGAGACCGGCAUAUGAAAUCACUAUACUUUUACAGUUGAUCCGAGGCUUCCCUAGCAAAGGAUUUGGAAUUAAUUUGGGGAAGGGGUGUUUUUUGGGUAUAUGAGUGUGUGCAUUCCUUCAAUCACGUAGCUUCGUGCCAUUGACUUAUUGGCAAUUCCACAAUGGUGAUAAUGAUAAUUUUAUGAUUGGGGCACAGUGUUAGGAACUCUUUACUGGUUUUUUUUUUUCGCAUCUAUGUCUAUGAUUAAGGUUGUUUAAGGUGGUAUGGAUUUCAGUACAUUGAACAAAAAAUUAUUUAUUUUUAUUCAAAUAAAAAUACCUAAAAAUCAAACCUAAGUUAAAAAAAAUAAAGUUUAAAAAAUUCUGAAAUUAAUCAAAUUUUAAAACUUGAGACUUUUAACAGAUUAAUCCAACCUUUGAAUAAAUAAACUAAAUGGGGGUCAGUUUUUCUCGUGUCAGCUUGUUCAAUCGACACUAUCUUUUCAACCUCUCACGAAUAAACAAAUCACUAAUGAUGUGUCCAUUUCUUCUACUUUAUAAUAAUUUUUAAUAAAAAGAUUAUUAAAGUGGUUCGGCUGUGGGAGCCACACGUGUCUGUGGCAGCGCACACCCAAGAGAAGCCAGUCUGGUUCCAAGAAGAAAGUGAACAUGAGAUGAUGAGAUGCCGUAUCAAAUGGGGCCACGUAGACAGAGAUGCUUCGAGGUGACAUGUCAGCAGAUACCUCCACCACCGAUCUUCAAAAUAAUUUGAACGGUUGGGAUUUUAUUUUCAACUUACCUGUGUCCAGGCUGUUGUUGAUUGUCGCUAUCCUCAAUUGUCCACUUCGAAUUUUUUUUUCAAUUUCUCCAACACUCUCCUAACCAAAGGAGUUAAUAAGAUUUCGAUAUUUUUUUCUUUAAAUGAUUUGAAAUAUCAAUAUUUUAUAAUUUUUUUUGGGUCCUAUUUUGUCCAUAAAAUGUUUAGCGAUCCUUUCGUUAAUUAGUUUCGUGGCUGUCUUAUCAAAUUAUUACAACGGUGAUAUUGGUUAGACACAAAAAUUAAGAAAAAAAAAUGAUUAUAAUUAUCUGCGUGGCGCUAACACACUCUUUCACCUUCAAUGCACUGAAACUGGGGAACUACAUGUAUGAUUUUCAUUCAGAAAAACCGAUGGGAACUAAUGACUUUCCAGAUUAAAAAAAAAAAUAGGAUUAUCAAACAAUGUAGCAUUGUUAUGUAAAGUUUUAUGGUUAUUUUAAGGCUAAAAUUGGUUUAGAAAUUAAUUAAAAGACUAUAUUCAUUCUAACAUAAAACGAGUUUUUAACAAGAGGAGGAGGUUCCUUUUAUAAUUUACUAAUUUAUACAACCUUUAAUAUUAAAACAAUAUUUUAUAUAUUAAGGACGAUGAUUCUUGCUCACUUAGUAAGAUAUGUAGACAUAACAUAGAUGUGGUGAUCAAUUGCAGGUUUCUAGUUUGGUUGCUUAGUUUGAGGAAAGAAUAUAUGCUAUGGUGUUUGGCUGGUCUGCUUUUUCUUUUCAAUUAAUGUAAUAUUCUUAUGCUUUGGAAUUGAUUAUCAUAACUAAAGGAAAGAAUAUAUACUAUGGAAUAUAUGCUAUGGUCUUUGGCUGGUCUACUUUUUUCUUUUCAAUUAAUGUAUUAUUCAUAUGCUAUGGAAUAUGAAUAUUACAUUAAGGGAAAGAAUAUUUUUACACAGCACACUAUAAUACUCUAAUUACCAAUUUUUUAUCUUGUAAUACAAGGUCAUAGCGAUUAAUUUAUCCGUCUUCAGCCAAAAAAAAAGUCCCAUUUCAGCACAUAUACAAGAGCCCUCAUUUUUCUUUGCUUCAGCCAUUUUAUAGCAGAAUCAUCACAGACACUUUGAGCUCUGCCGAAUCAUCAUAGACAAUUUGUGAUUGGUGGGAGCAUUACAAGAAAGGUACGACUACUUCGAACCGAUAGAUUUGUUUAUAUGAUUUAGCUAUCGUUUUAACUUUUAACAAUAAACAAGUGACAAUCAUGUACAUCAUUGGUUACAUAAAUAUUAAAAUGAGAUAAAUUUAUUCCUCUACUUGCCAGAUCCAUACAUAUUAAAAUGAGAUAAAUUUUAAGGUUUAAAAAUUUGCAAUUCAUCAAAAAUCUAGUGCGAUAUUAAGCGGUAAAAUCACUUAGGGUUAGUACAAGAGGUUUAUGAUUCCCUGACUCAUUUAUAUAGGUGGAGACUCAUUUAUAUAGGUGGAGAGGGAAUUAGGCAAUAAAGAAUUGAUACAAAUUAAUAAUUAUAUUAUAAAAAGAAAUAAAUUUCAAGAGGGAUCAUAAGUUCAUAGAAGAUUGUAUGUCAGUUAUUUGUAGUGGAAUGGAGUUUUUUUUGGAGAGGCUAUUUGGCUUGGAAUAUAUAUUAGAAUGAGAUUAUUUGAACCUACCGCAAUACUCUCUAAAAUCCACUUUUCAAAAAAAAAUUUCAGUACAAAAUUUUCCUUAAUUAAAUUACUAUUUUAGCCAAAUAUUAUGUUGAUUUAUCUCCCUAAAGUUUUUAUUUUUUUUUCACUCUUUUUUCUCUUUUCCUCUCUGUUUCCCCAAUUUUUUUUUUCCAGUCCUAUGUGGUUCUUAUAUUUUAAGGCUUCUAUUGGAGUAAGAUCUAUAUUCAAAUUGCUUAUCCAAAAAAAAAAAAUCUUUUAAAAUUUGCCUUUCCUUUACCCUCAAGUCACUAUUAGAUGUAUGUGCUCCUCAAGAAACUUUAGUAAUUGGAUUUCUAUUAAAUAUUUUAAUUUCAAAAAAUGAGAAGGUCACUAUACAAAUAUCAAAAGAUCACCAACUUAAUUAUACUAGUUAUAAUUAAGGGAAAUAAAAGACUUACUAUUUCUAUUUGAAGUUAUUAUGAUGAACAAAGAAGAGGGAGGGGGGGGGGGGGGGGGGGGGGAACAAGUCGCUGCAAUUGCAUCAAUUGAUGACAUGUUAAGAAACGUAUCAUUGAGAUAAGAUUUAAUUGAUAAAAAUAAGAUUUACUAGAAAGUAGUGAGAGAAACAACUAACAAAAAUUCAUGAUACUUAUUGAGGGUAUAUUGAGAAUAUUUGUGGCUUUUUUGAGUAAAAAAAUAAAGUUUUAAUUUGUGAUAAUGUGUUUAUUACGUAAAUGAGUUUAUUUAAUAUUCCAGUGGAUUUAAGUAGCCUUACCUUUCAUAUUAUAAUAAAUUUUUACAUUACUCUAUAUUACCCCUACUAUAGAGGACAAUGUAAUGAAAAUAUUGUUACUCUUAUACCUAUUAAAGAAACAAUAUUAUCUUGUACGUACAAGAACGUUCUAGUGCCCAAGUAAAAGUUUUAGUAAAACGUAUAAGAACUCUAAGUGUAAAGAGAAUUUCGUCAAGGUACUAUAGUAGUAUCGAAUGCUCUUUGCUAGUGUAAACUAUUUGUGCCACGUGUAGUAUUUCAAUCUUCACAAGUGGCAUUGCAUAUAGUGGCUCUUAUUUCAGUUCCUCAAAGGCACUCUAGAGGUACGUUAGCUUAUAAGCUAGUAUUUGGUCAUCAUGUGCUUCUUUUAAUGAAACACGUGGUUCAUUUUGUCCUCAUACGAGAGCAUUUUGUGUGGAAUAACCUUGUAAAAUGCUCAUUUAUCAAGGGCACAUGUUGUGUUGUUGGAACAUAGUAAAAAUAUGAUACGCUAACCCAUGUGCAUUUAUGAAAAAUCAAAUGAAAACAAAGAACUAAAAAAAAUGCAAAGGCUAAUUCAUAAUGUUUGAGUUUGAGAUGAUUAAUAUUUAAUUUUAUGGUUGCAAAGAUAAGAAUAAAAGUAGGUCUAGUGAGAAAUACCCUCAUAUUAUAAUACUAUUUAAAAUAAAUUUUGUUAUAAAAGAUUUUAUUUAAUAAGGUAUGGAGACUGUUCAAAAUAUAUUUUACGUACAAACUCAUAUGUUUGACGUGAUAGUAUGUCCCAUGCUAGGACUAGCAAUGGUCAAAUCAACCUAUUUCGAUAAGAUCCAUCAAAAUUAAUAUUUAAAAAAUUUAUCAUCUCAUUAUACAAUACACAGCUUUGCCAUCUAGUAGAGAAUGAUUGGUUGGCACACCAUAGUUUACACGAAUAUUUCUAAUAUUUGAAUCGUCUGUUAGAAAAUUUUAAUCCUAGCAAGAUCUUGUAAGUAAAAAUAUCAAAUAAAUAGUAAAUAGAAAAUAUACAGAGAAUAAAACCAAUCAUACAACACAAUAAUUUACGUGAAAAAUUCUUAUAUUGAAGAAAAACCGCAGUCGCCAAAGAUGACAAAAGAAAAAUCUACUAUUUAAAGAUCAUUACAAUUACUUUAAUAUUUUCCUCACAUAAAAAACCCCAAUAACAAAUAAUCUCUCAUUUCAGAAACUGUCUACUUGUAUAGAGCUGAUUGUUGUGUUAUUUAAAUAAGUGAAUCUAACCUUUCGUAUAUAUUGUGAUUAUUUUAUAUUGGAGAAAUAUUUAUUUCCUUAUAUAAUUUGUAUUUCUCCUUUAAUAAGUUCUUUGGCAUUACUUAUUCCUUAAACAUGAACCCCCCCCCCCCCCCCGGAACAAGAAAAUUACUAAAUAAAAAAAUUCUAGGAAAUAUCCUAAUUUAGGAUUUACAAAUCUUCAUUGAAAAAGGAGAUAUGUUUCUUAAAAAUCUCCACUUUGGUGAGUUUUUCAAUUAAGUGACAAAAUAUAAUCCGCCAUACAUCUAUGCAACCAUGUCGUCUCCCCCUUAUUUAGUCUACCAAAACCACACUAACAUAAGACUAAUGAGAAUCACUCCACCAUGGGUAAAAUCUUGUCCUCUAUCCAGCAGCCAUAAUUUUCUACAUCGAGAAUCAUCAUACUCCACAUUAUCCAGAGUACACAUGUUUUGUAACACUCCAAAAAUUACCCACGAAAACACAAGGAUAAAAUUGGAAUGAAACUUUACAUCAUUUAUUCUUAUUAAUAAAUCUCAAGAUAGACAAUUAUUCAUACUCCAACUGAAUCCGUACAUAAAACAUCUGAAAUAAAGUCUAUAAAGAAAAGUCUCUAGUCCAAAAUAAAAAGUCUAGCCAAAUUCACUCUUGAAAGCAACUCCAAAGAUCCACUAAGAAAAAUUCUCCAUUUAAGCACCCAAGCCACAUUUCUAAUCAAUCUGCAAAAUAUUGGAGACGAGGGGUGAGCCGUCAACUCGGUAAGCAAAUCUAUGCACAAUAUUUGAAAACCUUGUAAGUUUACCUUUAAAUAUUUUAUAACAACAUCUUUAUUUAGCAUAAGGGGUGGAUUCAUAUAAAAGCAUUAAAAACAUUAAAACAUUCAUAAAAACGUUAAAACAUAAACAUUAGUAGCUCAUGCCUCGUAGUCAUCAUUAUUCAUCAUUCAUCAUUUAGGGUGUUAUACCCCGCAUUUUUCCUCAUUUAGGGUACUAUACCCCACGUUGUUCAUAAUAUCCUUGUGCACCAGAUCAUCAUCAUACCAGCAAGUUGGCCUUAGCAUUUCAUAACAUCAUAACAUUAACAUCAUAUAUAUUACUACAGACUAUGAGCCAAAACAUUUUUGAAUCCACCUUACAUCUUUUCAUAAAUAGCAUUUAAAGUCUUCUAAAACAUUUAAUUCUUUUAAAAAAUUCUUUAAGAAAACAUUUAAUUUUAAAAAAACUAAUUUCUUAAGAAAAAAUCAUUUUAAAAUACAUUUAUAUAAAUUCAUUUAGAAGCGUUUUUAUUUUACAAAAUUCAUUUAAAUAUUUUAGAAAUCAGUUUUGUAAAAAUCUCUAUUUAAACAUAAUUCGUAUUUAUUAUAAAGGACAUCAUGCAUGAAUCUACUUAUCUUGAUCCAUAUCAAUCAAUUCAAUACCUUAAGAAUAACCAACGAGCUCACCCAUGUCCUAUAAUUAUCAUAAAAAUAUUCUUAUCAAUAUCAUCUCUAACCUUAAACAUAAUCCCAGUCAUCCUUAAAUCAUAGGCACUUAUACUAGCUUAAUACUUAUACAUAUUCUAAACAUAUCCUAUACUUAUGAGUAUCAUGUACAUGCUGAUUUUUAAUAACCUAUACACAUGUCGGAAAACCAUGAAAAUUUACAGAGGCACUGUGAACAUGCAUAGCAUUGCAUACAAUAUUUCACAAAAAUCAGCACAAGUCAAAAUCGAGUCAGAAUAUUGACCUUUCACCAAAGUAACAAAAUUGUCCAGCACUGAUCAAAACAGACAUUUUCCACUUAUAAAAUUCAUAAAAUUUUCUUUAGUACUCGAAAUAAUAUGUUUCUUUUUUUGAAUCACAGAAGAAACAUUCAGAAAGCACUAAUUAAAUUUCAUAAUUUUUGGACUCCUGAAACUAUUUUAAAACGUUUUAUUUCCAAGAACAUCUAACCCGUCCAGAAAAUCUCAGAGUUGAAAACAGAAUUUCAAACAUUCGUAUCUUUUAUUUUACAUGCCCAAAAAUCACGAUUCCAUUUUUUAAAGAUAGAGGAAAGAUUGAAAUUUCAUUAUAAAAUCCUAACAUGACAUGUAAUAUUCAUAAACUAGCCCAACUGUUAUACGUUUCAGCUUCUGCAAUUCUGGAAAACAGUUUUCAGAUUUGCAGCAGCCACAUGUUACGGUUUUUAAUAAUUCAACCAUAAAGAAUAAAACUACGAAAUUACACAUGCAAGCAUAGGAGACAUAGAUCUGUUGAUACAAAAAUCGCCAUAAUUUUUAAGGAUGUGUAACCUUAUAGAAAAAUUUCCAGAAUUGAGAACCGCUGCUGAAAAUCGGAAUUUUCCAGCACCAGUAACCCAACUUCGAAAACCCAUAACAAUUUGCAUAAUCAGACGAUUUCAACACAAAACCUAUCAAUGGAAAGCUUAGGAUGUCUAGUUCCAUGAUAUGUAAGCAUAUUCAUGUGAUUCUAAAUAAAGAAAACGCUUUCAAGCAAGGAAUAGAGGCUGUUCAUAUCAUCACAACAUUACAAACACGCAUAUAUUACCCAAAUCAUACUACAAGUAAUUAAAGGCAAACAAUUCAAAAAAAUAAAUCAUAUAAGUCUAAGAAAUAUUUAGUACCUUAAGGAAAACACUAAGGUGGCGUUUGUUUUUUAACUUAAUGACUUAAAGUGACUUAACUUAAUUAAUUAAGUUAAUUAAAGGUGUUUGUUUUUAUAACUUAAUGAGACUUUUUAGAUAAUUUUGACUUAAUAAAAUAAGCCAAUUUUUUUAGCUUUUUACUUAAUGGAGAAAUCUGAAUUAAGUCAAUUACUUACUAAUGUCAAAAAUAUCCUUGCUUUAUAAUUUAUUUUUCAUGUUUAUCCCAAACUCAUCCAUAGACAUUUACCCUACAUAAAAAUAUCCAUGUUUUUCUUUCUUAUAUUAUAUACGAUAAAAUUUAAAAUUUAUGGUAUUUUAUCUAUUAAAAUUCUAAAAUAAUUAUGUAUUUACUUGAAUUUAGUUUUACUUAUAAAUGUUAAAAUAUUGUGGCAUUUAAUAUAUUAUUUAUUUGACAUUCAAAUUUAAUAAGGAUACAAAUGUAAAAGUACAUAUUUUUAACUUUUUAAGUUGAAAAAAACAAACAACUUAAUACUUAUUUUCUGAGAUUCAGACGAAAAAAUAAACAUAUUAUUCAGAUUCAGACAUUCAGAUCUAUUCAGAAUUCAGACUAAUUCAGGUAUAUUCAGAUUUUAGAUAAAAAAACAAAUGCCACCUAAAAAAAGAAAGUUAUAAAACUUUCUUUUCCUUCUCCAAAGACUUAUGUUUCUUUUUUUUUUUUCUUUCUAGAGUUUGUAACGGUGUAGAAAAUAAAAGACGACUUCCUCUUAAAUACUUGUCAAUUAAUAAAUACUUUUAAAAAAAAAAUUAAUAACUUACAUAAUUUAUUUAAAGCAAUUUGAUAAAUUUUACCCACACACAAACACUCAAUAAUAAUUAUCCUACUCAAUUUUGAUAAGGGUAAAAGUAGAAAAAUAAAUAAAUAAAUAAAAGUGGGCGUUACAUGUUUGGCAUAUGUCGAUGACAUUUCUAAAAUUACCCACUCUCAUGUUUGGCUUUUUUGAGAGUCCUCAUCAAUCAACAUAAAAUUUCAUCUCAUACCUUGCAUAAAUACUAAACUAGGGGUUGUGUGCAUAUCUUGUGGACCAAUUAGCAAUAACACAUCCUCUUCACGAAACACCAAUAGAUGUCAUAAUUACUAUCUCUUUCUGUUGAUUUAGAACUACUUUCCAAAUUUGCUAUAUUCCAACAAUCUCUUUUAAGAUGUUUUGAUUACCUACACUCGUCCAAGGGUUUCUACUAGUGGAAUAGGCCUUACAUUGUUCUUUGCUUUACUUGUACAGACAUAUUGAAUCAUUACGUUAUUGAUUUGAGCUUCCCAUAAGCAAACAUUGAUUAUUCUGUCAAACUUUUUCGUUUCUAUCUUCAUAGGUUUUGAAAACCUCCUUGUUGCCAUAUUUGCUCUACAUUGCAACCUUAGCUCUAUUAUCACCUACUAAGAAAUAAUUAAUCCCACUUAAGAUUCGUAAGAAAAAAUAUCAAAUAAAUAGUAAAUAUAAAAUAGAUAGAAAAUAAAGCCAAUCAAAUAAUACAAAAUUUACAUGAAAACUUCUAUAUUGGAGAAAAACUAUAAUAGCCAAGGAUGAUAAGAGAAAAAAUUAUUAUAAUUACUCUAGUAUUUUUUUAACACCUAAAACACCAAAAGCACCUAAUCUCUUAAUAGAACUAUCUUUUCUCUCGCAGUAAAAACUAUUUACUUACAGACAAUCGAUUGUUAUAUUAUGCAAAUAAGUAAACCUAAUCUCCAUAUAUGUGUGUGUGUGUGUGUGUGUGUGUGUGUGUGUGUGUGUGUCUAUGUAGGUAUGUAUGUAUAUAUGUAUGUAUGUGUAUGUAUGUGUAUAUAUAUAUAUAUAUAUACUCACACAUAUAUAGAUACCUACAUACAUACAUACAUACAUAUAUAUAUGUACAUGUAUGUACAUACAUACAUAAAUACAUACAUACAUACAUACAUACAUACAUACAUACAUAUACACACACACAUACAUGCAUACAUACAUACAUACAUACAUACAUACAUACAUAUAUGAUUUGUAUUCCUCUUUGAAUAAGUUAAGUUCUAAAGAGAAAAUUACUUAUUUGUUAAAUAUGAAUUAUCUUCAAUAAGAAAACUGAAAAGUGUAGAAAAUUCCUAAUUUAGGACUUAAAAAUCUUCUUUGAAAAAAGAGACAUCUCCCAAUAUCCUCAAAUCCUCUUUACAAUGCCACCAAAUCUCUUUUGUGACUAGCCCGGUUGAAACUUUUAAUUAAUGGGCUGUAAUUGCCAAUAUCCAAAAUAUCCAAAUAAAACAAAUUUCCAUAGGUAUAUUGGUAGAUUGAAUGACAACUAACAACACGUGAUUUGAUUAACUUAUUUCCAAAAAAAAAAGAAAAAAAAAAGAUACAAUGGAUGAACAUAAGACUCUUGUGCCAACUCAUGGAAUUCAUCAAUAAGGCCUUGGCUGAUCCACCUCAUGACUAGUAGAGUUCAAACCCCCGCUAAAUAGUAAAAAAACUAUUUGGAUUAUUAAUUACUCUUUCUUAAGUCUAUUUAAACUUAACUUUAAGAAUUAUGAACGUCUACACUUUAAUUAAAACAAUACAAGCCCACCCGUUUGUAUUUAAAAUUUUGUUUGAAUUUAUUCACGAGCAACAAGAAUAGUAUAAAUGGAAAAAAAAACCAUCAAAUAAUAUCCCAUGACUCUGUUUCUUCAAUUUCAGGAGCAAUGGUGGAAUCAUAUUUUCCGAUUGAAAAACUUUUGGAAAAAUUAGUGAGCUCUACUUGUGAAGAACUUUUAUUGUUCUACGGUGUCAAAAAUGACUUAUAAAAAUUAAAGGAGACGUUAACCACUGUCAAAAGUGUGGUUUUGGAUGCUGAGGAAAAGCAAAUCCAUAAUCACCGGUUAAGCGAUUGGCUGGGAAAGCUUAAAGAUGCUUGUUAUGAUGCAGAAGAUGUGUUGGAUGAAUUUGAGGUGGAAAAUCUACGAAGGCAAGUCAUGAAGCAAAGAAGCAUCGGAAGAAAGUUUCGUAACUUUUUUGGAAGCUCAAAUCCGAUAGCUUUUCGUUUUAGAAUGGGCCAUCAAAUCAAGAAAAUUCGAGAGAGAUUUGAUGAGAUUGCAAAAUUGAGGGGUGAGUUUAAUCUCAUUGAACGACUUGACGAUCAUCAGCGAGUUGUGCACAAAGAAAGGGAACCCACUCACUCGUUUGUGCUUUCAUCUGAUAUUAUUGGAAGAGAUAAAGAUAGAGAGAAGAUUAUUGAACUAUUGAUGCAAACAAGUGACGGCGAAAGUGAAACUGUGUCUGUGGUUCCUAUUGUGGGACUUGGAGGUUUGGGCAAGACUGGACUUGCAAAAUUGGUGUACAAUGAUCAAAGGGUAGAAGAGCAUUUUGAGUUGAAAAUCUGGAUAUGUGUUUCUGAGGAUUUUGAUGAGAAACAACUUAUGACAAAGAUUAUCAAGUCGAUAACUGGUCAAAACCAAGGUGACUUGGAUACAGACCAAUUGCAACGAACCUUGCGAGAUCGUUUGAAUAGUAAGAGAUACUUGCUUGUUAUGGAUGAUGUAUGGAACGAAGAUCCUGAAGCAUGGCGUAAAUUAAAAAGCUUAUUGUUGGGAGGUGCUAACGGAAGCAAAAUUUUGGUAACCACACGUAGCAGGAAGGUUGCUUCAAUCAUGGGCACGAGGGGAGGUACUACUGGCUACAACUUACAAGGUCUACCAUUCGAGGAUUGCUUGUCUUUGUUUAUGAAAUGUGCAUUUAAAGAAGAGCGAGAUAAACAUCCAAACCUUGUUAAAAUCGGGGAAGAAAUUGUGAAAAAAUGUGGGGGAAUUCCUCUGGCAGUCAGAACACUAGGAAGUCUACUAUAUGACUCAACGGAUGAACAUGAUUGGGAAUAUGUGAGGGAUAAUGAGAUAUGGAAGUUAGAGCAAAAGGCAAAUGACAUUUUACCUGUUCUGAGGUUCAGUUAUGAUCAACUACCGCCUCGCCUGAAACAAUGUGUUGCUUAUUGUUGUAUCUUUCCAAAGGAUUUUGAAUUUAGUAGUUAUGCUUUGGUUCAAUUUUGGAUGGCUCAUGGUCUUCUCCAAUCGCAUAAUAAGAAUGAAGAGUUAGAAGAUAUUGGUAUGCGGUACGUGAAGGAAUUACUAUCAAGAUCUUUCUUCCAAGAUUUGACUAUUGGGAUGUUAGGAAUGGAGACGUUCUCUUUCAAAAUGCGCGACCUUAUGCAUGAUCUUGCUCAGCAAGUGGCCAAAGAUGAAUUCCUAGUAGUGAACUCUGAUUGUCAAUCUAUUCCCAAAAGUGUCCGUCAUUUGUCAUUUGCUACUGCUAAUGCAUCGAGAAAUGACUUUUCAAGCCUUUUAUCUGAUCUAGGUCGUGUGAGAACCAUUUUCUUUUCACCUGAUGAUGAGAAGACAAGCCAAUCAUUUGUUGAAUCAUGCAUCUCAAAGUCGUAGUUCCUGAGAGUGCUAGAUUUAAAUGGCUCUGCUAUUGAGGUUUGUCCCAGAAAGAUGGGUAAUUUGAAGCACAUGAGGCGUCUUGAUCUGGCGGGAAAUUCUAAAAUCAAGAAACUUCCAAAAUCCAUUUGCGAGCUACAGAGUUUACAAACACUGAAUCUUGAAGGAUGUCUGGAGCUAGAAGAGUUGCCUAAAGACAUAAGGUACCUUGUUAGUCUCAGAGUGUUAGGGCUAACCACAAAACAAAAGUCUUUGCAAGAGAGUGGAAUAAGGAGCUUGAGUUCUCUUCGUUGGUUGUCAAUUUCUAAAUGCAGGAAUUUAGAACAUUUGUUCGAGGAGAUAGAUCAAUUAUUGUCCUUCGAACAUUAUUAAUUGCUAAUUGUCCUCGUCUAAUCUCAUUGCCACCUGCUAUCAAAUAUCUCAGCUCAUUAGAGACUCUGAUGUUGUGGAAGUGUGAAAGCCUUGAUCUUAAUCUGAACGUGGAAAUGGAAGGUGAAGGAAGUCAUCAUGAUUGCAAAGACACAAGGCCUCACCUUUGGAGGGUUUUCGUUGUGGAAAUAACACUGUUAUUAGAACUGCCGCAAUGGCUUCUUCAAUGUUGUACUGAUACUUUACGGAACUUGGUUAUUGGAGAUUGUCCCAACUUCAUGGCACUGCCAGGGUCUCUAAAAGAUCUCAAAGCUCUUGAAACUCUUACCAUUCUAGGAUGUCCAAAAUUGUCAUCGUUGCCGGAGGAUAUGCAUGACGUCACAACUCUGAAAUCAUUGACCAUUGCAGGAUGUCCUGCACUGAGUGAAAGAUGCAAACCGCCAACAGGUGAAGAUUGGCCCAAGAUUGCACAUAUCCCUCAGGUUCAUCUUGAUGGCGAGAUGAUUGAAUCAAGUGAUAAUUAGGUAUGGAUUUUUUUUUUUCAAUAAGCGUACCACUCUGUUAUAUUUCCUCUUUUCAUGCAGCUUUCUAAUUUUUAAUUUCUCAUACAGCUAUACCGUUUAUAGUUUAAUGUUUUGUUAUGUUUACCAAACGAAAACUUGACUUUGAACGUUAGUUAGUUCAAUCAAAUUUGUACUAAUUUAUUUUCUUCUAAUACAUAAUUAUUUUGUCGGUACGAAAAACAAAAAUAAUAUUUUGGAAACCGCACUGUUCUCGGGGUCAGAUCUGUUUCUAAAUUCAAACAGUUCAGGAUUUUUCAAAAUGGAACUUAUAAUGAGAUUUUUUUUUUAAUUAUCUAGUUAUCUUCAUAUGGAAUUUCAAUCUUUGUUAAUACUUUAACUUGCCCCGAAACAUCUGACUAUUCUUCCUCUUGUCCUUUUUUUUUCCCAAAUAUUGCAGCUUUCUUGGGAGAGGUUCAACCAAACUGCAGGGACAGUGAAAAUAUUACUCUAAGUUACAAGUAUUAUAUAUUCGUUACGUGUGGUUAUGUAAUUUGCUGAUAAAUAAGUACAUUGAGUGAGGUAUAUGUGUGUGCCUGUGUGGUCAUUACUGAAUUUCUCAGUAAUAUAAUUUGCAUUGACUGCAGAUUUGUGAAGAACAUUGAUUCCAAACAUGUGGUGUCUGUAUUUUGUGCUUUGUGAUUGACGACUUACAUUUGCCCAGGAAGAAAUGAAAACAAAUCGGCUUCUUGAAAUUAACCAUUUAUUCUUUCGAAUGGUAACCUUUUUGUGACAUGAUUCGCAUAUUAAUCAAACGUAGUUGGCAAACUAAUUAGAUAUUGCAUCGUGAUUCGUGGCCUUGAAGUGAAAUGAGUGUUGGUGCUAAUUAGCAAUGUAACUUGUUUUGAUUAAAAUUCAAUGACUUUCUUCGUAUUAAUCAAAUUAAUUAAUAAAUUAUUUUGGUAAAAAGAAUUUGCCAAUUUUGUGGCGGUCUUGAGACCCUUGACGGUGGUGAAAUUGAUUCACGGUUUCAAAUGAAGACAUGCAGCGGAUGCGUGCGUGCCGUAUGACAUCGAUGAAAAAGUAAAGAGUUUGAUUUCUCUAUUUUACCCUUAAUUAAUCGUUGACGUCUAAUUUUACACUCCCAACAAAUUUGAAUGAAACAAUCCUAAUGUUCACUUUCUUCUUCCAUUUCAUUUUACGACUUAACAAAAUCUCGCAACGGAGAUGCUCCUGAUGAGGAGAAGGAGAAGAAGACACAGCGAGUUCGCAAGAACGUGUACAGAGGAAUAAGGCAGAGGCCAUGGGAGAAAUGGGCAGCUGAAAUUAGAGACCCUUACAAGGGCGUCCGCGUUUGGCUCGGCACAGCCGAAAAAGCUGCAAGAGUUUAUGCUGACGUCGCCAAGAAUAUCCGUGGCUCGACUUUGCUCACCGGCCGCCAGUAACUCCACCUCCAGGUAAGAAACGCUUCGUGCUAUCCCGUGAGUUGACUCACCCGAAUUUCGGAGAUUACUUUUUUAUUGGUUUUCAUUGAUUUCUUUUCCUGCUCUUAUCUACGAGGUUGUGCUUUCCCUUGGAUGCCCUUUAAUAAACAGCUUUCUUAAUAACAACUGAAGCGAAAAGUCAUUUUAUCAAAUGAUUUGGUGAAAUUUCAAGUACUUUCAUCUUGGUUUAUGCAGUUAAUAGGAAAUAGUUUGGUGUUGGGAUGUGUUAUAUGUAUCAAGUUCUUAUUGCUGGUUUGUUUCUCAUAAUCGUUAUCCAGUCAAAGCAAACGUUCGCCUCUCACAUUGACGGUUAGGCUAGAUGUUUGACCCUGAAUAAGAUGAUUGAGUUUAUUAUAGUCUUCUUAUAUUGUCGGUUCAAUAUCAUUUUGAAAUAUCACAUCAAUUCCGCGUUUGGAGUUUUAAUCCAUGCCCAGUUACACCUUUAUUUUACUUUUAAGCUGCAACAUUGAGUCACAUUCUUUUUCUGUUAUUAUUACGAUUAGCGACUGGUACAGUGGUAUUUGAACUGCAUAGCGUGUCAACUUUCACUCUAAAUGUCUUAGAAACUCUGUCUAUCACUAAUUUCCUAGAACAGGCCUCGUUGACAGUCAAAGAUUUGAGGCGUAUUUCUGGACUGAAGGCUUUUCUCUAGUCAAUUUGAUGAUAAGCGCAUUUAUUAUCUCCAGCAUUAAGCAGUAAUUUGUAACUAGUAGUAGCCAGUACCUAAGAUGUUGCAUUUGACUGUCUUCUCUUUCUGGUUCAGUUUCGACCUUUGGAGCUGUUUUAGACAUGGUAACGGAUAGGUAAUUUCUCUCUACCCCACCCCACAAUGUAUCAUCAGUCAUCAUUCGUUGUGGUUGGUGGAGAUACACAUACUAAUUUGGAUUAUUGUCCGUGCCUUCGUCUUUUGUCAAUAAUCUUUUGCAUUUCAGGAUUAGUACAGCUUGUCUACUGGUAAUACUCUCUCAAGUAUACAGGGAAGACUUUGUUACGUUUUCUUGACCCGUAAUCUAAUGUUUUAAGAUGAAGGCAUAAUUGAGCUAUCUUGCAUCUCCAUGCAGGCCUGGUUUGGUUUUUGUGUCACUACCUGUAUUAGAUAUUGGUAGUCAAUGGCUGCAGAUGUACAGGUACCUUUUCGUUUCCCUGACAUAAUCUCAUGUUACAUGAAAUUGCUCGUGGAACUGGGAGAUUUUUUAUUUUUUAUUUUUUCAUAUUUACUAAAGAAAAGUGUUACUUUCGUUGGGAAAAAUGCCUACCACUCUUUAUCUCUGUUGCAGUACAUUCUUAACAGGAAAAACUCGACAUAAAGAUGCAAAAGACAGCACAAAUUGGCUUUUCAAAGCCUAUUAUGGGAACCGGAUGUUUAUGGGUUAUUGUUGUGUGGCGUGUGAGGUAAUUGUAGCUUUCCGUGUUAUUAUACAUAUCAGGAUUUGCAAAUGUUAUCGGUACUUUUUACCUGAUCCAACUGUUUCAACCCUGCAGCUUCUUUACCUAAUCCUAUUUCUUAUUGCGUAGAAGCAGAGGGAAAGCUUGGUGGAUGUAGGCUCUCAUUUUCUUACUAUUAGAUUGUUCUGAAAAUAGAAAUAUUUCCCCUGUUUCUUGAUUUUCAAACAAUUUCUUCUUUCAGGUUGUGGCGAGUGCUGUGCAACAGGGUUCGCCUCUUUCCUUCCUAGUUGCAUUGAGUUUAUUCGCAUGGGCGCAAUCAAGCAAACGAUUAAUGUCGGACAGGUAACUUCAACCCCAUAUGAUGGUAAUGUUCGUUUAAAUAAAUUUCUUGAUGUCUACAAAUUAAGGAAACCUUUGUAUGGGUAAAGUUGACAUUUUACACUGGCAUUAUGGGUCUUGAAAUCGGUCUGUUUUAGAUUCACAUGCUGUGAUAUGCUCUAAUGUUAAAACUCAAACCUCUUCUGCAUGUUAAAUGGAUUGUCGUGGAUAUGCCUGGGAUGAUCAUUUUCUUCGUUUUCACUCAUCGUCUUUGUCAUUGUAGUUAUAAUUGAUUGUGGAGAGUGAAAACGCACUGUGAUGAAUGAAUGCAAAAGCUAUGUAAUUAAGACUACAUUUAUUAGGUUGGUGACCACAAAUAAUCGGAAGGAUAUUCACAAUAGUGUUAUUGAAGCUCUAUAUGGAAUAAGGAGACCAAACCUGUAUGUGAUAAGAGUUGUAUGAAUACCAAAUGAAUUGUCAGAGGAUAUGGUUACUUUAGAUUGCAAUUUAAGAAUGCUUGAGUUCUAAAAGCACAGAAAUGGGAUCAGUUAGGGUAAACUCCUUCGUCAGUUAGUGAACUGUCCAUCAAAAGUAAAUAUUUAUGUGAUUGAGAGAAAUUUUGGAUUUUUGAUGAAAACAAAAAUCCUGUAUGCAUUUGCUUGCCCCCAAGGAGCUGAAGAUUCUCAAAUUGUUUGUAGACGUAAUAGUUCUUCUGAUAUCAUUUGGCUUGCUAAUCUUUCUUGCUCGAAAAUUUACCCGUUGUGUGGUCUUGAUGGUGGAUGAAAUUGAUGUGUGGUUUCAGAUGAAGACGGCAGCAGAUAUGUGUGUGCCAUAUGACAUCGAGAAAAAGCAAAAGCCUUAAAGAGUUCAUCAACAUUUUCCAUUCAGAAGAAUAUGUUUUGUGGUUUUCAAUAUAAUUGAAGAAAUGAUGUUUGUACUGAUGCAGAUGCAGGAACUUUACACAUCUUAAGUUUACGAGAUAUAUAUAUAUUUUUUUGACUCUGUUAGAUAGCUGUCAGUUAGUUAACCAAUUUAUGUUACUCUUCCUUGGCUAGCCAAUUAAGAACUUAUGUUUGCUGGAUUGUAAAGCCUACAUCUGGAAGCCACAGGUGAUUUUAUUUGAAGGCAAUUUGUACUAGGCUAUAUGCGGAUUUCUAUCUUGAUUUCUGUAUGCUUGAAGGAGAUUUUUUUAUGCGUGAGAGCUUGAAAAUUAUACAUGUACAUGUUGAAACUAUUGGAUAUAUGUUAAGAAUCAAGCAUAAUUGUGUCAAGAUGAAACCAUAAUUUGGGUGCUGUUUUAUGAGUAAACUAUCUGCAAUUUGGGUGCAGUAAACCUAGGUUGAAUACCAGGACAUGGUAUAAAAGUGAAAUCACACAUUGAAUCUCGCAUAAAGAUUUUAAAGAUGCAAAUUCGAAUUGUACAUGAGAUGUUAUCUUGAUCGAAUUGCAGCGGCUUUGUUUUGGAUCCAGAAAACAAAAUUGAAGGCAUAGAGAAGUCUCUAUGGGAUGCUUAUAUUAAGGUGCAUAAUGGCCUCAUUGAGUUUUGUGCUGUUGUUCUACGUUGUUUGAGUUUUGUGCUGCGGUUCUGUGUUGCUGCUUUUGCUACCGAUUUUGGCUAUUUUCUGCCACUCUGUUAUUUGCUAUUUUUUACUACUUUCGCUGCUGAUUUUUACUGUUUUCGCUGCUUUAGCUGUUGUUUUAUCUGCUGUUUUUUUUUACUGCUUUUAUUUUUUAUUUUUUCUGUUCUCUAUCGUGUUUUACCCACUGGUUGUCGCAUGUUUAUUAAUAUUGUUUGCUGCUGUUUGAUUUGCUGUUUUUUGCUGCUAAUUUUUUUUCCUGUUUUCUGCGGUUAUUUGCUGCCGUUACUGUUUUACUCGCCAGUUGAUGAUGUUUUGUGGUUCUCCUCCUCGAAUGCCUACUUUUUCCAGUGUGCAAGCAUAUCUGUUGAGAGUGGCUGAUGAAAUCACUAAACUGUUACAGUUGAUCUCAUGCUUCUCUAGAGAAGGAAUUAGACUUAUUUUGGUGAAGGGGUUUUUUCUGGUUUUUAUAUCAGUGUGUGCAUUUCUUCAAUCACGUAGCUUUGUGGCAUUACGAUCGAUAAUGGCUGUUAAGCGAAUAAAAGCACCAGGUCGGCCAUACUAUUAUUGCCACCCCGGCAUGGAUCACCUCAGCCCUGUGGUACGAGCAGAGCACAGGGGCACACAUCGACCAGAUGUUCAUAUCAAACCGAUAUACAUUCCCCAGAAAAGCGGGAACACGAUCCCACAGAAUCACUGCAGUUGCGCUUUGCCCAGAACCGUUGAAGGACACGGGAGAUCCCACGUUUGCCACAAUGCAACAAUCAGAGCCCCAUGAGGGGCGGCCACCACCCGAAAAAAGGGGGAUAGAGGGUAAGCGGAAAACGUGGGACAAACAGCGGCUAUAAAAGAAGAGGAAAUCGAUGAAGAAAAGGACACAGAAAAAUUGAGAGGGGAAAACGCUGCCAAAUUGCAACCAGGCCAUUUUCUUACAAAUUUCGAACAAACUUCUUGAAUCCAAAUUACAUUGUUUUCCCGUAAACACCUUGUACUAACUUAGGCAUCGGAGGGUUUACGCCGGCAAAACCACCGGCGUCUCUGAUCCGUUUUUGCUGAACGCAGGUCUAGUGAGAGAAAGGAGGGUGAUUCCAGCCUUAGCGGUUCGUGCAACAGUCGAUAUCUUAAACGUUGGUGGAAGAAUCUGGUCAGUCCAAGGACGAGCAGAUUUCGGCAUCAACAUUUUGGCGCCGUCUGUGGGGAGCUGGAUAAAAAGCUACCACCGAAUCAGUAGUUACCGGAGAAACAGCGAACGAUUAGAUAUGGAUGUGCCGAGAAAGGAUGCUUUGAGGGAGGAUAACGAAACUGUGGAGACAAUCACUCUCCGGGAAAUUGCAAAUGAAGCUUGGGAGAGGAUGAUGCAAGACCGAUUGGAGCGGAUGGAGAAACAAAUGGAGACUCUCGCGACCAUAGUGUAUGAGCUGAGGGAUGAGCGGAGAAAGGAUUGUGAAACCCCCGUGGGGAGAGAUGAUGUUGGAGCAGAACCCAGCUUCCGAAGGCGUAGAGUUGAGGAAAUCCCUCCGCCGGUAGACCAACUUAAUGGGGUGCAUCCCCACAGAAGCACUAGUCGGGCUUCAGGAGAACGAGUAGAUGAAGGGAGGGACCAACCUUGCCCCGGACGGGUACCGGAGAUUGAUGGCCGAGGGGCCAGUAUUGAUGAAGGAGAGCUCAGACAGCGGUUGCAAAAUGCCGAGCAGGAACGAGUUCAGAUAGCUGCGCGUGAUCCUGACCGUGCCGUAGAAUUGGAGGAAGAAGUGCGCAGAUUAGCGCAAGUGAUAGAGGAGAUACAGGGCAAGAGAAAGUCCCCGAGCUGGAGGAUAAUGCUAGAUGAAGAAUCUCCACUAUCAGCUGUGAUCAUGGGUACCAUAAUCCCAAGAGAUUUCCGCUUUCCCGACCUCAAAUACUCCGGGCGAAGUGAUCCAUUGGUGCAUAUUGAACGUUUCAACGACGUGACGGGUGUUCAAGGGUUAACACCAGCCCAGAGAUGUAGGGUGUUACCAUUGACACUGGAAGGACGAGCCGGAGAAUGGUACCGCAAGCUGUCACGAGGAAGUAUCAGAGGGUACGAGCAGAUGUGCCAAGAGUUGGCCGAACAGUUCCGAGGAGCAGUGGCCUCAGAGGAUGAUAUGAUGGAGCUAAUGGGAAUGAAGCAGGAGGAACAAGAAUCCCUUCGGGAUUUUGUAAAACGAUACCACCGAGCCGUGCUUGAUUUGGGGGCCUUCAAUCACCCGCAGGCGUUGAGGGGAUUAAAGGAGGGAGUGAGGAUAGGCCGGCUAUGGUAUAACCUGAGAAGUCCCUUGGUACAAAAUUACUCAGCGGGGUAUGAGCAGGCAAAGAGAGACAUUGAAAUCGAAGAGAAAAAGUCGGCGAGGAUAAAAAGUGAACAACUGGAGGAGCUGAGAAGAAAGGAAAGGAGAAUCCCGAGUGGGAGCGGAUCGGGAAAGCGAGCUGGGGAGUCCUCAGCUAUGGGCGGAAUAUCAGCUUGGUCCCGCCCUUACCACGUAGCUCCGAGACCACAACAGUUCCAACACAGCCGAGCCCAACCUCCGCGCACUUCAUUCCCGGAGCGGCAACGAGAAUUCAGGCAGAUGGCUGCCCGCCCUUAUUACAACGCUCCCAGAGCAUUACAUGCAAGUGGUUCCAGGGCAGGAAGACCAGACCAGCUAGCGACUAUACCAACCCGAGAUGACAUUCAGGAUAGCCGAGCAGUUCAACUGGUAGACCAGAGCUUGGCAUAUAGACAGUACACUCCAUUGAAGAUCUCAAUGGAGGAAUUGUAUGAGAGGAUCGAAGGACGAGGCCUGCUGUACCCGCCAGCCCCUAUAACAAAACUGGCUCACCGACGGGAUAAGAACAGAUUCUGCAAGUUUUACGACACUCAUGGUCACACAAUCGACCAAUGUCGUGACCUGAAGAUUCAGGUGGAGGACUUAGUACGGAACCGGUACUUGGAUGAGUAUGUAGAGGGGGUGUCCCCGAUCAUCGAAUCAAAGUAUAUACGGGAUGAAGAAGUUCAGAGGGGUUUGGAACGUGAACAGCCGACCAUCCAUGUGAUAGCUGGGGGGCCAACAUUGGCUGGGGAUUCGAACAGAGCACGGAAGAACUAUGGGAGAUACGCCAUGACUGGCAAAGAGGUGCUUCUAAAUUUGCCAGCGGCCAAGAAGGCGAAGGUACGGCAAGUUCCCAUUAUGUGGACGGAGGAUGACGAGGAGGGUAUUUUGUAUCCUCAUGAGGAUGCACUGGUGAUUAAAGCAUUGGUGGCUAGCACAGAAUUGCGGCGAAUACUGGUGGACACGGGCAGUUCAGUUGACAUUCUAUUUAAGUCAGCCCUAAAUGAUAUGGGGAUUUUAGAUUUAAAGCUGGAGCGGAUGAAUACAUCCUUAAAAGGAUUUGGAGGGGGACGGUUAACUCCCUUGGGGAUCAUUGAACUCCCGAUUACUGUGGGGACAAAGCCGUUUGAAAGAACGGUGAUGCUGGACUUCGUCGUGGUAGAGGAAAGAAGCCCUUAUCAGAUGAUAUUGGGGAGACCGUUCAUGAGGAUAAGCCAAUGCGUUGUAUCAACGCAUUAUUUGGCGCUAAAGUACAGAGUAAAUAAAGUGGUAGGCGUUGUAAAAGGCGACCAGAGGAUGGCAAGGAGCUGUUAUGCUACAGCAGCCAAGGAGACAUUAUAGGUUACUUCUCUGGAUAAUCGAGGAGAUUCUAAAAAGGGUCGCCAAGAGCCUGUUGAAAAGCUAGAAGAGAUUGUUAUAAGCAGAAGCAACCCGAGUAGAGUGGUUAAGAUCGGAUCAGGACUGGUCGGGACAGUAAAAGACGAGCUGGUAAAGUGCCUACAGUCCCAUGCAGAUAUAUUCGCCUGGUCUCACGGGGACAUGCCAGGAAUUGAUCGCAAGGUAGCUUGCCACAAGUUGACAAUCAAGAAGGGGGCAAGGCCGGUGAGACAGAAGAGGAUAUGCUUUAACCAGGAAAGGUACGAGGCCAUAAACACCGAGGUGGAGAAGCUGUUGAAAGCAUGAUUUAUAAGGGAGGCCAAGUACCCAGAGUGGAUUUCCAAUGUAGUACUGGUGAAGAAGGCCAACGGGAAGUGGAGAAUGUGUGUGGAUUUCACAGAUCUUAAUAAGGCGUGCCCGAAAGACAGUUUUCCUCUACCAAAGAUAGACCAAUUGGUGGAUUCGACAGCGGGUCACAGUCUGCUCAGCUUCAUGGAUGCCUUUUCGGGAUACAACCAGAUACCCAUGGACGAGCAGGAUGAGGAAAACACCACCUUUAUAACUAAUAUGGGUUUGUUUUGCUACAGGGUAAUUCCUUUCGGCCUGAGAAAUGCCGGAGCUACGUAUCAAAGGAUAGCGAACAAGAUCUUCAAGCCCUUGAUUGGACAUACUAUGGAGGUAUAUGUAGACGAUAUGAUCACAAAGUCCAAAGAACCGAGGGAUCACGUGAAACACUUGGAAGAAACCUUUGAAUUGUUGAGGAAGUAUGAAAUGAGGCUAAACCCGGAGAAGUGUGCAUUUGGGGUUAGCUCGGGCAAAUUUUUAUGAUUCCUAGUAAGCCACCGAGGGAUCGAGGCCAACCCGGAAAAAAUACGGGCGGUGAUAGAAAUGAGGUCCCCACGAACAGUUAAGGAGGUGCAGAGCCUUACAGGGAAGUUGGCAGCAUUAAACCGAUUCAUCUCGCGGGCCACAGAUAAAUGUCACCCUCUCUUCCAAACCAUAAAGAAAGGGAAAAAGAUGGAGUGGACAUCAGAAUGCGAGGAAGCGUUUGAGCAGCUGAAGGAAUACCUGACCCGGGCCCCAUUACUAUCGACUCCGAGAGAGGGUGACCAGCUGCUGUUGUACUUAGCAAUCUCUAAAUGGGCUACCAGCUCGGUAUUAGUCAGGGAAGAAGAAGGAAAGCAACACCCGGUAUACUACACGAGCAAGGCCCUGGUAGAUGCAGAAACUAGAUACCCAUUGAUGGAGAAGUGGGCGCUGGCUCUAAUAACGGCAGCACGAAAACUCUGACCAUAUUUUCAGGCCUAUCAGGUUAUUGUGAUGACCGACCAGCCGCUUCGGCAAACACUUCAAAAAUCAGAUGCAUCGGGUCGAUUAGUAAAAUGGUCCGUAGAGCUAAGUGAAUUUGACCUCUCCUAUAGGCCCCGAGGAGCAAUCAAAGUCCAAGCUCUGGCAGAAUUUAUGGUUGACCGAGCUGAUACAGGGGAAGAAAUUCGGGAGGAGCAACUAACAGAGCAGGAGAAGCCAGAGGGGGUGUGGUUGGUAAUGGUUCACGGAUCAUGUAGUGAGCAAGGAUCCGGAGCAAGAGUUGUAAUACGGAGCCCAGAUGGAACCGAAAUAACGUAUGCAGUGAAGUUUGAAUUUCAGCUCACAAACAACCAAGCUGAAUAUGAGGCCUUUAUCACCGGGCUCGGACUUGCACAUGCUCUAAGAGCAGAGAGGGUAGAAAUUCGAGCAGAUUCCCAACUGGUGUGUAAUCAGCUCAAUGAUCAGUUCGAAGCAAGGGGAGAGAAGAUGUGUCUUUAUUUGAAGAAAGCGAAGCAGAUGGUUGGGCUUUUCCAAGCGGUGGAGGUAAAGCAGAUAUCUCGGAAUGAGAAUUACCGAGCAGAUAUGUUGGCUAGGAUGGCUGCCAUUGCAGAUCCAAAAUUACCUAAGUCGGUUCCACUAGAGGUGAGGAUCUCACCAAGUAUAGAGGAAGAAGCAGAGGUUAUGAGAAUAAGUACUGGAGAAUCUUGGAUGGACCUGAUUCGCGCAUAUGUCCGCGAUGGAGUUUUACCAGAGGACAAAAGGCAAGCAAGAAAAUUAAAAUGCCGAGCAGCGAGGUAUACGCUACUGGAUGGAGUGCUGUACUGCCGAGGGUUCACCUUGCCCCUUUUGAGAUGUUUGGAUGAUGAGGAGGCGGAUUAUGUGCUGAGAGAGAUUCAUGAGGGAAUAUGCGGCAAUCACUCGGGAGCAAGAACUUUAGCCUUCAAGGCACUCCGACAAGGAUACUUCUAGCCAACCAUGCACCAGGAUGCGAAAAAGAUGGCAAAGAAUUGUAAAACAUGCCAAAGCUUCUCCGAGGUUCCUGCACAACCCUCGGAAAAGCUGACGGCUAUGACAUCCUCGUGGCCUUUCGCUCAAUGGGGAAUCAACUUGAUUGGUCCGUUGCCUAAGGGACGAAGAGCGGCGACACAUGCAAUUGUGGCAAUAGACUACUUCAUCAAGUGGGUGGAAGUGGGAGUCCUCAGCCAAAUCACAGAGAGAAAGACAAUAGAUUUUAUUUGAAAAAAUAUCAUCUGCAGAUAUGGGAUCCCUUACGCCAUCAUCACAGACAAUGGGAGGCAAUUUGACAACAGCAACUUCAGGAAAUUUUGCCGAAACUUGGGGGUGGACCUGAAGUUCUGUACCCCCGCACACCCCCAGGCAAAUGGACAAGUGGAAGCAGCCAACAAGGUGAUAAAGAAGCUCCUGAAGACUAGAUUGGGAGAGAAUAAGGGAGCUUGGGUUGACGAGCUACCAGGAGUAUUGUGGGCCUAUAGGACAACUCACAAAACCGCCACAGGGGAAACCCCGUUCGCUUUAGCUUUUGGUCAUGAGGCGGUAGUCCCAGCAGAAGUGGGAGUGGGGACACAUCGGACGGAAUAUUUCACUGAGGAGCAAAAUGACGAGCAGAUCUGCUUGAGUCUGGACCUGCUGGAGGAAAAAAGGGAAGGGACAUCGCAGAGAGUGGCCCAGUGUCAACAAAGGGUCAUGCGUUAUUACAACAAGAACGUACGCGUGAGGCAGUUCCGAGCAGGAGAUUGGGUACUUAGGAAGGUGAACCAGAACACCCGGGAUCCUAACCAUGGCGCUCUUGGCCCAAAGUGGGAAGGCCCAUACCGAGUGAUAUGAGCCACUGGACCAGGAGCAUAUAAAUUAGCGUACCAAGACGGACGAGACGUGAAGAGGUCAUGGAACGCCGAACACCUGAAGAAGUAUUUCCAAUAAGCAAAAUGCUCUAUUAAAUCCUCACUCUGGCAAGUUAUUUCUGUUACAAUGCAUGAUGGCCUGUAGCACAUGCAUAUAUUUUGUAUUUUUGUAAUACAUUCAAAUUUCAAUAAAGAUGAAUUCAGAAUGAAAUCCCCUGCUAGCGAGCCCAAUAAGAAAUUUUUUACUAAGGCAAGUAAGUGCCUACUUCUGCUCGGUCAGUGAAAGACUAGCAGCUAAUUUCUUGUAAAAAUUUUACUAAGGCAAGUGAGUGCCUGCUUCUGCUUGGUCAACAGAAGACCAGUAGCUAAUUUACGAGAACUUUACUAAGGCAAGUGAGUGCCUGCUUCUGCUCGGUCAACAGAAGACCAGCAGCUAAUUUAUGAGAACUUUACUAAGGCAAGUGAGUGCCUGCUUCUGCUCGGUCAACAAAAGUCCAGCAGCUAAAGCUUCGAAAAUUCUACUAAGGCAACAAAGUGCCUGUUUCUGCUCGGUCAACGAAAGACCAACAGCUAAAGCUUCGAAAAUUCUACUAAGGCAACAAAGUGCCUACUUCUACUCGGUCAACAGAAGACCAGCAGCUAAUUUACGAGAACUUUACUAAGGCAAGUAAGUGCCUGCUUCUGCUCGGUCAACAAAAGACCAGCAGCUAAUUUACGAGAACUUUACUAAGGCAAGUGAGUGCCUGCUUCUGCUCAGUCAACGAAAGACCAGCAGCUAAAGCUUCGAAAAUUCUACUAAGGCAACAAAGUGCCUGUUUCUGCUCGGUCAACGAAAGACCAGCAGCUAAAGCUUCGAAAAUUCUACUAAGGCAACAAAGUGUCUACUUCUGCUUAGUCAACGAAAAACCAGCAGCUAAAUUUACGAAACCUUGACUAAGGCAAGUAAGUGUCUGCUCCUGCUCGGUCACUGAAGACCAGCAGGCAAUUUUGCAAAAAUUUUACUAAGACAAACGGAUGCCUAUUCCUGUUCGAUGCACUAAAGAACCAACAGGCAAAACCAGACAAGAAAGCCAAUAGAGAGCAUUCAAAAAAUUUUAUAAACGUUCAAAUGUUUACAAAGCAAAUGAAAAACUAGAGUCUUUACAAAAAUAAGACCUAAGGAUUAGGAGGAUCAACGGCCUCAGCAGGUGAAGGGUCAGCUAUCUCGGGAGGUGGAAGGUCAGUAAUAUCGGGAGGUGGAAGGUCAGCAAUAUCGGGAGGAGGAGGCACGGACCUCUGUCCUACUUCAAAAACACGCUGCCCAGCUUCUCCCUCCUGCACCCCAUCCAAAGGAGCCUCCACCUGCUCCUGCUCACCCUGCUCCUUAUCUGCUUGGUCGACCUCUGCCAUAUACCGCUGCACUCCGGCCUCCAGCUUGCUCAUGUCCAGCUCGGGAUAUUCAGUCUUAAGCACAGACAUGAUGCACUUGUAGGAGAAGGCAACCCCAAAAUCAUACUCGGCAUCCAGCCGAUCAUCCACAUCAGCGGAUUUGCCUCUCUCCUCAGUCAGCUGCUCACCCAAGGAUUUGAUUUCCCCCUCAAGGGCGGCCCUCAAAGUAUUCCUUUCAGUUUGAGUAGCUUGAAGAUCAGAUCUCAGGUCACCCAACUCGCCCUCGAGUUUGGAGGAAGUGGAUUCAGCAACCGCAACCUUCUCCUCUAGCUCCGUAAUCUCCUUGUUCAGCUCAGCCAGCUUCUCCUUGGAGCGAUCAACAGAGUCAGCUUUCUUCUUCAAUUCCUGAUUAUCAGCUUGGAGCUUCCUCUCAUGGCGCGCGGACCCAAUCUUAUAGCACGAAACCAUAGUGGCCAACCUGAAGGACACUCUCUGAACAGAAGCAGCUAGCUCGGAGAGGUUCAUACUCUCGAUGUCCUUCACCAUCUUGGGCCCCACCGAUUUCUUGAAAUCCUUCUGAUACGGGCUCAGGUAGUCUGCUUGAUCCCGAGAUGGUAGAGGAGAAGAUCGGUCCCCAGACUGGUGGCUGGCCUCAGGACUCUUGUCAGAAGUUUUCUCCCCGCCACUCUUACGGGGUGGGGGAGGGGGCAGAGCAGGGACAGGAGCCUUGGAAGGGCCGACGCUGGUUUUCUUCGGAGGAGGAGGGGGGUUGCUGGAGCUACUUGGAGCUCGACCACUCUUCCUGCUCAUUGCGCUAAGGAUCGUGUUAUCCAUUCCAACAGCUAGGUCCACUAGGCCCGAACCGACCAGGCUUGUUGGGGACAGGAGGUCUUGGCAGGUAGAAGCGUUAAACAGAGCAGUUUCCACCCAAAGCAAAGGUCGAUCUUCAAGCCCCCCGAUUAAACCCCACGAUUCUGAAAUAGCAAAAGAGGUUAAAGAACUCGAUAAGUGACAAUUUGACUAAGAACAUAGGCAAAAAUGAACGACCUGGGGUGACAAAAUGUGUGGGAAGAUAAAUGUCCCCACCAAGCGACCGAACCGCUGGACACCAAUUCCCUCCAGCAAAGAAGAAUUUGUUCUUCUAAUUUUUACAUGAAGAGGGAAACCCAAUGAUCGGUUUCCUCUUUGCAGAACUGGACAUAAAGUAGUACCAGCCCGCUUCCCUCGGGCUACUCCGCAGCUGGUACAGAUAUUUCACUUCAACAAGGGAAGGCUCCUCCGACCCGCACCUCUCUCACAACACAAACAUUGCCGAGAGAACCCUCCACCCAUUUGGGUGUAGCUGACCUGGGGCUAGGUGCAUAUCGCCCAAUAUCUUGGCAAAAUAACGUUGAAGGGGCAGCCGAGCUCCUAGUCUGAAACUCUCCAAAUGCAUCGUCACAUACCCUUUCGGAGGCCGACUAGGGACAUCACCUUUUCCAGGAACUACAAGAAGAACAUCGUUGGGGAUGUCGUAGAGGUUCCUAAGCUUAAAUAGAUCAGUGGGGGUGGUGGCACAAGCUAUGAAAUCAAUAGGGUAGGAAUCAGCCUCCACCCUAUGGCCAAGAUGCCUUUUUUUAGCAGGUCCGCUCGGUCCGAAACUACUCCCCUCACCAUCACCAGUUCCUUCAGGGAUCCCAACCCCACUAAAGCCGUGGUCCUCACCAGAGCCCGACGCAGGCCCACCUCUAUUCCCUACAAGCUCUAGUUCGGGGGAGGGAGAGACAACCAAGGGUCGUGGGUACUCAAGGGUAUCCUUACCAUGGGAAGGACCUACACUACUGGAGGGGCCUAAGAAAUCUGUGGGUAUUGACACGUUGAGGCCUGAAUCCCCUGAUUCUUCAUCACCCUCGUCAACAAUUAACUUUCUUUUCCGAUUUGACAUAUCAGAAUCCCAAAAGAAAAACAAAGAAAAGAAAGUUUAGGGUUGACAAGGUUUGACUAUCAAUUUCUACUCUUGACUCAUUUCACUCACAAGACCAGAAACUGGGGGACUGGUGUUAAGCGAAUAAAAGCACCAGGUCGGCCAUACUAUUAUUGCCACCCCGGCAUGGAUCACCUCAGCCCUGUGGUACGAGCAGAGCACAGGGGCACACACCAACUAGAUGUUCAUAUCGAACCGAUAUACAUUCCCCAGAAAAGCGGGAACACGAUCCCACAGAAUCACGGCAGUUGUGCUUUGCCCAGAACCGUUGAAGGGCACGGGAGAUCCCACGUUUGCCACAAUGCAACAAUCAGAGCCCCAUGAGGGGCGGCCACCACCCGAAAAAGGGGGGAUAGAGGGUAAGCGGAAAACGUGGGACAAACAGCGGCUAUAAAAGAAGAGGAAAUCGAUGAAGAAAAGGACACUGAAAAAUUGAGAGGGGAAAAUGCUGCCAAAUUACAACCAGACCAUUUUCUUACAAAUUUCGAACAAACUUCUUGAAUCCAAAUUACAUUGUUUUCCCGUAAACACCUUGUACUAACUUAGGCAUUGGAGGGUUUACGCCGGCAAAACCACCGGCGUCUCUUAUCCGUUUUUACUGAACGCAGGUCUAGUGAGAGAAAUGAGGGUGAUUCCAGCCUUAGCGGUUCGUGCAACAGUCGAUAUCUUAAACGUUGGUGAAAGAAUCUGGUCGGUCCAAGGACGAGCAGAUUUCGACAUCAACAAUGGCAACUCCACAAUGAUGAUAAUGAUAAUUUUGUGAUUCAGACACGUUGUUAGGAAUUCUGUAUUGGUUUUUCUCUCGCCUUCGAUGUCUACGAUGAAGCAUAUUAUGGCUUUUAAUCUGCAACUGCUGCAAAAUGGACUCACUAGCUAGCAAAUAAUAAUAUAUAGUGCUGUCAAAUUUAUAAAGAUUAUAUAUACACACACUUUCGUGUUCAAUGCACCGACACUAGAUGUAUAUUGGCAUUUAGAAAAAUUGGCAAUAACUAAUGACUUUCAAGAUUAAUUAAAUGACAAUAUUCAGUCUAUCAUAAAACAAGUUUUCAACAAGUGAAGAGGAGGUACUCUUUAUAAUUGGAUAAUUAAUGCAACCUUCAAUAUUUUCAACCAAAAAAAAAAUGAUAUUUGAUAUGUAUUCAACAUUAGGGAAAAACCUCCCAUAUCGAAGGUUUGCUUAAACGAUCAAAUAAAUCCACUUAGUUUCGUAAAUGGUUGUACAUAUCCUCUUUUUGACUAUUUAUUGGGUUAUGUUUGAGAGUUAGGACUAAGUGUGGGAUUAUACUAACUUUGAGAUUAAAUAUUAUUCUAUAUUUAGCAAUUUUCCUUAGAUUGGAUUAUGAGAGACUAAAUUCUAAGUUAGUUGUUAAAUAAAGGGGAUUGGCAAUACCAAUUUAUAAAUAGAUUUAAAUGGGAUUAGAAUAAGAGGAUAAAAUGUUCAUUUGUAAUAUUUCUUUCAUAUAUAACACCAUCUUUUAUUUAUUACUUCAAAUUUAAUUAAUGAAUUAAUUAUUUUAUUCAUGAUUUACUUGAAAUAUAUUUUUUAUUUUGUUUUUAUAUUCUAAUUAAAUUGGUACUUUAAUUUAAUAAUUUUUUACAUUAAUUGAUUGUACUAAAUUUAAUAAUCACCAAUGUGAUAUUAAAAUAUAAUUAUGAAAAUUAAUAAUACUAGUAAUUAAUUGAUUUUAUAUAUUAUUUGCUAAUUUUUUGAUAAAAUAAAAUAUAUAUCUAAAAUAUCUAAAUAAUCAAAAAGUUUUAUUAAUUUAUAUUUUUUAUUACAAUUAUGACUACCCAUAAGUAAUUUACUGUAUAUUUAAUGUUCUUAUUAAUUAUAUUUAAAUUAAUCUUAAUUAUUAUUCUUAAAUAUUCAUAAAUAGUUUUUUAUUUAAAUAUAAUUUAAUAUUGUCUAAUCCAAUGUUGUACUAAACAUAAGACAGUAGUGUAUAAUCCAACAUAACACUUAGUCCAAUUUAGUCUUGCAUGCCAAAUGUAAUCUUAUACACUUUGAUUACAACAAGCCAAUAAUUGACUUAAAUAAACUUCUAUAAAAUUAUAAGUUAAAAUUAAAAUAGUAUGAUAUAUAAAAUAAGAUAAAAUUUAUAAAUUAUUUUGAAUAUUAGAAAAAUGAUUUUAACAUUAUUAAUUUGUCAUAUUCUUUUACUACUAAUAAAAUUUGUUUGACAAAUUAAUAAUAUUAAAAUAAUUAUACCUAACAUUCACAAUAAUUUAUAAAAUUUAUAUAUUUUGUUAGCAAUUUUUUUAAUUAUGUCUAUAUUAAUAUAAAUCUUAAAGUCAAUUUUUGGAUUAAUAGAUUUUAGUAUAUAUAAUAAUAACUUAAUAUUAAAAAUAAUUUUCAUUACAUACGUUAUUCUAUUAAUUAUCUUAUUGUAAUAUUUUAUUUGUAUCAUAUGAUAUUUAUUAAUUAUUUUUUUAUCUUAUUAGUAUAUUUAUAUUUAUUUGUGUUGUUGUAAUCAAAGGGUAUAGUAACUAAAAAUGUGUUUAUGUGACUAUUUAACCUAAAGGGUCUUUGUGACCAUUUAAGUAAACCUUGGAAAUGUGUGACAAUAGUCAUUCUAAUGACUUUCAAGAUUGAAAGUGAGUCGGAUUAUCAAAUUAUGAAGCAUUAAUACGUAAUGUUUUAUGGUUAUUUUAAGGUUGAAGCUGGUUUAUUCAUUAAACAAGCUUUUAACAAGAGGAGAAAGUUCCCUUUAAAAUUUAAUAAUUAAUACAACCUUCAAUAACAAAAAAGUCAUAUAAUAAGGAUGAUGAUUCUUGUUCACUUGGAUACAUAUAUAUAACCUAUGAUGUGGUAAGCAAGGUAUCAAUUAUGUAUUUCUUGUAUCUGAAAAAAUGAAUAAUCCUUUAACGAAGGUUAUCAUCAAUUGCAGGUUUCUAGUUUGGCUGCUUAGUUUUAGGACUACGAAUUUUACAAUAUCAUAAUUAAAGGAAAGAAUAUAUGCGGUAGUCUUUGCCUGAUCUACUUUCUUCUUCUUAAUUAACCACUUAAAAGGAAAGAAUAUUGUAUACGCAGCGCACUAUAAUACUCUAAUUACCAAUUCUUUAUCUUAUAAUAUAAGUUCAUAGUGAUUAAUUUGCCCUUCUCCAGCAAAAAAACAAAUCCCAUUUCAGCACAUCUACAAGAGCCCUCAUUUCUCUUUGCUCCAGCCAAUUGAUAGCAGAAUCAUCACAGACACCUUGAGCUCCGUCAAUCAUCAUAGACAAUUGGUGACUAGUGGGAGCAUUACAAGGAAGGUACGACGAGUACAAACUGAUAGAUUUGUUUAUAUGAUUCGGCUGUAGUUUUUAUAUAUGGUUAAAUUAUGACAAUAAUCAAGAGAUAAUCAUGUACCUCAUUAGUUUCAUAAAUGUACAUACUAAUUUAUUCCCCUGCUUGCCAGAAUCAAACAUGUAGAAUAAGAUAAAUUUUAAGAUUUAAACUUUUCAAUUCAUUAAAAAUCUAGUGGGAUAUUAAUCGGUAAAACCACUUCGGGGUAGUACAAGAGGUUUGUGGUGCUAACCAAUUUAUGUGAGUGGAGAAAGAAUUAGGCUUUUUUAAUAAAAAUUAAUAAUCAUAAUAAUAAAAGGACAUAAAUUUCAAGAUUUAAAACUUUAGACUUCAUUAGAAGUAAGAGGGGGAUCGUAAAAAAUUUGAAUGUAACUUAUCGAUCGUGGAAUGGAUUUUUUUUUUUUUUUUGUUGCAGCUAUUUACACACCUUUGAACACAUGUUAGGGUGAGGGUAUUUCAAUAUUUUACCCACAUCUCAAUAAAAUAUUUUGAGGUGAUGCUACCACUAAACAACUCAUUAAACUCAUUUACUUAAUACACACACUUCUAAAAUUUAAAAUGCACAAUUUUAUUUUACAAACCCAUUAAUACCUAAAAUACCCUUAUUAAGUUAAAUUAUCACAAUUUCUCUUAUCAUUUUCUUUUCCCAUCAUUUCUCCGUUUCUUCACUCUUUUCUUCUUCAUUUUUGGAGCUUUACCCAUAGCUUUUUUAUUCCAAAUUCUCAAACUUUUUAUUUUAUUUUUUAAUAGCUAUUUUUCCCGUUGAUAUUUCAUGCGUUUAUAUGAUUCAGCUAUAGUUUUAACUUUUAUAUAUGGUCAAGUUAUAACAGUAAUCAAGAGAUAAUCAUGUUCAUCAUAAGUUGCAUAAAUGUACAUACUAAUUUAUUCCUCUACUUGCCAGAACCAUACAUAUAAAAUGAGAUACAUUUUAAGGUUUAAUCUUAGGGUUGGCAAUAAGCUCCGGAUCCAGCCCAGAUCCGCAACAAUCCGGAAGAUCCGGAUCUGGAAAAAUACGGAUCCGCAUGCUAAAAAAUGCGAAUCCAGAUCUUAAAAAUCACAAUCCGUGCGGAUCCGGAUGUAAGUGCAUCCGGAAAACCGAAUAUCUGGAUCCACAAUUUUUUAUAAUUAAAUUAUUUAUUUAAUUAAAUUUCAAUUGAAAAAUAGAUAAAUUAAAUUAUUUAUUUAAAUGUAUAAGCAUAAUUAACUCUCUAGUCUUCAUUAACUUUAAAAAAUAUGUUAAUAAACUAAUAAUAAUUAUAAUAAUUAGAGAAUAUUGUAAUAAAUCGGUUUACCUUACAUUUUUUUUAUGCUUGAUUUAUAUUGUGAAAUUAUUAUUUGUGAAUUUAUGGUGUUGUUGUAUGUUAUUUAUGUUGAAUUGAAGUUAAAUUGUUGAUUCUUAAAUUAUAAUUGAAUUUUAUUUAAUAUUAUUAUGUAAAUUAUUAAAUAAAAUUAUAUUUAAAUUUAUUAUUAUGCAUAUCCGAAUAUCCGGAAUAUCCGUCCGCAAUUUGUGCGGAUGUUAUCCGCAUCCGGAUUCUUAUUUUUUUUUGCGGAUCCGGAUGUCAAAAGUUUAAUCCGGAUCCAGAUGCACUAAGAUCCGGAUCCAGAUCCAAAUUUUGCCAUCCCUAGUUUAAAACUUUGCAAUUCGUUAAAAAUCUUGCGGGAUAUUAACCGAUAAAACCACUUAGGGAUAGUACAAGAGGUUUAUGAUUUCUCAACCCAUUUAUGUGGGUGGAGAGAGAAUCAAGUGUUUUUUUAAAUAAAGAAUAAUUAAUAAUUAAUAAUCAAAUUAAUAAAAAUAAAUAAAUUGUAAGGGGGAUCGUAAAAGUUUUGUAUGUAACAUAUCGGUAGUGGAAAGAAUUUUUUUUGGAGAGGCUAUUUGGCUUGGAACAUAUAUUACAAUACUCUCUUCAUCCACUUCUCAAUAAAAUAUUUUAUUAAAAAAAUUUCCUUAAUUGAAUUAUUGUUUUAGCCAUAUAUUAUGUUCGUUUAUCUCCCUAAAGUUUUUAUUCUUUCACCCUUUUUUCUCUUUUCCUCUGUGUCUCCCCAAUUUUUUUCCAGUCCUAUGGGGUUCUUAUUAAAGCUUCUAUUGAGUAAAAUCUAUAUUAAAAUUUCUUAUAAAAAAAAAAGAAAAAAAGAAUUCGUCUCUUUUAAAAAUUGUCUUUCCUUCCUUUACCCUUGAGUUACUAUUAGAUGUAUAAGCUCAAGAUGAGACUAGUAAUUGGAUUUCCAUUAAAAGUUUUAAUUUCAAAAAAUCAAAAGAUCACCAUACAAAUAUCAAAAGGUCACUAACUUAAUUAUACUGGUAAUAAUUAAGAUAAAUAAAAGACCUACUAUUUCUGUUUGAUGUUAUUAUGAUAAAGAAAGAAAAAAAAGAAAUAGCAAGUUGCUGUAGUUGCAACAAUUGAGGAUAUGCUAAUAAAAGUGUUACAGAGAUAGAUUUAAUUGAUAAAAAUAAGAUUUUAAUAAAAAGUUUUGAGAGAAACAAUUAAUAAAAACUAAUGAUAUUUAUUAAGGGUAUAUUAUGAAUAUUUGUGGCCUUUUUUGAGAUAAUUAAAUAAAUUUUAAGUUGUGAUAAUGUGUUUAUUACAUAAGUGGAUUUAUUCAGUAUUCUAGUGGAUUUAAGUAGUCUCAACUCUCAUAUUAUAAUAAAUUUUUAUAUUGCUACAAUUGCCCUAAUAUAGUGGACAGUAUUAUAUUGUACACAUAAGAAUACUCUAGCACCCAAUUAAAAUUUUUAGUAAAACAUAUAAGAACUCUAAAUGUAAAGAGAAUUCCGUCAAGGUAUUGCAGUAGUAUUUAAUGCUCUUGGCUAGUGUAAACUAUUGUGCCACAUGUAGUAUUUCGAUCCUGACAAGUGCAUUACAAAUAAUGACUCUUAUUUCAGGUCUUUUAGGUACUUUAGAGAUAUAUUAGCUAUGGAGCUAGUAUUAGGUCAUCACGUGCUUCUUUUAAUGAAAGAUGUGGUUCAUUUUUCCCUAUACCAAAGCAUUUUCUGUGGAAUAAUCGUGUCAAAUGCUCAUUUAUCAAGGGCACGUGUGGUGUUGUCAGUAUGAUAUGCUAACCCACGUGCACUUAUGGAAAAUCAAAUGAGAAAAAUGAAUUAAAAAAUACAAAAGCUAAUUAAUAAUGUUCGAGUUUGAGAUGAAGAAUAUUUAAUUUUAUGGAUAUAAAGAUAAGAAAUAUUUAAUGAGAACUAUCCUAAUAUUAAAAUACUAUUUCAAAUAAAUUUUAUUUGACGUAAUAGUAUGUCUCAUAAUAAGACUCAUCGAUGUCAGAAUCGUACAUGUAAAAUGAGAUAAAUUUUAAGGUUUAAAACUUUGCAAUUCAUUAAAAAAUCUAGUGCGAUUUUAAUUGGUAAAACCUCUUAGGGGUAGUACAAGAGGUUUAUAAUUCCCUAAUCCAUUUAUGUGGGUGGAGAGGGAAUUAAGAGUUUUUUAAUAAAGAAUUAAUAAAAAUUAAUAAUCAUGUUAAUAACUUAUUGGUAGUAGAAUGGAAUUUUAUUUGGAGAGGCAAUUUGGCUCAGAACAUAUAUUAAAAUGAGGAUAUUUGAACCCACCACAAUACUCUCUACAUCCACUUUUCAAUAAAAAAUUUAUUACAAAAUUUUCCUUAAUUAAAUUAUUAUUUUAGCCAAAUAUUACGUUCAUUUAUGUCCCUAAAGUUUUUAAUUUUUAACCCUUUUUUCUCUUUUCCUGUUUGUCUCCCCAAUUUGUUUCUAGUCCUAUGUGGUUCUUAUAUUUUAAAGCUUCUAGGAGUAAAAUCUCUACUAAAAUUGAUUAUCAAAAAAAAAAAUCUCUUUUAAAAUCUGCCUUUUCUUUAUCCCCAAGUUACUAUUAGAUGUAUAUGUUCACCGUGAAAGUUUAGAUCUCAAACCUUUUCUGUAUCUUAAAUGGAUUGUCGUGGAUAUGCCUAAGAUGAGCAUUUUCUUCCUCUUCACUUCAUCAUCUUUGAUAUAGUAAUUAUAAUUGAUUGAGGAGUGUUAAAACGCAUUGUGAUGAAUGAAUGCACAAGCUAUGUGAUUAAGACUGCAUUUAUCAGCUGGUGGGCGACCGCAAAUAUUAGGCAGGUUAUUCACAAUAGUGCUACUGAAGCUUUAUAUGGAAUAAGGAGACCAAGCCUCUAUAUGAUAAGAGUUGUAUGAAUACCAAAUGAAUUGUAAGAGGAUAUGGUUAAUUUAGAUUGCAAUUUAAGAAAGCUUGAAUUCUAAGAGCACAGAAAUGGGAUCAGUCUUGCUCAAGUGUAAACUCCGUCAGUUAGGAAGCUGUCCAUCAAAUGUAAAUAUUUAUGUGAUUGAGAGAAAUUUUGGACUUUUGUUGAAAACAAAAAUGCUGUUUGCAUUUGCUUGCCCCCAAGGAUAUAUGUUGUGCAAGCAUAUAUGUUGAGACCGGCAGAUGAAAUCACUAAACUUUUACAGUUGAUCUGAGGCUCCUCUAAAGAAGGAUUUGGAUUUUGGAAUUAAUUUGGGGAAAGGGUUUUUUUUGGGUAUAUGAGUGUAAGCGUUCCUUCAAUCACGUAGCUUUGUGCCAUUAACAUAAUGGCAAUUCCACAAUGGGGAUAAUGAUAAUUUUGUGAUUGGGAACUCUUUACUGGUUUUUCUUUCGCCAUCUGUGUCUAUGAUUAAGGUUGUUUAAAGUGUUAUGGCUUUUAAUCUAUAACCAUUGUGAAAUGGACUCACUAGCUGGCAAAUAAUAAAACAUAGUGCUGUCAAAUUUUGUAAGGAUUAUGCAUACACACUCUUUCGUCUUCAAUGCCCUAAAACUGGGUAACUACAUGUAUGAUUUUCAUUCAGAAAAACUGGCAAGAACUAAUGACUUUGCAGAUUAAAAAAUAAGUAGGAUUAUCAGAUUAUGUAGCAUUGUUAUGUAAUGUCUUGUGGUUUUUUUAAGGUUAAAGUUGGUUUGGAAAUUAAUUAAAAGACGAUAUUCAUUCUAUCAUGACGAGUUUUUAACAAGAGGAGAAGGUUCCUUUUAUAAUUUACUAAUUUAUACAGCCUUUAAUAUUAAAACAAAAUUUUAUAUAUUAAGGACGAUGAUUCUUGCUCACUUAGUAAGAUAUGUACAUAACAUAGGUUUGUUAAGCAAGGAAUCAAUUAUGUAUUUCUUGUAUCUGAAAAAAUGAAUCAUCCUUUAACGAGGGUUAUCAUCAAUUGCAGGUUUCUAGUUUGGUUGCUUGGUUUGAGGACUAUGAAUAUUACAUUGUCAUAACUAAAGGAAAGAAUAUAUGCCAUGGCCUUUGGCUGGUCUACUUUUUUCUUUUCAAUUAACCUCUUGCGGGGAAAGAAUAUUGUAUAACACAGCACACUAUAAUUACCAAUUCUUUAUCUUAUAAUAUAAGUUCAUAGUGAUUAAUUUGUCCGUCUUCAGCCAAAAAAAAAAAAAGUCCCAUUUCAGCACAAAUACAAAAGCUCUCAUUUUUCUUUGCUCCGGCCAUUUUAUAGCGGUGUCAUCACAGACACCUCAAGCUCUGCCGAAUCAUCAUAGACAAUUCGUGAUUGGUGGGAGCAAAUUGAAAGUGUUUAUAAAUAUAACUUAACAAUUCACUAGAUAGCUUGGAUUCAAAAUUAGAAAUAUCAAUCAAUAAAAUAGGAAGAAAAAAUAUUGGAGGUAAUUGGAAUUAGUCUCAAAUUUCAAUUAAAAAAAGCGUGCAGUUUCAUAUAUUAAUUCACUGAACCAUUUUUUUAUUUUUAUUUUUUUUUGCUGGAAAAACGAGUUUCCCAGAUCUGUCCAUUGUCAAAAUCAACUGAUGAACCACCACACUUCGUCGCAUCGCCAUUCACCAACAGCCCCAACUUUUGAGUCUCGUACCCUUGUUAAACAAAUACACAAUAAAACAGUGAGAUAACAAAUUAUAUGUUAGCUAAUUUAAACAAUAGUGUAAACUAGGAAUCGGAAACACUAAAUGAAGAACAGAAGAGGCAGAAACUGAAUCGAAAUAAAAAAAAUUGAAACCCGAGGCCUGCACAAACACAGUCUCCUUAAAACAGAUUUACCACCUUUACGGAGUGCUUAAGGUUUGCUAGGUAUAUGUUUCCCAGGAUGCAACGGGUACGAUUUUCCAGUCAAGCACAGGCUGGAAAUUCCGACGAACCACAACCAGCGAACUCGAUCAAAGAAAAACGAAGAAGGAUGAAGGGAAAACAAGUGUGGUUUGUGCUCGUUUUUGCAAGUAGAAAAAACAGAAGUGAAGGUGCCUUUUUAUACUCAAGGGAGGAUGUAACAGCUUUUGUAUUGAAUUUUCGAAUUCAAUACAUUUUAAUUAUUUUGUUAUAACAGCCAAAUCAAUUUAAUAAAUUGAUUUCAAAAUUGAAUUCAAACAAAACGUGAAUAACAGCUAAAUAAUUGUAAAAGCUGUUACCAAUGCUUUGAAUUCACAUGAACUGUUACAAUAAAAAAUUCAAAAGGAAUUAAAAACGUGCCUAGCUUGCAUGGAUGAUUUUGGGCUGACAUUCGUGUACGCAGGACGCGCACGAGUUCAACUAAAUCGGGCUUGGAUUCGCACCCCCCCCUGCGCACGCGCGUGUGGAGAGAGCCUCUAUCCUCAUAAUUCUUACUCAUGCAUGGUUAAGUGUUUAUAUUUAAACACUAAUUCCUAGGCUUCUUUUUCCCAUGUGGGAUAAGACUCAUUUCCUUUUAAAUUUCCAACUUCAAGGGUGAACUUUGAGAGACAAUUUCUCAUUCACCCAAGCACCAUUUUGAGAAAAUAAAAUUAUACUAUUGAAGUAUUAACGGAGUAGAAUCCGAACCUCACAAUAUUUUCCACUUUCGUUAAGUGGGACCCACUCAAAAUGUGCUCUCAAAAUAGCAUGUUAUGCUAUUUUUCCAACAACCCUUACUUCAAUAAUCCAGACCCAAGAUGUCAUCAAUACCCAAACCCUCAAUUUCAUCUUCUUCUUCUUUUUUUAAUUGACCCAAGAUCUGCCAAAUAUUAUGUUAAUUAAUCUCCCUAAGGCUUUUAUUUUUUUCACCCUUUUUUCUCUUUUCCUCUCCGUCUCCCCAAUUUUUUUUCUAGUCCUGUGUGGUUCUUAUACUUUAAGGUUUCUAUUGGAGUAAAAUCUCUAUUCAAAUUGCUUAUCCAAUUUUUUUUUUCUUUUAAAAUUUGCCUUUCCUUUACCCUCGAGUCACUAUUAGAUGCAUAUGCUUGUGAUGAAACUUUAGUAAUUGGAUUUCUAUUAAAUAUUUUAAUUUAAAAAAAUGAGAAGAUCACUAUAAAAAUAUCAAAAGAUCACCAACUUAAUUAUAGCAAUAAUCAAGGGAAUUAAAAGACUUACUAUUUCUGUUUGAACUUAUUAUUAUAAAGAAAGAAAGGGAAAAAAAAAGUCGCUGCAACUACAUCAAUUGAGGACAUGCUAUGAAAAGUAUCAUAGAAAGUAGUGAGAGAAACAACUAAUGAAAAUUAAUGAUACUUAUUGAGGGUAUAUUGGGAAUGUUUGUGGGUUUUUUGAAUGAAAAAAUAAAAUUUUAAGUUGUGAUAAUGUGUUUAUUAUAUAAAUGGGUUUAUUCAGCAUUACAAUGGGUUUAAAUGGCUUUAUCCUUCAUAUUAUAAUAAAUUUUUAUAUUACUAUAAUAGCCGUAAUAUAGAGGACAAUGUAAUGAAAAUAUUGUUACUGUUAUACUUAUUAAAGAAACAAUAUUAUCUUGUACAGACAAGAACACUCCAGUGCUCAAGUGUAAAAGUUUUAGUAAAACGUAUAAGAACUCUUAAGUGUAAACAAAAUUUCAUCAAGGUGCUGUAAUAUAAUCUAAUGCUUUUUGGUAGUGUAAACUAUGUGUGCCACGUGUAGUAUUUCAAUCUUCACAAGUGGCAUUGUAAAUAAUGGCUCUUAUUUCAGUUCCUCGUAGGCACUCUAGUAUUUGGUCAUCACGUGCUUCUUUUAAUGAAACAUCUGGUUCAUUUUAUCCUUAUAUGAGAGCAUUUUGUGCGGAAUAACCAUGUCAAAUGCUCAUUUAUCAAGGACACGUGUUGUGUUCUCAGAACAUAGUAAAAAUAUGAUACGCUAACCCAUGUACAUUUAUGGAAAAUCAAAUGAAAACAAAGAACUAAAAAAAAGUACAACGGCUAAUUAAUAAUGUUUGAGUUUGAGAUGAUUAAUAUUUAAUUUUAUGGUUGUAAAGAUAAGAAUAAAAGUACGGCUAGUGAGGACUAUCCUCAUAUUAUAACACUAUUUAAAAUAAAUUUUGUUAUAAAAAAUUUUAUUCAAUUAGGUAUAUAUUUUAGGUACAAACUCAGCUAUUUGACAUAAUAGUAUGUCUCAUAAUAGGACUAACAUUUGGUCAAAUCAACCUAUUUCAAUAAGAUCCAUCGAAAUUAAUAUUUAAAAGAUUUAUCAUCUCAUUAUACAAUACACAACUUUGCCAUCUAGUAGAGAAUGAUUGGUUGGCACACCAUAGUUUACAUAAAUAUUUCUAAUAUUUGAAUCAUUUGUUAGGAAAUUUUAAUCCUACCAAUAUCUUGUAAGUAAACAUAUCAAAUAAAUAGUAAAUAGAUAAUAUAUAGAGAAUAAAACCAAUCAUACAACACAAUAAUUUACCCGAGAAAAAUUCCUACACUAGAGAAAAACCACGGCCGCCAAAGAUGACGAAAGAAAAUCCACUAUGUAAAGAUCAUUACAAUCACUCUAGUAUUUUCUUCACUUACAAAACCCCAAUAACAAAUAAUCUCUCAUUCUAGAAACUGUCUACUUGUAUAGAACUAAUUAUUGCAAACAAGUGAAUCUAACCUUCUUAUAUAUUGUGAUUGUUUCAUAUAAGAGAAAUAUUUAUUUCCUUAUAUAAUUUGUAUUCCUCCUUUAAUAAAUUCUUUGGAAUUACUUAUUCCUUAAACAUGAACCCCCCAAACAAAAAAAUUACUAGGAAAUAUUUUAAUUUAGGAUUUACAAAUCCUCAUUGAAAAAGGAGAUAUGUUACUUCAAAAUCUCCACUUUGGCGAGUUUUUUAAUUAAACGACAAAAUAUGAUCCGCCAUACAUCUAUGCAACCAUGUCGUCUCCACCUUUUUUAGUAUACUAAAACCACACUGACAUUGGACUAAUGAGAAUCACUCCACCAUGAGUAAAAUCUUGUCCUCUAUCCAGCAACCAUAAUUUUCUACAUCGAGAAUCAUCAUACUUCACAUUAUCCAGAGUACACAUGUUUGGCAUAUGUCGAUCACAUUUCCGAAGUUACCCACUCUCAUGUUUGGCUUCUUUGAGAGUCCUCAACGAUCAAGAUAAAAAGUCCACCACAUACCUUGCAUAAAUACUAAACUACAUGUUGUGUGCACAUCUUGUGGACCCAUUAGCAAUAACACAUCCUCUUCCACGACACACCAAUAGAUGAGAUAAUUAGUAUCUCCUUCUAUUAAUUUACAGCUACUUUCCAAAUUUGCUAUAUUCUAACAAUCUCUUUUAAGAUGUUUUGAUUACCUACACUCCUCCAGGGGUUUCUACUAGUGGAAUAGGCCUGACAUUGCUCUUUGCUUUACUUGUAUAGACAGAUUGAAUCAGUAUGUUAUUGACUUGAGCUUCCCAAAAGCCAAAAUUAAUUAUUCCGUCAAAUUUUUCUAUUUCUAUCUUCAUAAGUUUUGAAAACCUCCUUGCUGACGUAUUUGCUCUACAUUGCAGCCUUAGCUCUAUUAUCACCUGCUAAGAAAUAAUUAAUCUCACCUAAGAUUUGCAAGAAAAAAUAUGAAAUAAAUAGUAAAUAGAAAAUAGGUGGAGAAUAAAGCUAAUAAAAUAAUACAAAAAUUUACAUGAAAAAUUUCUAUAUUGGAGAAAAAUUAUAAUAGCUAAGGACGAUAAGAGAAAAAUUUAUUAUGUAAAAAUUAUUAUAAUUACUCUAGGGUUUUUCUCACACCUAAAACACCAAAAGCACCUAAUUUUAAUAGAACUACUUUUCUCUCACACUGAAAACUAUUUACUUAUAGAUAACUGAUUGUUGAAUUAUGCAGAGAAGUAAACUCAAUCUCUAUAUAUAUAUGUAGUGAUUAUUUCAUAUAGAAGUUGCAUUCUUUUCCUUAUAUGAUUUGUAUUCCUCCUUGAAUAAGUUAAGUUCUAAAGAGAAAAUUACUUAUUUCUUAAAUAUGAAUUAUCUUCAAUAAGAAAACUGAAAAGUGUAGAAAAUUCCUAAUUUAAGACUUAAAAAUCUUAUUUGAAAAAAGAGACAUCUCCCAAUAUCUUCAAAUCCUCCUUACAAUGCCACCAAUCUCUUUUGUGACUAGCCCAGUUGAAACUUUUAAUGGAUGGGCUGUAAUUGCGAAUAUCCAAAUAAAACAAAUUUCCAUAGGUAUAUUGGUAGAUUGAAUGACAACUAACAACACAUGAUUUGAUUAACUUACUUCCAAAAAAAAAGAAAAAAAAGAUACAAUGGAUGAACAUUAGACUCUUGUGCCAACUCAUGGAAUUCAUCAAUAAGGCCUUGGCUGAUCCACCUCAUGACUAGUAGAGUUCAAACCCCCGCUAAAUAGUAAAAAAAUAUUUGGAUUAUUAAUUACUCUUUCUUAAGUCUAUUUAAACUUAACUUUGAGAAUUAUGAACGUCUACACUAUAAUUAAAACAAUACAAGCCCACCCGUUUGUAUUUAAAAUUUUGUUUGAAUUUAUUCACGAGCAACAAGAAUAGUAUAAAUGGAAAAAAAAACCAUCAAAUAAUAUCCCAUGACUCUGUUUCUUCAAUUUCAGGAACAAUGGUGGAAUCAUAUUUUCCGAUUGAAAAACUUUUGGAAAAAUUAGGGAGCUUUGCUUAUGAAGAACUUUUAUUGUUCUGCGGUGUCAAAAAUGACUUACAAAAGUUAAAGGAGACGUUAACCACUGUCAAAAGUGUGGUUUUGGAUGCUGAGGAAAAGCAAAUCCAUAAUCACCGGUUAAGCGAUUGGCUGGGAAAACUUAAGGAUGCUUGUUAUGAUGCAGAAGAUGUGUUGGAUGAAUUUGAGGUGGAAGAUCUACGAAGGCAAGUCAUGAAGCAAAGAAGCAUCGGAAGAAAGUUUCGUAACUUUUUUGGAUGCUCAAAUCCGAUAGCUUUUCGUUUUAGAAUGGGUCAUCAAAUCAAGAAAAUUCGAGAGAGGUUUGAUGAGAUUGCAAAAUUGAGGGGUGAGUUUAAUCUCAUUGAACGACUUGACGAUCAUCGGCGAGUUGUGCACAAAGAAAGGGAAUCCACUCACUCCUUUGUGCUUUCAUCAGAUAUUAUUGGAAGAGAUAAAGAUAGAGAAAAGAUUAUUGAACUAUUGAUGCAAGCAAGUUCUGGCGAAAGUGAAACUCUGUCUGUUAUUCCUAUUGUGGGAAUUGGAGGUCUGGGCAAAACUGCUCUUGCACAGUUGGUGUUCAAUGACCAAAGGGUAGAAGAGCAUUUUGAGUUGAAAAUCUGGAUGCGUGUUUUUGAGGAUUUUGGUGGGAGACAAAUUAUGAGAGAGAUUAUGGAGUCGAUCAUUGUACAAAUUAUGAGAAAGUGUGUGUUCCUAGGUGACUUGAAUACACAACAAUUGCAACGAAUCUUGCGAGAUCAUUUGAAUAGUAAGAGAUGUUGGGAAAAUAUGCUCUUUAAAAGCAUAUGUGUUUAUUUGAAUGUAAUAAACUAUUUUUCUGAUCAAUAAAAUAAAUGAGGUAUUUUAUUCAAAUAUCUUGAUUGCAUUAAUAUUUGUAUUAAAGUGGGCACGAGGGGAGGUACUAUUGGCUACAACUUACAAGGUCUACCAUUCGAGGAUUGCUUGUCUUUGUUUAUGAAAUGUGCAUUUAAAGAAGAGCGAGAUAAACAUCCAAACCUCAUAAAAAUCGGGGAAGAAAUUGUGAAGAAAUGUGGGGGAAUUCCUCUGGCAGUCAGAGCACUAGGAAGUCUAUUAUGUGGCAAAACAGAUAAACGUAAUUGGGAAUAUGUGAGGGAUAUUGAGAUAUGGCAGUUAGAGCAAAUGGACACUGGCAUUUUACGUGCUCUGAGGUUAAGCUACGAUCAAUUGCCACCUCACCUGAAACAAUGUGUUGCUUAUUGUUCAAUCUUUCCGAAGGGUUAUCAAUUUUAUGGUGAUUCUUUGGUUCAAUUUUGGAUGGCUCAUGGUCUUCUCCAAUCGCAUAAUAAGAAAGAAGAGUUAGAUGAUAUUGGUAUGCGAUACUUGAAGGAAUUACUAUCAAGAUUUUUCUUCCAAGAUUUGAGUUUUGGGAUGUUAGGAAUGGAGACGUUCUCUUUCAAAAUGCACGACCUUAUGCAUGAUCUUUCCCUGCUAGUGGCUAAAGAUGAAUUCCUAGUAGUGAACUCUGAUUGUCAAUUUAUUCCCAAAAAAGUCCGCCAUUUGUCAUUUGUUGCUGCUAAUGCGUCAAGAAAUGACUUUUCAAGCCUUUUAUCUGAUCUAGGUCGUGUUAGAACCAUUUUCUUUUCAACUGAUGAUGAUGAGAAGACAAGCCAAUCAUUUAUUGAAUCAUGCAUCUCAAAGUCGCAGUUCCUAAGAGUGCUAGAUUUAAGUGGCUCUGCUAUUGAGGUUUGUCCAAGAGAGAUGGGUAAUUUGAAGCACACGAGAUAUCUUGAUCUGUCGAAAAAUUAUAAAAUCAAGAAACUUCCAAAAUCCAUUUGCGAGCUACAGAGUUUACAAACACUGAAUCUUGCUGGAUGUUUGGAGCUAGAAGAGUUGCCUAAAGACAUAAGGUACCUUGUCAAUCUCAGAUUGUUAGCGCUAACCACAAAACAGAAGUCUUUGCAAGAGAGUGGAAUAAGGAGCUUGGGUUCUCUUCGUUGUUUGUCAAUUUCUAGUUGCUGGAAUUUAGAACAUUUGUUCGAGGAGAUAGAUCAAUUAAGUGUCCUUCGAACAUUAUCAAUUGAAAGUUGUCCUCGUCUAAUCUCAUUGCCACCUGCUAUCAAAUAUCUUAGCUCAUUAGAGAAUCUGUAUUUGGCUAGCUGUGAAAGCCUUGAUCUUAAUUUGAACAUGGAAAUGGAAGGUGAAGGAAGUCAUCAUGAUCGCAAAAACACAAGGCCUCACAUUCGGCGGGUUUUCAUCAAGGAAAUAACACAGUUAUUAGAACUGCCACAAUGGCUUCUCCAAGGUUCUACUGAUACUUUACAGAACUUGUUAAUUCUUGGUUGUCCCAACUUCAUGGCACUACUAGAGUCACUGAGAAAUUUCGAAGCACUUGAGGUUCUUGUCAUCGGGAAUUGUCCAAAAUUGUCAUCGCUGCCAGAGGAUAUGCAUCACCUCACUACUCUGAAAUCAUUGGCCAUUGCAGGAUGUCCUGCACUGAGUGAACGAUGCAAACCGCCAACAGGUGAAGAUUGGCCCAAGAUUGCACAUAUCCCUGAGAUUUUACUUGAAGGCGAGAUGAUUAAAUCAAGUGAUUAUUAGGUAUGGAUUUUUUUUUCAAUAAGCAUACCACUCUGUUAUAUUUCCUCUUUUCAUGCAGCUUUCUAAUUUUUAAUUUCUCAUACGGCUACACCGUUUAUAGUUUAAUGUUUUGUUAUGUUUACCAAACGAAAACUUGACUUUGAACGUUAGUUAGUUCAAUCAAAUUUGUACUAAUUUAUUUUCUUCUAAUACAUAACUAGUUUGUCAGUACAAAACACAAAAAUAAUAUUUUGGAAACCGCACUGUUCUAGGGGUCAGAUCUGUUUCUAAAUUCAAACAGUUCAGGAUUUUUAAAAAUGGAACUUAUAAUGAGAUUUUUUUUUAAUUAUAUAGUUAUCUUCAUAUGGAAUUUCAAUCUUUGUUAAUACUUUAACUUGCGCGGAAACAUCUGACUAUUCUUCCUCUUAUCCUUUUUUUUCCCCAAAUAUUGCAGCUUUCUUGGGAGAGGUUCAACCAAACUGCAGGGACAGUGAAAAUAUUACUCUAACGUGUUUCAGAACAGAGCUUCAAAGGUUUUAAUGUUGUGUUUUAAAGUUACAAGUAUUAUAUAUUCGUUACGUGUGGUUAUGUAAUUUGCUGAUAAAUAAGUACAUUGAGUGAGGUAUAUGUGUGUGCCUGUGUGGUCAUUACUGAAUUUCUCAGUAAUAUAAUUUGCAUUGACUGCAGAUUUGUGAAGAACAUUGAUGUGUUGUGUAAUGGGAACGGUGGUGUCUGUAUUUUGUGCUCUGUGAUUGACGACUUACAUUUGCCCAGGAAGAAAUGAAAACAAAUCGGCUUCUUGAAAUUAACCAUUUAUUCUUUCGAAUGGUAACCUUUUUGUGACAUGAUUCGCAUAUUAAUCAAAAGCAGUUGGCAAACUAAUUAGAUAUUGCAUCGUGAUUCGUGGCCUUGAAGGGAAAUGAGUGAGCAUGUUUGUGGAGGUUUUUGUUUUUGUUUUUUUUUUCCUCCAUAUGAAAUGACUAAUUCGAAAGAAUAUGUAUUGUAAUAGAACCUAGAACUUCUAUGUAUUUUAGGAUGAAAAUUCUGUACAAUAGAAAAUAUUAAAACGAAAAUUAAAGUUGAUGUGAGAAAAUUAAAGAAGCUUGCAACUGCAAUCUAGCUCGACCUACUAUAUAUAUAUAUAUAUAUAUAUAUAUAUAUGUUAUUAAUUAAUUGAUCAGGUAAGAUAUAGGGAGAGACUCGCGGACUCUUUACAAGGAGCAAAAAUGGUAUGAAACUCUGUUUUGAUUAAAAUUCAAUGACUUUCUUCGUAUUAAUCAAAUUAAUUAAUUAAUUAUUUUGGUAAAAAGAAUUUGCCAAUUGUGUGGCGGUCUUGAGACCCUUGACGGUGGUGAAAUUGAUUCACGGUUUCAAAUGAAGACAUGCAGCGGAUGCGUGCGUGCCGUAUGACAUCGACGAAAAAGUAAAGAGUUUGAAUGAAACAAUCCUAAUGUUCACUUUCUUCUUCGAUUUCAUUUUACGACUUAACAAAAACGAGAUGCUCCUGAUGAGGGAAAGGAGAAGAAGACACAGCGAGUUCGCAAGAACGUGUACAGAGGAAUAAGGCAGAGGCCAUGGGAGAAAUGGGUAGCUGAAAUUAGAGACCCUUACAAGGGCGUCCGCGUUUGGCUCGGCACAGCCGAAAAAGCAGCAAGAGUUUAUGCUGACGUCGCCAAGAAUAUCCGUGGCAACAAGGCCUAGCUCGACUUUGCUCACCGGCCGCCAGUAACUCCACCUCCAGGUAAGAAACGCUUCGUGCUAUCCCGUGAGUUGACUCAGCCGAGUUUCGGAGAUUACUUUUUUAUUGGAUGCCCUUUAAUAAACAGCUUUCCUAAUAACAACUGAAGCUCUGUCGAAUCAUCAUAGACAAUUUGUGAUUAGUGGGAGCAUUACAAGAAAGUUACGACUACUUCAAACUGUUAGAUUUGUUAAUGUGAUUCGGCUAUAGUUCUAUAAUUGGUGAGUUUUUGUGGGUUUGUUUGAUAUUUUUUUGUGGGUUUGUUUCUCAUAGUCUUUAUCCAGUCAAAGCAAACGUUCGCCUCUCACAUUGACGGUUAGGCUAGAUGUUUGACCCUGACUAAGAUGAUUGAGUUUAUUAUAGUCUUCUUAUAUUGUCGGUUCAAUAUCAUUUUCAAAUAUCACAUCAAUUCCGCUUUUGGAGUUUUAAUCCAUGCCCAGUUACGCCUUUAUUUUACUUUUAAGCUGCAACAUUGAGUCACAUUCUUUUUCUGUUUUUAUUACGAUUAGCGACUGGUACAGUGGUAUUUGAACUGCAUAGCGUGUCAACAUUCACUCUAAAUGUCUUAGAAACUCUGUCUAUCACUAAUUUUCUAGAACAGGCCUCGCUGACAGUCAAAGAUUUGAGGCGUAUUUCUGGAUUGAAGGCUUUUCUCUAGUCAAUUUGAUGAUAAGCGCAUUUAUUAUCUCCAGCAUUAAGCAGUAAUUUGUAACUAGUAGUAGCCAGUACCUAAGAUGUUGCAUUUGACUGUCUUCUCUUUCUGGUUCAGUUUCGACCUUUGGAGCUGUUUUAGACAUGGUAACGGAUAGGUAAUUUCUCUCUACCCCACCCCCCAAUGUAUCAUUAGUCAUCAUUCGUUGUGGUUCGUGGAGAUACACAUACUAAUUUGGAUUAUUGUCCGUGCCUUCGUCUUUUGUCAAUAAUCUUUUGCAUUUCAGGAUUAGUACAGCUUGUCUACUGGUAAUACUCUCUCAAGUAUACAGGGAAGACUUUGUUACGUUUUCUUGACCCGUAAUCUAAUGUUUUAAGAUGAAGGCAUAAUUGAGCUAUCUUGCAUCUCCAUGCAGGCCUGGUUUGGUUUUUGUGUCACUACCUGUAUUAGAUAUUGGUAGUCAAUGGCUGCAGAUGUACAGGUACCUUUUCGUUUCCCUGACAUAAUCUCAUGUUACAUGAAAUUGCUCGUGGAACUGGGAGAUUUUUUAUUUUUUAUUUUUUCAUAUUUACUAAAGAAAAGUGUUACUUUCGUUGGGAAAAAUGCCUACCACUCUUUAUCUCUGUUGCAGUACAUUCUUAACAGGAAAAACUAGCCAUAAAGAUGCAAAAGACAGCAAAAAUUGGCUUUUCAAAGCCUAUUAUGGGAACCGGAUGUUUAUGGGUUAUUGUUGUGUGGCGUGUGAGGUAAUUGUAGCUUUCCGUGUUAUUAUACAUAUCAGGAUUUGCAAAUGUUAUCAGUACUUUUUACCUGAUCCAACUGUUUCAACCCUGCAGCUCCUUUACCUAAUCCUAUUUCUUAUUGCGGAGAAGCAGAGGGAAAGUUUGGUGGAUGUAGGCUCUCAUUUUCUUACUAUUAGAUUGUUCUGAAAAUAGAAAUAUUUCCCCAGUUUCUCGAUUUUCAAACAAUUUCUUCUUUCAGGUUGUGGCGACUGCUGUGCAACAGGGUUCGCCUCUUUCCUUCCUAGUUGCAUUGAGUUUAUUCGCAUGGGCGCAAUCAAGCAAACGAUUAAUGUCGUACAGGUAACUUCAACCCCAUAUGAUGGUAAUGUUCGUUUAAAUAAAUUUCUUGAUGUCUACAAAUUAAGGAAACCUUUGCAUGGGUAAAGUUGACAUUUUACACUGGCAUUAUGGAUCUUGAAUUGAGUCUGUUUUAGAUUUUCAUGCUGUGUGAUAUGCUCUAAUGUUAAAACUCAAACCUUUUCUGUAUGUUAAAUGGAUUGUCGUGGAUAUGCCUGGGAUGAUCAUUUUCUUCGUUUUCACUCAUCGUCUUUGUCAUCGUAGUUAUAAUUGAUUGUGGAGAGUGAAAACACACUGUGAUGAAUGAAUGCAAAAGCUAUGUAAUUAAGACUACAUUUAUUAGGUUGGUGACCACAAAUAAUCAGAAGGAUAUUCACAAUAGUGUUAUUGAAGGUCUAUAUGGAAUAAGGAGACCAAACCUGUAUGUGAUAAGAGUUGUAUGAAUACCAAAUGAAUUGUAAGAGGAUAUGAUUACUUUAGAUUGCAAUUUAAGAAUGCUUGAGUUCUAAAAGCACAGAAAUGGGAUCAGUUAGGGUAAACUCCUUCGUCAGUUAGUGAACUGUCCAUCAAAAGUAAAUAUUUAUGUGAUUGAGAGAAAUUUUGGAUUUUUGAUGAAAACAAAAAUCCUGUAUGCAUUUGCUUGCCCCCAAGGAGCUGAAGAUUCUCAAAUUGUUUGUAGACGUAAUAGUUCUUCUGAUAUCAUUUGGCUUGCUAAUCUUUCUUGCUCGAAAAUUUACCCGUUGUGUGGUCUUGAUGGUGGGUGAAAUUGAUGUGUGGUUUCAGAUGAAGACGGCAGCCUCGGCAGCAGAUAUGUGUGUGCCGUAUGACAUCGAGAAAAAGCAAAAGCCUUAAAGAGUUCAUCAACAUUUUCCAUUCAGAAGAAUCUGUUUUGUGGUUUUCAUGCUCGAGUGCCUACUUUUCAGUAUGCAAGCAGAGGAUUUGGCAUUAAUUUGGGGAAGCCUUUUCUUUUUGGGUAUAUGAGUGUGUGCAUUCCUUCAAUCACGUAGCUUUGUGCCAUUAACAUAAUGGCAAUUCCACAAUUGUGAUAAUGAUAAUUUUAUGAUUGGGGCAUAUUGUUAGGAACUCUUUACUGGUUUUUCUUUCCCCAUCUGUGUCUAUGAUUAAGGUUGUUUAAGGUGUUAUGGCUUUUAAUCUGCAAUCAUUGCGAAAGGAACUCACUAGCCGGCAAAUAAUAAAACAUAGUGCUGUCAAAUUUUAUAAGGAUUAUAUAUACAUACUCUUUCGUCUUCAAUGCACUGAAACUGGGGAACCAUCUAUAUGAUUUUCAUUCAGAAAAACCGGCGGGAACUAAUGACUUUCAUGAUUAAAAGUAGGCUUAUCAGAUUAUGGAGCAUUGUUAUGUAACGUUUUAUGGUUAUCUUAAGGCAAAAGUUGUCUUAGAAAUUAACUGAAAGGCAAUUUCAUUCUAUCAUAAAACAAGUGUUUUUUUAACAAGGGGAGAAGGUUCCCUUUAUAAUUUACUAAUUUAUGCAACCGUUAAUAUUAAAACAAAUUUUUUUUUAUAUUAAGGAUGAUGAUUCUUUUUCCCUUAGUAAAGUCUGUAUAUAACAUAUGAUGUGGUAAGCAAGGAAUCAAUUUAUCCCCUAUUUUGUUUUUCUUACUUUUUUUUUCCCAAAAUAUUGCAGCUUUCUUUGGAGAGGUUCAGCCAAACUGCACAGACCGUCAGCACAGAGGUUCAACGGUUUUUUAAUACUGCAUUUUAAAAUUACAUGUAUUAUAUAUUCAUUACUUGUGAUUAUGUAAUUUGCUGAUGAUAAGUACACUGCGUAAUGUAUAUAUGUGUGGCUGUGUGAUCAUUACUGAUAAUCUUAAUCAUAUGUUUCAAUACCAAUAAUGUUUCAGCAUUUCUCAAAUUCUCAUAAUAUACUCUCAAAUUCAUGUAAUUCAUUUGAUCGGGCUCUAAAUUCAUUUGAUCAGCAAUUAUUCUUUACGAGUUUGGCAAUCGAACAAACUGAUUAUCAGUUGGCAAACUAAUUAGAUAUUGCAUUUUGGCCUUGAAGUGAAAUUAGUGAACAUGUUUCUUGAGGGCUCUUUUUAUAAGACACUUGAAGAAGAAAAUUCAUAUUUUUGCAAUACUUCUUUCUCAAUAUAAAAUGAUAAUUCGAAAGAAUAUUUAUUAUUGUAGAACCUACAACUUCUAUGUAUUUUAGGAUGUAAAUUCUGUACAACCAAAAGUUUUAAGUAUUGUUAAUCAUAUCAUCAUAUUACGGUAUUACCAUUUAAUUUUUUUUUUAUCUAGUUUAAAUGAAAAAUUAAAGAAGCUUGGAACUUGGAGGGCAAUUUGAAUUCUGAAACGGCACCGUUUCACCUCGACCCACUAGAUACAAACUGAUUAUGAGUGAUACCAACGAUUGACCACUGAGACAGAGAGCCUCUCUCGGCGACGCCGACGGCCAGCUUUCACGCUCAUCUGCCGUCAUAUUCGCCAGCCGCCUGCCGUCACUCCGUCUUUGUUGUUGCGCCGGUGAAGGUGAGUACCGAGUUGUCAGUUGAGUUCAAUGGCUGUAUUUUGUAAUAGCAAUUACAAUUAUCGGGUUUAAUUUGGGACAAUUUUGAUCAUCAAUCUUUGCCAUGUUUCUUAUGACUCUGUUCUGUCUCACAUAGCAGGUUCUUGGUAGCUCGUACUCAUCAAUGUAUCCUGAUCGUGGUAUGGGAGGCAGCAGUUACAUGGGUAGUGGUGGUUCCGGAUCAUACUAGUGAUGUGGUAAAAAUUGAAUUGUAAGUGAAAUUUUCUUUUAUGUAAAAUUACAAUGAUCUAAUUUUCUUGGUGCAUCAUAAACUGAGUUAUAAUGGUUCACCGAAGACUUUGGCAUCUCUCAAGUUUGCUAAGACGCAUGGUUCACGACAAAGGAAUCUACGGUAACAAGUGAAUUUUCUAUGGAACAGACUUGAGAUGAUGACAAAGAGGCCGCUGGCGGGUGUGGACUAUAUGAAGCUUCUCGCAUUAGGAUGCUUGCCAUUUUGGAGAGGAUCAAGCUGCUGAGCCUAAAAGCCUCCAUAUGUUACGGGAGAAGUUUCCUAACUUAAAAGGUUUUUGUAGUACGAGAAGGGCUGCACUGGUUUAGGCCAUUCUUGGUUCUGCAGACGGGUUACUCUGUCAAGUCUUAAUGCUGUAAGGAAACUCCCGUCAUUUAGAGAUGAAAGCAAGAAGUGCUCAGUGUGUGAUAUGUACGAAUUGCUUCUUUACUUUCUGUAUAAGAACUCCAUCUCUAGCUAAGAAACGCUGCAUGCUAUCCCCUGGGUUGACUCAGCCGCGUUUUGAAGAUUACUUCUAUUUCUUUUGGGUUUUCAUGGUUUUAUCAUUUGAGUUUACAAACUAAUGGUAUUCUUUCUCCCUAAGUUGUGAACGCUUGGGUUUUUAUUAUUGAAAUGCUUUAUUACUUUUCGAUGACCAAGUAAUGUGAGUCAACAUUCUCUUUAAAUAUUUUUCCCCUGUCCUUGCAUGUUCUGCCGGUCUUUAUUUUUUAUUUGAAUUUGAAGAAACUUUCUAAGUGCAUACACCCAUAUGAAGUCGAAGAUCUUCCAGACAAGGUGGCAUCCAUCAAGAUCAAGAAAUUUUACUGCUUAGCAUGUGUUAUAUUUAUGGAUUGGCUAUUGAAGAAAUAAUGUUUGUACUGAUGCAGAUGCAAGAACUUUACACAUCUUAAGUUUACGAGAUAUUUUUUUCUUUUUUGACUCUGUUAGAUAGCUGUCAGUUAGUUAACCAAUUUAUGUUACUCUUCCUUGGCUAGCCAAUUAAGAACUUAUGUUUGCUGGAUUGUAAAGCCUACAUCUGGAAGCCACAGGUGAUUUUAUUUGAAGGCAAUUUGUUCUAGGCUAUAUGCGGAUUUCUAUCAUGAUUUCUGUAAGCUUGAAGGAGAUUUUUUUAUGCGUGAGAGCUUGAAAAUUAUACAUGUACAUGUUGAAAUUAUUGGAUAUAUGUUAAGAAUCAAGCAUAAUUGUGUCAAGAUGAAACCAUAAUUUGGGUGCUGUUUUAUGAGUAAACUAUCUGCAAUUUGGGUGCAGUAAACCUAGGUUGAACACCAGGACAUGGUAUAAAAGUGAAAUCACACAUUGAAUCUCGCAUAAAGAUUUUAAAGAUGCAAAUUCGAAUUGUACAUGAGAUGUUAUCUUGAUCGAAUUGCAGCGGCUUUGUUUUGGAUCCAGAAAACAAAAUUGUAAGCGCAGAGAAGUCUCUAUGGGAUGCUUAUAUUAAGGUGCAUAAUGGCCUCAUUGAGUUUUGUGCUGUUGUUCUACGUUGUUUGAGUUUUGUGCUGCUGUUCUUUGUUGCUGCUUUUGCUACUGAUUUUAGCUAUUUUUUGCCACUCUGUUAUUUGCUAUUUUUUACUACUUUGGCUGCUGAUUUUUGCUGUUUUCGCUGCUUUAGCUGUUGUUUUAUCUGCUGUUUUUUUUUUACUGCUUUUAUUGUUGAUUUUUGCUGUUCUCUAUCGUGUUUUACCCACUGGUUGUCGCAUGUUUAUUAAUACUGUUUGCUGCUGUUUUAUUUGCUGCUAAUUUUUUUUUUCUGUUUUCUGCGGUUAUUUGCUGCCGUUGCUGUUUUACUCGCCAGUUGAUGAUGUUUUGUGGUUCUCCUCCUCGAGUGCCUACUUUUUCCAGUGUGCAAGCAUAUCUGUUGAGAGUGGCUGAUGAAAUCACUAAACUGUUACAGUUGAUCUCAUGCUUCUCUAGAGAAGGAAUUAGACUUAUUUUGGUGAAGGGGUUUUUUCUGGUUUUUAUAUCAAUGUGCGCAUUUCUUCAAUCACGUAGCUUUGUGGCAUUACGAUCGAUAAUGGCAACUCCACAAUGAUGAUAAUGAUAAUUUUGUGAUUCAGACACGUUGUUAGGAAUUCUGUAUUGGUUUUUCUCUCGCCUUCGGUGUCUACGAUGAAGCAUAUAAUGGCUUUUAAUCUGCAACUGCUGCAAAAUGGACUCACCAGCUAGCAAAUAAUAAUAUAUAGUGCUGUCAAAUUUAUAAAGAUUAUAUAUGCACACACUUUCGUGUUCAAUGCACCGACACUGGAUGUAUAUUGGCAUUUAGAAAAGUUGGCGAUAACUAAUGACUUUUAAGAUUAAAAGUGAGUACGAUUAAGCAUUGUCGUGCAACGUUUUACGGUUAUUUUAAGCAUGCAGUUGGUUUACGAAUUAAUUAAAUGACAAUAUUCAUUCUAUCAUAAAACAAGUUUUCAACAAGUGAAGAGGAGGUACUCUUUAUAAUUGGAUAAUUAAUGCAACCUUCAAUAUUUUCAACCAAAAAAAAAAUGAUAUUUGAUAUGUAUUCAGCAUUAGGGAAAAACCACCCAUAUCGAAGGUUUGCUUAAAUGAUCAAAUAAAUCCACUUAGUUUCGUAAAUGGUUAUACAUACCCUCUUUUUGACUAUUUAUUGGGUUAUGUUUGAGAUUUAGGACUAAGUGUGGGAUUAUACUAACUUUGAGAUUAAAUAUUAUUCCAUAUUUAGCAAUUUUCCUUGGAUUGGAUUAUGAGAGACUAAAUUCUAAGUUAGUUGUUAAAUAAAGGGGAUUGGCAAUACCAAUUUAUAAAUAGAUUUAAAUGGGAUUAGAAUAAGAGGAAAAAAUGUUCAUUUGUAAAUUUUUUUCAUAUAUAACACCAUCUUUUAUUUAUUACUUAAAAUUUAAUUAAUGAAUUAAUUAUUUUAUUCAUGAUUUACUUGAAAUAUAUUUUUUAUUUUGUUUUUUAUAUUCUAAUUAAAUUGGUACUUUAAUUUAAUAAUUUGUUACAUUAAUUGAUUGUACUAAAUUUAAUAAUCACCAAUGUAAUAUUAAAAUAUAAUUAUGAAAAUUAAUAAUACUAGUAAUUAAUUGAUUUUAUAUAUUAUUUGUUAAUUUUUUGAUAAAAUAAAAUAUAUAUCUAAAAUAUCUAAAUAAUCAAAAAGUUUUAUUAAUUUAUAUUUUUUAUUACAAUUAUGACUACCCAUAAGUAAUUUACUGUAUAUUUAAUGUUCUUAUUAAUUAUAUUUAAAUUAAUAUUAAUUAUUAUUCUUAAAUAUUCAUAAUAGUUUUUUAUUUAAAUAAAAUUUAACAUUGUCUAAUCUAAUGUUGUACCAAACAUAAGACAGUAGUGUAUAAUCCAACAUAAUACUUAGUCCAAUUUAGUCUUGCAUGCCAAAUGUAAUCUUAUACACUUUGAUUACAACAAGCCAAUAAUUGACUUAAAUAAACUUCUAUAACAAUUAUAAGUUAAAAUUAAAAUAAUAUGAUAUAUAAAAUAAGAUAAAAUUUAUAAAUUAUUUUGAAUAUUAGAAAAUGAUUUUAACAUUAUUAAUUUGUCAUAUUCUUUUACUACUAAUAAAAUCUGUUUGACAAAUUAAUAAUAUUAAAAUAAUUAUACCUAACAUUCACAAUAAUUUAUAAAAUUUAUAUAUUUUGUUUACAAUUUUUUUAAUUAUGUCUAUAUUAAUAUAAAUCUUAAAGUCAAUUUUUGAAUUAAUAGAUUUUAGUAUAUAUAAUAAUAACUUAAUAUUAAAAAUAAUUUUCAUUGCAUACGUUAUUCUAUUAAUUAUCUUAUUGUAAUAUUUUAUUUGUAUCAUAUGAUAUUUAUUAAUUAUUUUUUUAUCUUAUUACUAUAUUUAUAUUUAUUUGUGUUGUUGUAAUCAAAGGGUAUAGUAACUAAAAAUGUGUUUAUGUGACUAUUUAACCUAAAAGGUCUUUGUGACCAUUUAAGUAAACCUUGGAAAUGUGUGACAGUAGUCAUUCUAAUGACUUUCAAGAUUGAAAGUGAGUCGGAUUAUCAAAUUAUGAAGCAUUGAUACGUAAUGUUUUACGGUUAUUUUAAGGUUGAAGUUGGUUUAUUCAUUAAACAAGCUUUUAACAAGAGGAGAAAGUUCCCUUUAUAAUUUAAUAAUUAAUACAACCUUCAAUAACAAAAAAGUCAUAUAAUAGGGAUGAUGAUUCUUGCUCACUUGGAUAAGAUAAAUAUAUACAUAUAUAUAUAUAUAUAUAUAUAUAUAUAUAUAUAUAUAACCUAUGAUGUGGUAAGCAAGGAAUCAAUUAUGUAUUUCUUGUAUCUGAAAAAAUGAAUAAUCCUUUAACGAAGGUUAUCAUCAAUUGCAGGUUUCUAGUUUGGCUGCUUAGUUUUAGGACUACGAAUAUUACAAUAUCAUAAUUAUAGGAACGAAUAUAGGCUGUAGUCUUUGCCUGAUCUACUUUCUUCUUUUUAAUUAACCACUUGAAAGGAAAGAAUAUUGUAUACGCAGCACACUAUAAUACUCUAAUUACCAAUUCUUUAUCUUAUAAUAUAAGUUCAUAGUGAUUAAUUUGUCCUUCUGCAGCAGCAAAACAAAUCCCAUUUCAGCACAUCUACAAGAGCCCUCAUUUCUCUUUGCUCCAGCCAAUUGACAGCAGAAUCAUCACAUACACCUUGAGCUCCGUCGAAUCAUCAUAGACAAUUGGUGAUUGGUGGGAGCAUUACAAGAAAGGUAUGACGACUACAAACUGAUAGAUUUGUUUAUAUGAUUCGGCUGUAGUUUUUAUAUAUGGUUAAAUUAUGACAAUAAUCAAGAGAUAAUCAUGUACCUCAUUAGUUUCAUAAAUGUUCAUACUAAUUUAUUCCCCUGCUUGCCAGAAUCACACAUGUAGCAUAAGAUAAAUUUUAAGAUUUAAACUUUUCAAUUCAUUAAAAAUCUAGUGGGAUAUUAAUCGGUAAAACCACUUAGGGUAGUACAAGAGGUUUGUGAUGCUAGCCAAUUUAUGUGAGUGGAGAAAGAAUUAGGUUUUUUUUUAAUAAAAAUUAAUAAUCAUAUUAAUAAAAAGACAUAAAUUUUAAGGUUUGAAACUUUACAAUUCAUUAGAAGCAAGAGGGGGAUCCUAAAAACUUUGAAUGUAACGUAUCGGCAGUGGAAUGGAUUUUUUAUUUUUUAUUUUUUGGUUGAGACUAUUUACACACUCCUGGGCUUUGAACACAUAUUAGGGUGAGGGUAUUUUAGUAUUUCACUCACUUCUCAAUAAAAUGUUUUGAGGUGAUGCUACCCCUAAACUACUGAUUGAACCCAUUUACUUAAUAAACACACUUCUAAAAUUUAAAAUACACAAUUUUAUUUUACAAAUCCAUUAAUACCUAAAAUACCCUUAUUAAGAUAAAUUAUCACAAUUUCUCUAAUCAUUUUCUUUUCCCAUCAUUUCUCUGUUUCUUGACUCUUUUCUUCUCCAUUUCUGGAGCUUUAUCCAUAACUUUUUUGUUCCAAAUUCUUGAACUUUUUAUUUUAUUUUUUAAUAGCUAUUUUUCCCCUUGAUAUUUCAUGCGUUUGGAACAACACCCUUAAAAAACUUUAAUAAACAAACAAUAAAUUAAAACAAACAACUGAUAUUAAAAUUGCAUAUAAAUUUAUAAUAAAUAAAAAAUUUCAAGGAAUUGCAUUAGUUCUUGCAUGGGUUUUUUUUUUUUUUCAUUUUAUUAUAUAGAAGAAAGCUUACUAAGUGAGGAGAGAUCAAGAGAAUUCAUUGUCCAAUUCAAAGAAAUCAGAAAAGAUGAAAUUAGAUGGUGGAAGUCAAGAGGAAUUUUACCAACAAUAAGCUUUUAUCCAAAUGCAUUAAAAUUCAUUGAAACUUCUUUCCGCUGACAAAAGUGUAAAUGACAUAGAAAAAGUGAAUACAGUACAUUGAAUAAUGAAAAAUAUGGGAGAAAGACGGUAAUUUUUUCUUUAAUUUAAUUAGGGAUGGCAAAAAUCCCCACGGGGACGGGUACCCUCGGGGAUUUUCCCCAUUCGGGGAGGGUAUGGGGAUAAUUUCAUACCCAAUUUCUUAUUCGGGGAGGGGACGGGGAAAUUUUUUUACCCAAUUUCUUAUUCGGGGAGGGGACGGGGAUGAGGUGGAAUCCCCAUCCCCUACCCAUUUCCCCAUUUUAAUUUUUAAUUUAAUUUUAAUUUUUUAAAAUUAUUAGUAAAUAAAUUAUAAAAUUUAAAUUAUAAAAUUAUAAAUAUUGGUAAAAAUAAAAAAUAUCAAAAUAUUUAUAUUAUUAAACUUUUAGGCCUAAUUAGCUAAUUAAAGUUCUAAAUUUUUAUUUAGGACAUUAAAAAGACCGAGUAGAUUCUAUUAGCCAAACAUUUUUUUUUAAUUUUGAUAUUCUUUAAAUAUUUUAAACUUAAAUCUAUUUUUUAUUUAAUUUUAGAUGUUAUAAUUGUCCACAACGAAUCACAAUUUUAAUAUCUAAUCUAAUCUAAUCUAAUAUUUACUUUUAAUUUGCUCCGAUUUAACUAUUGUGUUGUAAAGGGAAUAAUUCACAUUUAUAAAGUGCCCACGCCACCAUUGAAAAAGUUAAUUUUGAAUCUAAAUUCGAUUUUAUUUGUAACAAUUUUGUAUUAGACUAUUAAUUUGUUCAUGAUAGUUUGUAAAAUAAGUUUGUAUCCCUUGCAUGUUGCGUUACUUACUAAUUUAAUGUAUGUGACUUUUGUAAUAAAUAUUAAUGUAAGAUAUAUUUCGAACUUUAUUUUUAUUUGAAUUUUUUAUUUUAAUAUGAUUAACUCAAAAUAAAAAAAAAUGUAUUAGUUAUUCGGGGAUCGGGGACCCUCGGGGAUCCCCUGUUAUUAUUCGGGGAGGGGAUGGAGAUUCUCUCAAGUAAUUCUGACGGGGACGGGGAGGGGAUGGGGACAUACGCAAAAUAUCGGGGAUGGGUACGGGGAGAUCGGUCCCCUCCCCUCCCCUCCCCAUUGCCAUCCCUAAAUUUAAUUAUAUAGUCUUAUGUAUUAUAGUAACUUUCUAUGUGAGCAUUUUAGUAACAAAAAAACUUAUUAAAUAUUGGGUUUAAUGAGUAUUUUGUUGCGUUUGAACAGUCUCACCCAAAAUUUAAUUACAAAAAUUUCGUCAAAUAUUACAUCCAUUUCUCUCCCUAAAGUUUUUUUUCACCAUUUUUUUCUCUUUUCCUCUCUCUCUCUCUCUCUCUCUCUCUCUCUCUCUCUCUCUCUCUCUCUCUCUCUCUCCCUCCCUGCAGUUGUCCUCUAGUCCUUUGUGGUUCUUGUAUUUUGAAGUUUCUAUUGGAGUAAAACCUCUUUUAAAAUUUCUUAUCAAAAAAAUUAAAAAAUGAAAGUCUCUUUUAAAAUUUGCCUUCCCCUUACAGUGGUAUAUUAGGAAUAUUAGCAAUUGCAACAGUGGAGGAGUUGUAACAAAACUAUUACAGAGAUAAGAUUUAAUUGAUAAAAGAAAGAUUUAAUGGAAAGUAGUUAGAGAAACAACUAAUAAAAAUUAAUGAUAUUUGUUAGGGGUAUAUUAGGAAUAUUUGUGGCCGCACCUCUCAUCUUAUAAUAAUUUUUUAUAUUACUACAAUAACAACCCUAAUAUAGUUUAAUAUUAAGGACAACGUAAUGAAAUAAUUGUUUUUCUUAUAUCCAUUAAAGAUAUAUUGUUAUUUCAUAAGAGCGAGAACACUCCAAUGCUCAAGUAACAUGUAGAGAGAGCUUUGUCAAGGUAUUUCAAUUGUAUGUAAUGCUCUUUGCUAGUGUACCACGUUUAAUAUUUCAAUCAUGACACGUGGCAUUGCAAGUAAUGACUUUAUUUCAAGUCUUCGUAGGUACUUCGUAGAUUUGCUCGCUCCAGAGCUAGUAUUAGGUCAUCAUGUGCUUCUUUUAGUGAUCCACGUGAUUCCUUUUAUCCUUACAGCAGAGCAUUUCUUGCUGAAUAGCCAUGUCAAAUGCUCGUUUAUCAAGGACACAUGUCUUGUCGUCAGAACAUACUAAAAAUAUGACAUGCUAACCCAGAUGCAUUUAUGAAAAAUAACAAUAAAUAAAAGGAUCCCCUAAGUUACAGUUCACGUAACUUACAACCAACAGCUUUUGUCUUUUUCAAAUCGUUACUGUAAAAUAUCGUUGAGCCCGUCGCACUCUGUUUUAUUUAUUAAAGCCCAUAGAGUAUCAAAUUUAUUUC